CGAAUUAAAGGAAUUGUUGCUUUGGGACUUAAAAAGUCUGACUAGUUUCAGCUGCUCUGGGAAUAAUUGCGACUUCAAAUUCCCAUCUCUAGAAAGAUUAGUGGUGGAAAAUUGCCCCAAUAUGAAGAUUUUCUCAGAAGGGGAAUUAAGCACACCCAAGUUACAGAAAGUGCAGCUGAGCGUGUUUGAUAAUAAACUUUGGGCUUGGGAUCGGGACCUUAAUACAACCAUUCAAUACCUUAAUACAACCAUUAAAAGAAAAAAGGUAAGUAUUCAUUCACUAUGAGAUGUUGAUUUUUUUUUUAAAUUACUGAUUUAAUAACAGAUAUAUAUAAAAAAGUAAAAAGAAAAAAAUACAUAUUAAUUUUUUUAUAAAUUCAUUUUAAAUCUGAAUAGGAAGAGGAGGAAGAAGAGAAAGAGAAGUCUGCCAAGGCGAAUGAAAAGGAGAAAGAUGCGAAAGACAGUGGUAAGAUAAAAUCUAUACAAUUUAGGAGGUUUUGAUUUGAUUCUAUUUUGCUGACUAAAAAUGUUUUAUUUAUGUUGAAUUUUUUGUUAUACGUAUUUUACUCUUUGUCUACAGAGUCUCGAAACUUAUGAAGACGAUUCAUGCUACUUGUGCAGCAUUUUGGAUAAGGCUCGAGCUCGAGUUCUUUGUAUAUAUUGAGAGUCAGAUGGUGUUGGUGAGAGGAUUUUUUGUUUCAGUUUUCAUUCAUUUUUAUGCUUUUAGCUUUGUUUGAGUGCUCAGAAAUCCAAUUUGAAUUUAGUUUUAUUUCUUAUGGAUGGUGUCCAAGAUCUGCCAUAUUCAAUUUGUAGGCAUCUGAAAAUCUCUUUAAGCCCUAAAUUAAUUAAAGAGAUGUGUGCAUCAUAUUUGUGUUCGUACACCUAUUGGUAUUUUUUGGAGACAAUUAUGUAAGAAAUUAUGUAAUUUCAUGAAAAUAUGAAGAUUUUAUAUAGAAAAUUAUGGAAAAAUAAAAGUUUACGGGUCGAUUGCUGUUGACAAGUUCCUCCAUUUACAUUAUUAUUAAUUAUUUUUGUUGGUGAAAGCUAAGAUUAGAAGAAUGCGACAAUAAGAAGAUUAAAUACUUUGACAAGUUCCUCCAUGUUCAUUGUAGUAGAUAUUCAACAAAGAUGAUAAUACAGCAACAGAAAUUGGAGUUUUAAGCCAUCAGACACAAACAAUUGUGAAACAAGUGGGUAGAGGGAAUAAUAAAAAUCGAAAGACAUGGAUGGGAAGAAUAUGAGAUCAUUGAUAGAACCUAAAUACAAAUUCAAUCAAUUCAUUAAGCCAUCAAAAGUUAGUUACAAACCACUCUAUCUUAACAUAUGUAAUUUACCAUCAUCUAAAACCACUAUAUCCUAACAUAUGUAAUGUACCAUUAUCAAUUUUCGCUAUGUUAUGUCUGUAUAGCCUAAUAUGUUUGGCUUGGUUUUGUCUAAUAUGUUUAGCUUGGUUUUGUAUCCUUUCCAAACAUAUGAAUAUUUACUCAAGCGCAUGUUUGGGCCAUCUGAACAUUGAGUGGUUUGAUAUCUCUGCAGCGCAUGUAGGUCAGAAACUGACCAGGCAGCUCCUCCAAAAGUGCUUGUACAACAGAAAUUUGCCCACCUGUUCAGAAAACAAUGGGUUCGUUUGUUCAGGCAUGAAAAAAUUCAGAAACUUUUGUGAAUUAACUCCUAAAUUCAAUAGUUUGAACUAAUUUUGUCAAUGAAUCAUAUGCACUCACUAUGAACUUCUUGCAUUGGAACAAAUUGUACUAUAUCUCUGGUAGCUACCCGAUCGGUAGAGCUCUCUAAUCUACGGCCAUUAUCAGCAUCAAGAAUCUGCCAACAAAGUUAUCAGCGUCAAGAAUCUGCAACAAAAGUGGGAUAAUACCACACUGCAUAUAUACUCUAAAUUGAAUCUAUCAAACUAUAGAAAAAAGAAGUUCAAUGCUAGUAAGAAGAUAUUCCAGUUGGAAAACAUUGCGUACCUCCAUUUGUGUAAAAUCUGCACCUCCCACACCCACAAUUAGAAUUGACAGGGGAAGAUCAGAAGCCCUUACCAAAGCAUCUUUCGUUUCUUGGAGAUCUGUCAGAACUCCAUCCUAGAUAGACCAUGCAAAUUUACAAAUCACCCAAAAAGAAUGAUAGAAAGAGAAAACUGUGAAUAUAUAGAAUCAUUGUAAUCACCGUUAUAAUGAGUAAGACGAAAUACUUGCUUCUGUCGUAUGAGAGGGAUUGUCCAGCAAUUCGUGCAGCUGUGUUGAUCACUUGACCAAACAGAGUCGGUCCUGCCAAAGAAACAUUGUUUAGAGCGCUUGCAUAAGCAGCCAUAAUGCCUUCAACUCCAUCUACCUAUUAAAUAAAGAAACCAGCAGUUAAUAAAAAAAAUGGAAGAGGAUAAAAUAUACAUCUUUUAGGAUAAAAUUCCAAGGAAAUUUUCAGAAAAUGUAGAAACAUAUUAUAAUGUUUGUUAUUAAAAAUGAAAAGUUAUGGGAGACAAGCCAACCAAAUAAGGAUUACAGCAAAGUAGCGAACUCCAGUUACCCCUACCUCAAAGCCACCUGCUCUUCCAUUCAAGUUAAAACAAUGUGAUACAGUGCCAUCAAAUGUCUUCCCUCCAAAUCCCCAUGCAAAAGCGUCUAUCAGAAUCAUAAAAUUGUAUGACCUCCCCAAUUUCCGUUAUUGCCUGUAAAUGGUUUAAGUGGCCAAUAACUAAUCAGUGAUAUUCUCUCUCAACUUCUACGAACUAUUGAAAUAUCUAUUUCCCUAUGACGGCCAUAGAAAGACUUGAAAGUCACAUGCAUUUUCUAAGUCGAAAACACUGGACAAAAUGACCAUUUUAUGACCUUCAGAGUUCAGAGAUCACUUGUCAAAAUGUGAGUCAUAACAAAACCUUACCUGCUGGUAAGAAUUCAAUCUGCCUGAAGGAUCAAUAUAGUGCAAAGAAUUUGGAUUUCGAGGAUUUCCAUUUGAAGCUGGAUGAUUUUGCAUUUAACGAGAGGCAAGAUGAAGUUGGACCAAAUAAGAGGAAAUAAACAAAACAAACCGAUUAUAUUGCCAAUUUAUCUUCAACAAGCAAUCUCUUUCUAAUUACCUGUAAAGUCGACUGCAACCAUAAAAUUCAACUCAAAGCCACUAGAUAUGUAAUCCAGAAAACUAUAUUGCUCUUUCUCAACAAACUUUUCAACAAACAACUGACUUUUCAGAACCUAGGAAAAAGUCAGAUAAAAAAUAAAGUGAUAUUAAAUUAUCAAAAACCGUAAGCAUGAACAAACACCUUUGGUGGAGUUAAAACAAAAAAGAAUAAACACCUUGUCAUGGCCACGUUGAGUUGAUGGUAACAUAAAAGUUGCACCAGUUCUUUCUUGAUGAAGUUUCUCAAGGUCUCCAACUGAUUUCUGAAUUUUACUAAUAACAGAAAUAGAAAACCUUGACAUCAGAAAGGCAAAAGGAUAAAAGAGGGAAGCUGAUGACAUUAAGAAAUUUAACAGUUACCCCAUCAGUACGUGAUUUCCACUGGUAUUGAAAUCAAAACAUUCAAUGAUUAAUGGGUUUUCCUGUACCAAAGAGAAUCAUAAACUAAAAAACAUUUCCCCAUGACCAAACUUCACUACCUAAUAUACAUUUAAGUAACAAGCACAAGAAGAUGAUAAGGUUACCUUGCUCACAAAUUGCUGCAUGCUCAAAGUUAUUGGUCUCCAAAUGGGAUUCAAGUUAUUGUUUAUCACCUCCGUCUUGUAGAUAGGAACAGAAUUUCCACUCUCAACAAUUCUAGAUAUUCUUAAGAAUGGAUCCUAUAGAAUAUAAGAAGAAGAAGAAUGAGCAUCUAAAUUAAUAGAUUAAUUAGUGAACCUCCAAACUUAGCUACUUUGUCAGAACUUACACUUUUGGAAAACAGGUCUACAUUUUGCAAAUGUGAGCAACGGAAUGCUAUUUCAACAGCACUCUUGGAAGCAACCGUUUCCUCAGCAUGGACAGAGAGUGUCCCAAAGUUUCUUGAAACUCGAAGUCCAUAAUUGUUAUGGAGUUUUAAGGUUAAAGUUCGAUUUUGUUUGGUCACUAUCUGCCAUUUAAAAGGAAAAUAUGACACUUGUUAGUGCAAAAGAAGAAUGCUAAAGAAGAAGACGAAUGCUAGUAAAAAGCAUCUGAGAAUAUUUUGCCCUUUUUUUGAUAGGAAACAGAUUUUUACAGAAAAUUAGAUGGGCAUAUUUUGCCCAUUGAAUAAAGAGAAUACAUAAAUUCAUCAAACAAAAUAUAACCCAGAAACUUACCUCAGAGAGAACACAGCUAGCUUCUCCCAGGAAGUCUUGAUCCUCCAACUUUAGCAUCUGCAGGGCAAUGUAAAUAAGAAGUUUGAGCUUUAAACUUCACACUUCAACAAAUAUUUUGUCAUGAGAUAAUAAUGACUUGAAAGUAAUUAGGGAUCACUGCAGCAAAGAAUCAAAAGAACACUAGAUUUCCUACUUAAUGUCUUAGAAUCCAUCUGGAUUUGUUCAUUUUCUCUUUCCACUGGUAUAAAUUUACAUAUUUAUCAUUUUUCCCAGUAAUGUUAAUACCAUUUACAAUUGACAUAAAUAAUCAUCACAUUUUUAGAUUAUCUAACUGUUUUCAGCAAAUGCUUCCAAAUGAUUACAGUUUCUAGGAUUAUAACCAUCAAAAAAUUUUCAUUUUGACUCAAAUUCCACAGACGAAUACAUCAUAGGCUCUAAAGAUUUACUUAUCCAUUUCAAUACUGACAAUAUGGUCAUUUUUUACAGAAACUUCUUUAGGUCAUGGCAGCAACUAUUUAACUGUAUUGUUUUUAACAACAUAGAUCAAAAUUCCAUUUUGGAAAAAAGAAAAUUUAUCCGUAAGGACCAUCAGAAAAAUUGUUCUUUCCCAGUUAUGGUAGCAGGACAAAUAUGUCAAACCUUGCAAGAUGCAAUAGCAGAAAGUUCCAUAAUAACUACCCUGGCCUUAAGAUUUGUUUAUGGUAUAUGACAGCCAACUUUUUAAGUUUCUUUCCAUGCUAAAUGUUAGUUUAUAAUCAAUCAAGUAUUCCCAAAUUUCCCGAAAUUGAUAGAAACUAUUGCUGAUGCAAUUUAGUUUAGACGUAUGCUUAGACAACAAAUGGAUCAGUCAAAUGCCUUGGCUAACUCUAAACUUUGGAACUGAAGUAUGUGCGUAUCAUUUACAUCUGAAUUGAGAGAAAAAAAAAUAAUUAAGAAAUUUUAUACCUUCACUGGAAUAUUGUGGUACUUGGUAUCCACAUCAUACACACGAAAGCUGGAAAAAGAAGAAAAGCAUUAAGAAAUUCGAAAACAUUAAAUAUUAUCAAAUCAAGCAAGGCUUAAGCGCAUGACCUAUCAAGAAAAAAAAAACUUUAAAAAGAACACACUAAAAACUUACACCAAGGGCUGGACGAUCUCAAACUGAAAAGCAAUUGAAAUCUUUCCAAUCCAAGCAGGAUUCAAAUUGUUCAUAAUCACCUCUGUACGUCCAAUCUCGUCCAGCCUCCCAUCUCUUUUCUUUGCAUACACAACUGCCGUGGGAUCACUCUAUGACACAAAAAGACAUGUAAAUACAUUUGCUUGUGAAUAUAAAAAUAAUAAAAAAAAAAACAGAAGGCAUAUGGGUAUGUAUCCACUUAUGUCAUAUAAAUAUAGACAUAUAUUAGUUAAAUAACUUUAGUUGUCAUAUAAAUAUAGACAUUUAUUAGUUAAAUAACUUUAGUUAGUAAUCCAUCGUUAAAAUACAGCAGCAUUUUAUGUAUGCUAGUAUCAGCCAGUAAAAAGAUAUACGGCUGAUAAAUGUUCAUUAUCAAAGAAUUUUAUCUUGCACAUAUAACAUAUUUGACUAGUGCUCAAAAUUGCAAAAACAAUAAAACCACCAACCAUGACUUGUUAUACAUUAUCUGGAACUCUCAAGUUACUGCUCCUUACUGGAUUACAUUGGAGAUAGACAGUGUAUAUAACAAACUAUUCUUCUUUGUCUAAGUUUAGAAUUUUGGUGCCAGCACUAAGCGUUAUUAAGAUCAUAUAUCCCUAGACCCUUUAUGAACAGAGAAAGGAAAUUGACAGGGCCAUUAUGAACAAAUAAGCAGAUCAUAUAAGGAGGAUACAAGAUAACAUGAGAAUCAAUCACCAAGACUAUCAACAGCAUGAACAUGGCAUUAUCAGACAUAAGACAACAAUAAUAUGAAGGCGUACCUUUGAUGCGAUGUCAAGAUCACGUAACUUUGAAGCAGAUAAAGAUAACUGCAAUAUAUAUUCAAAAACAUAAGAACGAAUACAGAUACAUGAAAAAGCAGAAAAGGAGUAAUCCAUGCAUAUGCUGCACGAAAUGAAAAUUGUCAGUACGAUGUGGGUCAACUGACAGGCAAUAUAUAUCUGUCAUAAACAGAACAUGCAGAAAACCAUCAUUUCGGAUUCUGACAAUCACUUCUAAUAUUAAAUCUUAUAAGCAGGCAAUAAUAUAUGUAAUUAAGUUUUAUAUAACAACAGGAUGUGACACGUCAAUUACAAGCAUUGAACCACAUUUAAUUUGUUAUCAUAUGACUUGUUUCCUUUUCUCCAGGAAAGUUUCCAAGGAGAUCCUCAGGUAAGGUCCACAUCAAUACAGGAAUAUUACAAUUACUUGGUGGUCCAUGUUAUGGAAAGACAUUCUUAUCCUCGUAACAACAUAAUCCUUAAUCCACAAUUUUUUAUAAAGUUAAUGGUUUGUCUUAUGCAAACCAGCAUUCACAAAAUCAUGUUCCAUUCAGGAGAGCAUUAUCAUGGGGAAUCUUCACAGUGGUACAAGUCAAAUUUGAUCACGAGGGGUAUGAGUCAAAUUUGAUAAAUGAGGCAUAACAGAAUAGUCAACUUUGAGGAUACACAGGAAAACCACUGUGCAUUCAACAGGAUCAAACAUCAACUUUCUCAACGUUCACAAGGCCUUUGUGCAUUCAACACCAUUCUUUUUUUAUUUACGUUAUCCAAUCUUAAUCUAAAAUUCACUUCACAGAAUGUUGUCAUUGGGUAUAAGCAGUUAAACUUACUGUUCUCCCUAUGCAAAACAAAAGCAGUUGCUUGGUGUGAAACCGUCAAACCAACACCAGCAAAAGAUCAGCCACAAGAAAAAAAAAAAUGCUUCUCAAAGAAGCACUUGACAGGCGAAUAUUCUUUUGAGAAGGUGCUUAACUCCUUUGUCCUUUGAAGAAGCACCAAGUAAAAUAUUCGCCCUCCAAAAUUCCGAAUACUUCUCUUACAUUAUUAAAAAAAGGCAUGUUUGGAAUUGCAGUUGAUUCUUGAAUAAGAAUUUACUCCCGAUUAUGUUCGAAUUAUCAAAUAAUUUUUAUCAAAUAUAAACAAUUUAAGUUGUUCUUUUAGGGAUGUUACACUGACAAGUCAUCAAAGAAGUAAUAAUAACAAACAUAAUUUGGGUAUAGAUUUUCAAACGAGUGACCAUUUGAGAAUCCAUCACAAUUACAGAAACCAACGAAGUCAGAUUUAAAAAAGUAAAAUAAAAAAUUAUAAAUAAAUUAAAAAACAUAAACUAAUCAUAAAUUUACAAAUUUUUAAUUAAUUAAUUAAUUAAUUAACUGAAAAUAGUUUAUUAAUAGUGGCAGCGAAAGACUCAUAUAAAUUCAGGUAUACAGAUAUACCUCGAUUUGGGUGAAAAGGGCUUGAAGACCGCGAGAUUUGAAGAAGAAAUCAACGGCGUCGUUUUGUCCAGAAACAUUGUUCUGAUCAGCCGCGGUGGUGGGCCGAAGCUGGGCCCCACCUACGGCUUGUUUCCCUCCCCUCACAUCACUCCCAGACAAACAUAAUCCCAUCUGUUUUUUUUUUUCUCUCUCUCUGUCUUUAUUCUCAAGAGUACGGAGUCUCACUGUUCGGUCGAUGUUCUUUAAUCGCUCAAAUCCGUAGCCUCUGACAGAGAACUGGGGCGGGGCUUUACUUUUGCCCUCUAUUUAUAGGCUUCUGCGCUUGAGUCGUAUUUGAAUUUGACUCUGUUUCUGCUGCGAAAAUGUCAAGAAAAAAAAAAAAGUUUUUUUUUUUUUGUAUUUGAAUUUGAAUACUUCUAGGGGGAUUGAUGAUGGAUUGUUUUACUGUAUUUGGAAGUUGGAACGUUUAGGCCCACCUAAUUAUCAUUAAUAAUAGAUAGUUAUAUCAAAAUUUACCAACUUCAUUUUAGCUAUGAUAUUAGCUUGCGCACUAUGAAAUGAUUAGGUUUUGUAAAUUUUUUUUUUUUUUUUUACAGUAUCUUAGAGAAUAAGUUUCCAUUGUAUGUAACCGGCUAGAGCCCCUCCCUCACAAAUGUGAGGGAAGGGGUUCGAGCCUCCGCAGUCGCAUUGUAGGGGUUUAAUUUAAAUAUCCUUCCUUGUAGCCCUUGAGCUCGAGUGAAGGCAGUCUUUCUCCCAGGAUGGGAGUUUGACAUCCCUCGAAUAUUUGAGAGGGUUAAAAAAUCUUAGCGGUGCCAUAUCAGCAUUAAUGUCAACAGAGCUCAGUAUAAAUAUAUGAUUGUACAUAUCAAUUAUACUCUCAUGUAAUAUGAGUUAAGCCCUUGAGCUCGAGUGAAGGCAGUCUUUCUCCCAGGAUGGGAGUUUGACAUCCCUCGAAUAUUUGAGAGGGUUAAAAAAUCUGAGCGGUGCCAUAUCAGCAUUAAUGUUUAAGACAAAUUCUAGAAUCUAAAGUAAAGAAUCGGUAAAUUUAUAAAGAAAUAUGAAGAAACAGCAAGGUAUUGAAGAAUUCAAUUUCUCAUUAUAUUUGGACAUUUGGACGUCAUUAAUGUUAAUUGAUUUUUUUCCGCGUAAAAAAGUUUCGGAUUUAUUUUGUUCCUCCAAACGCCAUUCAUUGGAAAUAAGUUUAUUUUUCUGACAACUUCAACUCAUAAAUUUUAAUUAUUUUGUUAUAAUAAUAGUACGAACAAUUCUAUGUAUUACGAACAAAAAAAAAAAAGAAUCUUAAUUUUAUAUCAUAUAUAAUUAUAUAUAUAUAGACUCAAUAAGAGUAUUAUUUAUCAUGUAAUUUAUUAAACUAAUCUCACCUAAAAAGUUGUUGAGAAAAGACAGUAAGUUAAUAAAUAUUUCGUCUUCCCCAAGGUUUUUGAUUAGAAGAAUGACUUGAUAUGGCUGAUAUUGAUAAAUUAAAAAGGGAAAAAUAAUAAACAAUGGAGGAAUUUUCAAAUUAGGUCAACAAUCGUAGUCUAUUUUAUUUCGUAAUAAUGGCAAUGACGAAGCCCUUAUAACAUAAGCUUGCAAACGUAAUCAAGAUAUCCGUGGAAAACAAGCAACAAUUCCAAUGGGGUGGAAUAAAAUGUCUAAUAUUUAAAUUUUUUAUUUCAAUUUCUGUUUAUAUAAUUUAUUUAAUUUAUAAUAAAGAUGAAUAAUUAAAUAAAUUUUAAAAUAUCUUAAAAUAAGAAUAAUACUAUAAAAUUAUGAUAAAUGAAAGUUAUUGAUUAUUAUGAAAACAAUAAGAAGAGAAAUGGUAUGUAUUAAUUUCUACAUGAAGGAAACUGCCAACCUCCCUUUAAUAUGUUGUGACAAUCAUUAGAAUUUCAAUAAAAUGAUAAACUCCUCUACAUAAUCGAUAGUCAUUGAUCACGUACGUGUACAUUUAAGUUGGAAAAAAGAAGAAGAAGAUAAUUCAAGUAUAAUAAAAUCAGAAUGCGUAUGUCAUAACUAAUUUCACUAAAUGGUUAUAAUACGUUUUAUGCACUUGAGAUUUUCUCAAAAUGAGAAAAGAAAAAGGCUCAUUAGUCACUCCUAUAUAUAUGUGUGUGUGUGCGCGCGCGCUUAAACUUAACUCAGGAUAAUCUAUAUUAUAUAGAACGUAAAAUUGAGUUACGUAUAAAAACGUAACUCAAGUGUCACAUUAUACGGCGCGCUUAAACUUUGAUAAUCUAUAUUAUAUGCCCAUAAAAUCAAGAAUUUUACAAUACAUUAAAACCAAUACAAUCAUCUAAUGUAUAUAUAAUAUAUAUAGUUAAAUUUGAUAUAAUCAUCAAUUGCAUGAUAAUUUUACAAAAUAUAAAUAUUAUCUAUUUGUUGAAUGACUAACUUUGUAGUAUGAUGUUUAUAGAAUUUUUCCGUAAAAUCAUUAUUGUAAUGAGGAUUGUUGAGGGACGUGUUAUUAAUGAAAAGGACUGCACAUGUUAUCCAAUAAUUGAGACACUUGUCUUGUUAGAGGACAUUUUCAAAGAUUAAAGGUAUAGAAGCCAUUUGCAAAAUUUCCAAGCGUGGAGAACAUGCAUGCAUGCACGUGGAAUUCCAUGCAUAAAAUGAUAAAAUACUCGUCAAGUCUCACCUUAAAUUGUAGUUUCUAUCGUUUGCAAAGAAGUUUCAUUAUUUAGGUUGUGUUUGGGAUUGAAGUUGGGCAGCUGUAGCUUAAAAACUACAGUACUAAAGUGUUUGGUAAACACUAGCUGCUGUAACUUUUAAGCUAUAUUGAUAUGAUUUUUCACUUGUAUAAUACAAAAUCUAUUAUAUCUUUAAUAAUUUUAUCAAAAUUAUUAUUUAAAAUUUAUAUUUACUAUAUAUUAUUAACUUUUAUUUCAUAAUUACAGCUUGUUUUUCACAACAGCUGUAGCUUAAAAGCUACAGCACCUCAAUCCCAAACGCACCCUUAAUUUCCAAAUCUUGGGUCGUGCCGCCUCGUACAUGAAUAAGAUUACUUGCCACGAUUACCAAUUUUUUAUCACUUUAUUAAUUCCUUUUCUUCCUAUACAUGAAUCUUGUUAAAUUUUACUUGCUAUUUUACUUUUUUUUUUUAAUUUUAAAUUCUUUUCUAUAUCAUACUUUGAAUCUUGUUUAAGGAAUCUUUGUAUUCUUUUGUCCGCAUGUCAUGUGCAACACAAAUAAUAUUUUACGUUACACUUGAUAUUCAUUCAUAUAAAUUAAUCAAGGAUAAGAUAUAUAUUGCCAAAUUGAUUAAAAUAAUUAUUAAUUUAAAAUUAAUAAUUUUUUUAUCCAUAACACUGAUAAUAAAGUCCGAUUAUAUAUAGGCAUGCACACUUUUUCCAUGGGGGAUUGAUAAUAAAAUUUUAUAGUGGGUAAUUAGGUGCAACCGUGUUGGUAGAUCUACCUACCUAAUAUUAAUUAAUGAUUGAAAAGAAGAACAUUUAGUUCAUAAUUAAACCAAGAUUGAAUCUUUUUUUUUCUGUUUUUCUUUUUUAAAUGACAAAUGAGAGAUGAAUUCAAAUUAAUCAGGAAUUUUUAUCCGUUAUUUAUUAGAGUUGUGCUAGUAUUUUUUUUUUUUUAAAAAACUACUAAUUACAACAACCUUAAGUAAAACCAACAUAUAUUAUAUAGGUCAUCAUGUGAGCACAGAAUCCGACAUUCCUUUGAGACUUAUAUCUCUCUCAAAUUAAAAUACCGCAAACAAGAAUAUUAAACAAAGUAAUAAUCAAAAGGGAUAUUAUCAUUUUACUACUAAAGUUUUUCUGACAUAUCAAGUCAGUAUUAUGCUUUGGUAAAAACUACAUUUUACUACCAAACAUUUAAUUUAUUAUCACUUUACUACUUUUCCGUUAAAAAUAAGUUAAUAUUUAACGGAAUAUGAGUUAAAAGACUAUUUUAGCCAUGAAAAGAAAAGAAAUAACAAAAAAGAAAACUACAAAUUACUGUAGCACGCAUCCAUUGUAAUGUGUAACACCGUAUCACGUUUUUUGUCCUUAUUGUAAAGUGUCGUUAGAUGUAAAACGAUUGAAUCCAACGAUCAAAAUCGCUUAAUAGAUUAUUGAGGCAUGAACUGUCAACCGUUGAAGCCAGUUAUCAUCAGAACCUUUCUCCAACUCUUGAUCCUCAUUCUCCUCUCCCUGACCAUUAACUUUUUCUCCAGACCUCUCCUCUGACCUGGUCUCACCCUCAUUGCUAUCAGAUUUCUUCUUACCAUCAUCCGAAUCAGAUUUGUUGCAAGCAAUUAAUUUAUUCCCACAACUGGCUUUUGAGUGCGAAGUAGAAGAAAGCUAAGUACAAUCACACUCACAAGGCAAGCAUUUCUUCAAACCGAAUUAUUUCCCACAUCACACAUCCAAUGACAGAGUCCCCUGGUUUCUCUAUACGGCUUUCCCCUUAAUCAUUUUAACAAACAGCUUCAAUACACAAAGAUUAGAGCAAAAAAAGGAAAAAUAAUGGCUAUGUCAACGCUAGGUGAUGACGAAUUAAUGAAAACUAGUUGCCGAGGCAACUCUUGAGAGUCAAGAGUCGCCACGCAAACACAAUCGUGGUCCCUUUUUGCUGUAUAUGUAGAAAAAAAAAAAGAAGAAGCAAGCAGCACGUGGUGGGAGAAAAGAAAAGGUGGGAGAAAUCUUUUAUAAAAAAAAAAGAGAGAAAAGAAAAGUUAGAGAUUUGGCUUUGCAAAGAUGUAGGGUCCUGUGUGUGUUUGUGUUUUGUUUGUUGCUUCUUGUGCUUGGUUGACCGUGAGAGAGAGAGGGGCCGUGAGAGAGAGAGAGCGAUCGGAGAUGGAGGGUUACAAUUUGGGAAUAAAUUUUCAAACGAGCGACUAUUUAAGAAUACAUCACAAUUACAAACAUGAACGAAGUCACAUUUAAAAAAGUAAAAUAAAAAAUUAUAAAUAAAUUAAAAAACAUAAACUAAUCAUAAAUUUUUAAUUAAUUAAUUAACUGAAAAUAGUUUAUUAAUAGUGGCAGUGAAAGACUCAUAUAAUUCAGGUACACACAUAUACCUCGAUUUGGGUGAAAAGGGCAUGAAGGCCGCGAGAUUUGAAGAAGAAAUCAACGGCGUCAUUUUGACCAGAGACAUUGUGGUGAUAAGCCGCGCUGGUGGGCCGGAGGUGGGCCCCACCUACGGCUUGUUUCCCUCCCCUCACAUCACUCCCAGACAAACAUAAUCCCAUCUGUUUUUCUUUUUCUCUCUCUCUCUCUUUAUUCUCGAAAAUUAAAAAAUUAAUCGAAAAAAUUUACCUAAAAGUUUUUGCAAGUUUGUGUCAAGAGUACGGAGUCUCACUGUUCGGUUGAUGUUCUUUAAUCUCUCAAAUCCGUAGCCUCUGACAGGGAACUGGAGCGGGGCUUUAUUUAUAGGCUUUUUGCGCUUGAGUCGUCGUAUUUGAAUUUGACUCUGUUUCUCCGGCGAAAAUGUAAAGAAAUUUCUACUUUUUAAUUCAAUUGUUUUUUCAUGAGGAAAAAAAAAAGUUUUUUUUCUUAUCUAAAAGAUUUUGUCUUUUCCUUUUCCUCUCCAAAAUAUAGAAUAAUGUAGAUGAUGGAUUUUUUUACUGUAUUUGGAACGUUUAGGUCCACCUAAUUAUCAUUAAUAAUAGAUAAUUAUAUCAAAAUUUACCAACUGAUUAGGUUUUGUUAAUUUUUUUUUUACAGUAUCUUAGAGAAUAAGUUUCCAUUGUAUGAAGACAAAUUCUAGAAUUUAAAGUAAAGAAUUGGUAGAUUUGUAAAGAGAUAAAACAAAUUCUCCGGCGAAAAUGUAAAGAAAUUUCUACUUUUUAAUUCAAUUCCUUUUUAAUGAGGAAAAGAUUUUGUCUUUUCCUUUUUCUCUCCAAAAUAUAGAAUAAUGUAGAUGAUGGAUUGUUUUACUGUAUUUGGAACGUUUAGGCCCACCUAAUCAUUAAUAAUAGAUAAUAAUUAUAUCAGAAUUUACCAACUUCAUUUUAGCUAUGAUAUUAGUUUGCGCACUACCAAAUGAUUAGAUUUUAUUAAUUUUUUUUAACCAUAUCUUAGGGAAUAAGUUUAUAAAGAAAUAUGAAGAAACAGCAAGGUAUUGAAGAAUUCAAUUUCUCAUUAUAUUUGGACAUUUGGACGUCAUUAAUGUUAAUUGAUUUUUUUCCGCGUAAAAAAGUUUCGGAUUUAUUUUGUUCCUCCAAAUGCCAUUCAUUGGAUAUAAGUUUAUUUUUCUGACAACUUCAACUCAUAAAUUUUAAUUAUUUUGUUAUAAUAAUAGUACGAACAAUUCUAUGUAUUAUGACAAAAAAAAAUAAUUUAAAUUUAUAUCAUAUAUAAUUAUAUAUAGAGCUAAUGCUAAGUUACAUGCAUGUAACUUACAACCUUUUCACAUAAAUAGUGAGUGAGCUCACAUCACUCACUAUUAAUGUGAGAGGGUUAUAAGUUACAUGCAUGUAACAUAGGGGAUCCUUAUAUAUCGGCUCAAGAGUAUUAUUUAUCAUGUAAUUUAUUAAACUAAUCUCACCUAAAAAGUUGUUGAGAAAAGACAGUAAGUUAAUAUUUCUUCUUCCCCAAGGUUUUUGAUUAAAAGAAUGACUUGAUAUGGCUGAUAUUGAUAAAUUAAAAAGGGAAAAAUAAUAAACAAUGGAGGAAUUUUCAAAUUAGGUCAACAAGUAAUCUUAGUCUAUUUAAUUUCGUAAUAAUGGCAAUGACGAAGCCCUUAUAACAUAAGCUUGCAAACGUAAUCAAGAUAUCCGUGGAAAACAAGCAACAAUUGCAAUGGGGUGGAAUAAAAUGGCAUUCACAGUCAACUACUAAGAUACUGAAGGUUCAAUCGUUUAAGGGUAUUGAUAGUUUCUCCCCCGUCGAAAUUUUAUGUAAAAUAUGUACACCUCUAUUGUUUUCAUAAUAGCUAAUAAUCUUUUGGUAUGAAAAGUUUAAAGGAGAGUAAAGGUAAAUGGGUCAUUUGCUUAAUAUUUUAUUUUGAAAAUAUAAAAUAUAUAUUUACCAUAAAAAAAUAUGUUUAAAGAUAAAAAAAAAUAAGAAAACUAUAUUCAUACUAAUUUUUUAUCAACACUGAAAAUUAUAUUUCUUAUUUCUAAUCUUUAAAUUUUUUUAUUUCAAUUUCUGUUUAUAUAAUUUAUUUAAUUUAUAAUAAAGAUGAAUAAUUAAAUAAAUUUUAAAUAUCUUAAAAUAAGAAUAAUACUAUAAAAUUAUGAUGAAUGAAAGUUAUUGAUUAUUAAUUUCUACAUGAAGGAAACUGCCAACCUCCCUUUAAUAUGUUGUGACAAUCAUUAGAAUUUCAAUAAAAUGAUAAACUCCUCUACAUAAUCCAUAGUCAUUGAUCACGUACGUGUACAUUUAAGUUGGAAUAAAAAGAAGAAGAUAAUUAUAGUAUAAUAAAAUCAAAAUGCGUAAGUCAUAACUAAUUUCACUAAAUGGUUAUAAUACGUUUUAUGUACUCAAAAUGAGAAAAGAAAAAGGUUCAUUAGUCACUCCUAUAUUUAUGUGUGCGCGCGUGCGCUUAAACUUUGAUAAUUUAUAUUAUAUGCCCAUAAAAUCAAGAAUUUUAUAAUAUAUCAGAGACAAUACAAUCAUCUAAUGUAUAUAUAAUAUAUAUAGUUAAAUUUGAUAUAAUCAUCAAUUGCAUAAUAAUUUUACAAAAUAUAAAUAUUAUCUAUUUGUUGAAUGACUAUCUUUGUAGUUUGAUGUUUAUAGAAUUUUUCCGUAAAAUCUUUAUUGUAAUGAGGAUUGUUGGGGGACGUGUUAUUAAUGAAAAGGACUGCACAUGUUAUCCAAUAAUUGAGACACUUGUUAGAGGGAGAAGCCAUUUGCAAAAUUUCCAAGCGUGGGGAACAUGCAUGCAUGCACGUGGAAUUCCAUGCAUAAAAUGAUAAAAUACUCGUCAAGACUCUCCAUAAAUUGUAGUUUCUAUAGUUUGCAAAGAAGUUUCACUAUUUAAUUUCCAAGUCUUGGGUCGUGCCGCCGCGUACAUGAAUAAGAUUACUUGCCACGAUUACCAAUUUUUUAUCACUUUAUUAAUUCCUUUUCUUCCUGUACAUGAAUCUUGUUAAAUUCAACUUGCUAUUUUACUUUUUUUUUUUUUUAAAUUUUAAAUUCUUUUCUAUAUCAUACUUUGAAUCUUGUUUAAGGAAUCUUUGCAAGGAUAAGAUAUAUAUUGCCAAAUUGAUUAAAAUAAUUAUUAAUUUAAAAUUAAUAAUUCCUUUAUCCAUAACAGUACUGAUAAUAAAAUCCGAUUAUAUAUAGGCAUGCACACUUUUCCAUGGAGGAUUGAGAGUAAAAUUUUAUAGUGGGUAAUUAGGUGCAACCGUGUUGGUAGAUCUACCUACCUAAUAUUAAUUAAUGAUUGAAAAGAAGAACAUUUAGUUCAUAGUUAAACCAAGAUUGUUACAGAAAAGGGAAAAGACUAAGACAGUGCUCAUGAAGUGGAUAGAAAUAACAGAGAAAGAAAUAGCUAUAUACAAUAAAAUAUUUCUCCUAUAUAGCCAUAUAUACUUUAUAUACAAAUAAAAUAUUUCUCCUAUGUAGUCAUACUUUAUAUAGAAAUAAUUUUUAUUUAAUUAUAAAAAAGAUUUAAUCUCAAUUUAAGUUAGUUAUUAAUUUCAUACUCAAUUAAUGACACAUCAUUUGGAAUAACUUUUUGGGAUAAAAAAUUUGGGAUGUGUAGCACUACUGUCUAUGCUCUAUAUUAUAAUAAGUUAUAAUUUUUUAAGUCUUGUCUAAAAAGAAUUUGUCCCCGCAUAGUAAUUGUAUUUGUAUAUUGCAAAAAAGUAUAGACUCUUUUUUUUUAAUUAAGCCUACCUUUGCUAUCAAUUUCUGACAUAAUCCAGUAAUUAAUUAUUAAUAUAGUAAAUAUUUUACCUCUAAUUUAAUUACACGAAGGAUAACUAAGUGAAAACGAUAAUUUCUGUAACUAUAUCUUUACUAAGUUAAUUAUAAUAUUCUCGUAUUAAUAAAAUUAACUUACCCCAAUAUUAUGAUUAUAGAGAAAUUGGACUAUAUUUGCGAAUUUUGAAAAUGAUGGUCAUGACUUAUGUGCUCAAUCUGUGAUUUUACGUUGAGGUUGAUAGAGCUGAACCAUCAAAAACGUUUAAAGCAUAUUGUCGUUAGUCUUUGUUUCCGAAUAGACAAAAGUGUCAAAUACUAUGUUUAUCAAUAAGAACAUUAUUGAAUCUUUUUUUUUUUCUUUUUUAAAUGACAAAUGAGAGAUGAAUUCAAAUUAAUUAGGAAUUUUUAUCCGUUAUUUAUUAGAGUUGUGCUAGUUAUUUUUUUAAAAAAACUACUAAUUACAACAACCUUAAGUAAAACCAACAUAUAUUAUAUAGCUCAUCAUGUGAGCACAGAAUCCGACAUUCCUUUGAGACUUAUAUCUCUCUCAAAUUAAAAUGCCGCAAUCAAGAAUAUUAAACAAAGUAAUAAUCAAAAUAACAUUUUCCUUGCAACGACUCAUUAUGAUUCCUAGUGAAAUGGUUCGUUCGACCAAAAAAUGCUGGAAAAAAUGUAAUUCAAGUUGGCUUCCUCUUUCAUUCAGUUCAGAACUUUAGAUUAUUUGGUGUAAAUGAAGGGAAAAUGCCUACGAAUAUGUUUUCAGCUUGCCCGUCGUCUUUGGCCAGCUUCGAGUUGUUUUCGUAAUUACGUCGUCACAAAGACUGAUGCGGAGUAUGUAGAAAAUAGAAAAAGUCAUUCAAAGCCGUACAAAAGUGGAUAACCAAUCCAAUCCACUUUUGGCUCGUCAUUGAGUUCGAGGAUUUGACAAAUCACUUUUUGGUCUCCGGCGUGUGGUAUACACACUCCCUUUUAAUUACUAUUAACACCAUGUAUACAUAAAAGAUUUCAACCCUCCACAUGUAAGACCAUCGCUAAACCAAUAAGUUGUUCUCAGCACAAAAUGAAUAUUACUUAGUUAUGUCAUAAUUUUAUUAAUAAAGAAAGAAAUUAAUCUACAUCUUUUUUAAAAAUAAUUUUAAAAUUUGUUAAAUAGGCAAAUAUGGUUUUAAUCCCCAUAGUUUGAGUCAAUUAUUCAGUUUGGUCAAAUAUUAUAUUUUAAAAGAUUAUCUAAAUUAAGCAUCUCUUUACUUACUUUCUUAAUUAGUUGUUGGACAUAAAUUUUCAAAGCUAAAUUCUAUAUGAUAAAUUUUAAAACUCAAACUAAUUUAAUAUAUAGCAGAUAAAAGAUAAAAAAAUAAUUAAGUAAAUUUUAACCAAAAAAUAUAUAUAUCACGUAGAUUUUUUUGAGUAAAUUUCUAAAAAUAUAUUGACUCCUCCAUGGGUACGUAAACUACAGGGACAUUAUUGACUAUUCGUUGUGCGUGCACGUACAAUGACAUGUCAUGAGUUAUCCAUGGAGACUUUUCCAAGACAACAUUUUGUGAUGUACUAUAUGCAUACUUAAUUACAAGUGCAUUUGUUGGGUACAUGCAUGCAUGGACGUGGAAUUCCAUGCAUAAAAUGAUAAAAAUACUUUUUCAAUUUUUCUCAGUUUAAUUUGCAAAGAUGUUUCACCAUUAAUUUGAAGUCUUUAGGUCCGGAAAUCUCUAUUGAUCGUAUAUUUGUUCGUCUCUUGGCACACGCGCACACGCACACGCACAUCAAUAGAGUAAAACUAGUGCAAGAUAAAUCCACAUUAAUUUUAUUUUAUUUCUAAACAUUCUAUUAAAUUUCUCUAUUUUAGAGUCAAGUCAAAGUUGUACAAAAUGAAAAAGAGGGGGUUAAAAUGGAUGGAAAUGAGAAUAAAGAAAAUAGCUAGCUUUUUGAAGGAUCUUUUGAAGACGAUAGGCUUGUGCUCUUAUCACGAAGCUUUUACGUCUAAAACUGGUAGAAUUGACCCAGCAAAAAGGUUUAAUGAAUCCCCGUGAGAGUCUUUAAUGUGUUUCUGAGAAGAUAAUCAAUUAAUUAACAGCACCAAUUAAGUAGUUGAAUGAUCUACUAAGCAAGUUCAUAAAAUCUUAAUGUAUUCUAAUUGUUCGGAGAAAGUAUUUAAGAUCGAAUGAAAGAUGAAUUUCAAGAACUCUUCCAAUUGCAACCAGUCAUCAUGGAUAUUCCAAUCAGUGAAGGAUUCUUUCGACACAAGGAAAAAUAAAAGAUAAAAAAGGGUCAAUAAAGACGAUGGAGAAUAUUCGUAUAAAGUCUUUAACGUAUGUAAAUGUAAUGUAACUUUAAUUUGACAGCUGCCGCUGUGACGAAUCCCUUGCAACGUAAGCACAAUGACACAAAAGAGAGAGUGGAACACAAGCUAUCCAAAUUAAGUCAGUCAAGGUAGGUCAAACUAUCUUGCCAUUGUCGUUUUCGGGGAAAAAAUGUUAGAAUAAAAUGUUAAAAGAAAAUUUAGAAUGUCUGCUAACUACUAAUAUGAGAAGAGUAAUAAAGACUUUAGAAAAAAAAAAAAAACAGUUAGUGGCAGACAAUUAAUAGUUGUAAAAGGCUUAAAGUUGUUUCAUAUAACAUUUUAGAAUAAACUUCAAUUUGCACCUCACUUAAAAUGAUAGUCUUCGAUUUACUUCCAGGAGGAUAAGGCUCAAACUCACGUCUUUGGCCCUAAGAAGGCAAUGCUCGAGAUAAGUCUUUGGCUCUAUUAUCGACCAUACAAAGAACAUGCAUCUCUUUUUUAUUUUUCCCCCCCAAAAAAAAAGAAAUCCAUCACCGCAUCCUCAAUUUACUCUCACCUUAUUGAAUGAAAAUGAAGGCUAAAUUGAUAUUUUCACUCUUUUAGGUGAUAAAAUCAAGAUUGUUGUUCUAUCGGGAGAAUGAAUUAAAAUUUACCAACUUUUAAAAUUAGAUUUCUCCGGUAUGUCUCGAAAUGAUUGAGGCUAUAAUAAGUAUAGGUUUUAAUAAAAAGAAAUAUCGGUGGAUUGGUUGUCAAAUAUUCCCUUCACAAAGACAAAAUAUAGAUUUUAUUCUAAUUCUUCAUAGGCUUUAUUUGAUUAUUUCCAAUAACAAUCCAUUAUAACAGUGAAUAGCUUUCUGUCAAGAUUAAAAAAAAAAAUGGCAGCCGAAGUUAGUUAAGAUAUUGGAUUAGAAACACAGUUUGAGAAGCCAAACAAAAACGAUUCCUUGCAAGAAAUGUAUUAAAAACCUUGAAUCACUCAAUAUGUGUAACAAAUUUUCAAGUUACCUUCAAAAUUCCCAAAGCAAACUUGGCCAAAAUUUAAUUUUCCUCCCACAGAAACAAUUUUUUUUGCUUUGAGCAGGUAACUUUCACAGUAGGCUUUUCAACUCAAAAAAAGUCAUAUGCUAGUUAAAGACAAAUCCAGGUCUUCUAAAAGUAGCUUAGGAACCCUCGCUGCGAUAGGAAAUUCUUGUGCAUGAACAUGCAACUCAAGCAAGCACACAUUAUGACAUAAUGGAACCAAAUUAAGUGUCGAACAAAAUACAGAAUGAAAAGAGUUAUAUCAUUGGUAGAAAGUUGUAUUGCUAACUGCUUGACACCAUCAUUCAACUAAUUUUAUGGCCUGACCAUCAGUGACAAAAUGCAACAAAUAUUUUCUAUGAAGUCAUAAAGUUUCCCAAGAGAGCUAAUUGGUUUGACAGGUUUAAAAUAUACUUUCAACGCAAAAAAGCUGUCUACAAUUAAACUUUUAUUAAGACUCAUAUACAGAAAGAAAUUUGCUAACGAAGAAACAAACAGUACAAAGGAUGAAUAGUAAAAAUGUCAUCGGUAACACAUAGAUGGACCGGAAAAGGAGUACCUUGAUGAUACUGGUGCAGCUACCAAAUCUGGCUUGCGCCCUUCGUAUGGGUGUUGCCUGUUGUAGUUUGAUAAAGCACUUGUGGCAUACAAUGAGUAUAGCCUAUCAGCUUGAUCAGUUUCUCCCCUUCUUAAGGGAUCAGUUCCGACCAAAUAAUGUUCUCUCUGUCUAGCAGCGGAGUAGGAACCUGAGGUGAUGUCUUCUCUCCUCAAGAAGGGGAUCUGGCUUGGUCUUCUCGCUGCACAUAAACAUCAAACCAUCAAGCUUAUCUUUUCUCAUUUCCUUCUCUUGGCUCUUUCCUGCGUCUCCUUGUUUCUCUUUGUCCUUGUGAUGCUUCGAACUCGUCUGACACAGGAAUCUUCUCUACACAUCUUUGCUUCCAGUGAUUUUUAUCUGCCCCACCAAUCUCCUCUUCACAUCUUUGUUUCCGGUGAUUCUUAUCGGACCGACCAAUCUCCUCUUGCUUCUUUUUUAUUCUGCUGGCUUGUCUUGGGUCCUUUUCUUUAGAAAGGUUCUCAUUUAGGUUUUCUUCCCUUGCAUUUAGCUUCUUAGAACUCUCUCCUUCAAUGUUGUUAUUAUCUCAUUUAGGUUUCCCUCUCUUGAAUUUAGCUUCUUAGAACUCUCUCCUUCAAUGCUGUUAUUAUCAUUCUUCUCAUCUAAUAAAUUUUUGUUCUUCUUCCUUCUGAAUCUACUCCAAGCUCGUGCAGCAACUUUGGCGUUUUCGGUCUUCAAGUCAUUAACUGGUGACUUUGUUAAGCAAAUAAAAGCACCAGGUCGGCCAUGCUACUAUUUCCACCCCGGCACGAAUCACCUCAGCCAAAUGGUACGAGCAGAACAGGGGGCAACAUGAGCUGAUCAGAGACGAAUACUGACCAGAGGUAUAUACCGAGCCGAUACACGUCCCCCAAAAAGCGGAAACACGAUCUCACAGAAUCACGGUAGUUGCGCUUUCCCCAGAACCGUUGCGGGAGACGCGAGAUCCCACGUUUGCCCAUAAUGCAGCAGUUAGAGUCCCAUGAGGGGCUGCCACUACCCGAAAAAGGUGGGAUGAAGGGCAAACGAGAACGUGGGGACAGCGGCUAUAAAAGAAGAAGAAAUCGAUGAAGAAAGGGAUAGAAAAAUUGAGAGAAGGGAAAACUCUGCCAAAUUGCAACCAGGCCAUUUUCUUACAGAUUUCGAACAAACCUCUUGAAUCCAAAUUGUAUUGUUUUCCCGUAAACACCUUGUACUAACUUAGGCAUCGGAGGGUUUACGCCGGCAAAACCACCGGCGUCUCUGAUCCGUUUUUGGUGAACGCAGGUCUAGUAAGAGAAUGGAGGGUGAUUCCAACCUUAGUGGUUCGAGCAACAGUCGAUAACAUAAACGUUGGUGAAAGGAUUUGGUCGGUCAAAAGGGCGAGCAGAUUUCGGCAUCAACAUUUUGGCGCCGUCUGUGGGGAGCUGGAUAAAAAGCUACCACCGAAUUAGUAGUUACCGGAGAAACAACGAACGAUUAGACAUGGAUUUGCCAAGGAAGGACGCUUUGAGGGAGGAUAACGAAGCUGGGGAGACAAUCACUCUUCGGGAAAUUGCAAAUGAGGCCUGGGAGAGGAUGAUGCAAGAUCGAUUUGAGCGGAUGGAGAAACAAAUGGAAACUCUCGCAACCAUACUGCACGAGCUGAGAGAUGAGCGGAGAAGGGAUUGUGAAACCUCCGGGGGGAGAGAUGAUGUUGGAGCAGAACCCAGCCUCCAGAGUCGUAGAGUCGAGGAAAUUCCUCCGCCUGCAGACCAACCUAACGGGGUGCAUCCCCACAGAAGCGUUGGUCCGGUUUCAGGAGAACGAGUAGAUGAAGGAAGGGACCAGCCUCUCCCCGGACGGGUACUGGAAGUCAAUAGCCGAGGGGCCAUUGUUGAUGAAAGAGAGCUCAGACAUUGGUUGCACAAUGCCGAGCUAGAACGAGACCGGAUGGCUGUACGUGAUCCUGACCGUGCCGUAGAAUUAGAAGGGGAGGUGCGCAGAUUGGCGCAGGUGAUGGAGGAGAUACAAGGCAAGAGAAAGCCCCCGAGCUGGAGGAUAAUGCUGGAUGAAGAAUCCCUGUUAUCAACCGAGAUCAUGGGUACGGUAAUCCCAAGAGAUUUCCGCUUCCCCGACCUCAAAUACUCCGGUCGAAGUGACCCUCUGGUGCAUAUUGAGCGUUUCAACGAUAUGACGGGGGUGCAGGGGUUGACACCAGCUCAGAAGUGUAGGGUGUUCCCGUUGACUCUCGAGGGGCGAGCCCGAGAAUGGUACCGCAAGCUGCCCCGAUGAGGUAUAAAAGGGUACGAGCAGAUGUGCCAAGAGUUAGCCGAAUAGUUCCGAGGGGCGGUAACCUCAGAGGAUGACAUGAUGGAACUGAUGGGGAUGAAACAGGAGGAGCAUGAGUCCCUUCGGGAUUUUGUAAAGCGAUAUCACCGGGCCGUGCUAGAUUUGGGAGCCAUUAAUCACCCAUAGGCGCUGAUGGGAUUAAAAGAAGGUGUAAGAAUUGGCCGAUUGUGGUAUAACUUGAGAAGCCCCCUGGUGCAGAAUUAUUCGGCGGGGUAUGAACAGGAGAGGCGAGACAUAGAAUUCGAAGAGGAGAAAUCGGCAAGGAUAAAGAGUGAACAACUAGAAGAGUUGAGGCGAAAAGAACGGAGAGUCCCGAUCGGGAGCAGAUCGGGAAAGCGAGCUGGGGAAUCAUCAGUUAUGGGCGGAAUAUCAGCUCGGUCCCGCCCUUACCCCAUAGCUCAGAGGCCACAACAGUUCCAACACAGCCGAGCCCAACCUCCGCGCACCCCGUUCCCGGAGCGGCAACGAGAAUUCAGGCAGAUGACUGCCCACCCUUAUCACAACACUCCCAGAGGGUUACAUGCAACUGGUUCCAGGGCUGGACGACCAGAUCAACUAGCGACUGUACCAGCCCGAGAUGACAUUCAUGAUAGCCGAGUAGUUCAGCUAGUAGACCAGCGCUUGGCAUAUAGACAGUACACUCCAUUAAAGAUCUCCAUGGAGGAAUUGUAUGAGAGGAUCGAGGGAUGAAGCCUGCUGUACCCUCCAGUCCCUAUAACAAAACCGGCUCACCGACGGGAUAAGAGCAGAUUCUACAAAUUUCACAACACUCACGGUCACACUGUCAGCCAAUGUCGUGACCUGAAGACUCAGGUGGAGGAUUUAGUGAGGAACCGAUACUUGGAUGAGUAUGUAGAUGGAAUGUCCCCCGUCAUUGAAUCACAGUACACGCGGGAUGAAGAAAAUGAGAGGGGCCUGGAACGUGAACAGCCAACUAUCCACGUGAUAGCAGGAGGGCCAACCUUGGCUGGGGAUUCGAACAGGGCACGGAAGAACCAUGGGAGAUACGCCCUGACUAGCAAAGAAGUGCUUUUCAAUCUGCCAGCAACCAAGAAGGCAAAAGUGCGGCAAGUUCCUAUUAUGUGGACAGAUGACGAUGAAGAGGGUAUCUUAUAUCCUCAUGAAGAUGCAUUGGUGAUUAAGGCAAUGGUGGCCGGUACAGAAUUGCGACGAAUACUAGUAGACACAGGCAGCUCGGUUGACAUCCUGUUUAAGUCGGCUCUAGAUGAUAUGGGGAUUGCAGACUUGAAAUUGGAGCGGACAAAUACAUCCUUAAAGGGAUUUGGAGGGGGACGGCUAACUCCCAUGGGGAUCAUCGAACUCCCAGUUACUAUGGAGACAAAGCCAUUUGAAAGAACGAUGAUGCUGGACUUUGUCGUGGUAGAGGAAAGAAGCCCUUACCAGAUGAUACUGGGGAGACCAUUCAUGAGGAUAAGCCAAUGCGUUGUAUCCACGCAUUACUUGGCACUGAAGUACAGAGUAAAUGGGGUGGUUGGUGUAGUAAAAGGUGACCAGAGAAUGGCAAGGAGCUGUUAUGCUACAGCAGCCAAGGAGACACUACAGGUUACUUCUCUAGAUAAUCGAGGAGAUUCUAAAAAGGGUCGCCAAGAGCCUGUCGAGAAACUAGAAGAGAUUUUGAUAAGCAAAAACAAUCCGAGCAGAGUGGUUAGGAUCGGAUCAGGUUUGGUCGGGGCAGUGAAAGGCGAGUUGGUGAAGUGCUUACAGUCUCACGCAGACAUAUUCGCCUGGUCUCACGAGGACAUACCAGGAAUUGAUCGUGAGGUAGCUUGCCAUAAAUUGGCAAUCAAGAAGGGGGCGAGGCCGGUGAGGCAGAAAAGAAGAUGCUUUAACCAAGAAAGGUACGAAGCCAUAAAUGCCGAGGUGGAGAAGCUGUUAAAAGCAGGAUUUAUAAGGGAGGCCAAAUACCCGGAGUGGAUUUCCAACGUAGUACUGGUAAAGAAGGCCAACGGGAAAUAGAGAAUGUGUGUGGAUUUCACAAACCUUAAUAAGGCAUGCCCGAAGGACAAUUUUCCCUUACCAAAGAUAGAUCAAUUGGUAGACUCCAUAGCGGGUCACAGUCUGCUCAGCUUCAUGGAUGCCUUUUCAGGAUACAACCAGAUACCCAUGGACGAGCAGGAUAAGGAGAACACCACCUUUAUAACUAACAUGGGUUUGUUUUGCUACAUGGUGAUGCCUUUCGGCCUGAAAAAUACAGGAGCUACCUAUCAAAGGUUGGUGAACCAGAUCUUCAAGCCCUUGAUCGAUCAUACAAUGGAGGUAUAUGUGGACGAUAUGAUCACAAAGUCUAAAGAACCGAGGGAUCACGUGAAGCACCUUGAAGAAACCUUUGAGUUACUGAGGAAGUAUGAAAUGAAGCUAAACCCGGAGAAAUGUGCAUUUGGGGUCAGCUCGGGCAAAUUUUUGGGAUUCCUGGUGAGUCACCAAGGGAUUGAGGCCAACCCAGAAAAAAUACGGGCGGUUACGGAGAUGAGGUCUCCACGGACAGUUAAGGAGGUGCAGAGCCUUACAGGGAAGUUGGCAACACUGAACCGAUUCAUCUCGAGGGCCACAGAUAAAUGCCACCCUUUCUUCCAAACCAUAAAGAAAUGGAGAAAGAUGGAGUGGACAUCAGAGUGCGAAGAAGCAUUUGGGCAGCUGAAGGAAUAUCUGACCCGCGCCCCGUUGCUAUCAACUCCAAGAGCGGGUGACCAGCUGUUUCUGUACUUAGCAAUCUCUAAAUGGGCUACCAGCUCGGUUUUGGUCAGGGAAGAAGAAGGAAAGCAACACCCGGUAUACUACACAAGCAAGGCCCUGGUAGACGCAGAAACCAGAUAUCCAUUGCUGGAGAGAUGGGCGUUGGCUCUAAUAAUGGCAGCACGAAAACUCCGACCAUAUUUUCAGGCCCACCAGAUUGUUGUGAUGACUGACCAGUCCCUUCGUCAAACGCUUCAAAAAACAGAUGCAUCCGGUCGGUUAGUAAAAUGGUCCGUGGAGCUAAGCGAAUUUGACCUAUCCUACAGGCCCCGAGGAGCAAUCAAAGCUCAAGCUUUGGCAGAAUUUAUGGUAGACCGAGCUGAGCCAGGGGAAGAAAUUCGGGAGGAGCAACCGAUAGAGCAGGAGAAACCAGAGGGGGUGUGGCUAGUAAUGGUUGACGGAUCAUGUAGUGAGCAAGGGUCAGGAGCAGGAGUUGUAAUACGAAGCCCAGAAGGAACCGAAAUAAUGUAUGCAGUGAAGUUCGAAUUUCAGUUCACGAACAACCAAGCUGAAUAUGAAGCCUUUAUCACCGGGCUCGGACUGGCACACGCUUUAAGAGCAGAGAUGGUAGAAAUUCGAGCGGACUCCCAAUUAGUAUGUAAUCAGCUCAAUGACCAGUUCCAAGCAAGGGGAGAGAAGAUGGGUCUUUAUCUGAAGAAAGCAAAGCAGAUGGUUGGGCUUUUCCAAGAGGUGGAGGUAAACCAGAUAUAUCGGAAUGAGAAUUACCGAGCAGAUAUGUUGGCUAGGAUGGCUGCAAUUGCAGAUCCGAAAUUACCUAAGUCGGUUCCACUAGAGGUAAAGACCUCACCAAGUAUAGGAGAGGAGGUAGAGGUGAUGAGAGUAAGCAUUGGAGAGUCAUGGAUGGACCCGAUUCGCGCAUAUGUCCGGGAUGGAAUCUUACCAGAGGACAAAAGGCAAGCAAGGAUAUUAAAAUGCCGAGCAGCGAGGUACACGCUACUAGAUGGAGUGCUGUAUCGCCGAGGAUUCACCUUGCCCCUUUUGAGAUGUGUGGAUGAUGAGGAGGCAGAUUAUGUACUGAGGGAGAUUCAUGAAGGAAUAUGCGGCAAUCACUCGGGAGCAAGAACUUUAGCCUUCAAGGCACUCCGACAAGGAUACUUCUGGCCAACCAUGCACCAGGAUGCGAAAAGGAUGGCAAAGAACUGUAAAACCUGCCAAAGCUUCUCUGAGGUUCCUGCACAACCCCCAGAAAAGCUGACCACUAUGACAUCCCCGUGGCCUUUCGCUCAAUGGGGAAUCAACUUGAUUGGUCCGUUGCCUAAAGGCCGAGGAGCGGCGACACAUGCAAUUGUGGUAAUAGACUACUUCACCAAGUGGGUAGAAGUGGGAGUCCUCAGCCAAAUCACGGAGAGGAAGACAACAGAUUUUAUUUGGAGGAAUAUCAUCUGCAGAUACGGGAUCUCCUAUGCUAUCAUUACAGACAAUGGGAGACAAUUUGACAACAGCAACUUCAGGAAAUUUUGCCGAAAUUUGGGGGUGGACCUGAAGUUCUGCACCCCCGCACACCCCCAGGCAAACGGACAAGUGGAAGCAGCCAACAAAGUAAUAAAGAAGCUCUUGAAAACUAGAUUGGGAGAGAAGAAGGGAGCCUGGGUUGACGAACUACCAGGAGUAUUAUGGGCUUACCGGACAACUCACAAAACCGCCACAGGGGAAACCCCGUUCGCUUUAGCUUUUGGUCAUGAGGCGGUAGUCCCAGCAGAAAUCGGAGUGGGGACACAUCGAACGAAAUAUUUCGCUGAGGAGCAAAACGACGAGCAGAUCUGCUUAAGCCUGGACCUGCUUGAGGAGAAAAGGGAAGGGGCCUCGCAGAAAGUGGCCCAGUGUCAGCAACGGGUCAUGCGCUAUUACAACAAGAACGUACGCAUGAGGCAGUUCCGAGCAGGAGAUUGGGCACUUAGGAAGGUGGACCAAAACACCAGGGAUCCUAACCAUGGCGCUCUUGGCCCAAAAUGGGAAGGCCUGUACAGAGUGAUACGAGCCACUGGACCAGGAGCUUAUAAGUUAGCGUACCAAGAUGGACGAGACGUGAAGAGGUCAUGGAACGCCGAGCACUUGAAGAAGUAUUUCCAGUAAGCAAAGUGCUCUCCUAAAUCCUCAUUUUGACAAAUUGUUUGUGUUAACUGCAUGAUGACUUGAUGCAUAUGUAUGUAUUCAGUAUUUUUGUAAUACAUUCAAGUUUCAAAUAAAGAUGAAUUCAGCAUGAAAUCCCCCUGCUAGCAAGCCAAAUAAAAAUUUUACUAAGGCAAAUAAGUGCCUAUUUCUGCUCGGUCAACGAAAGAUCAGCAGCUAAUUUUACGAGAAUUUUUACUAAGGCAAGCAAGUGCAUGUUUCUGCUCGGUCAACGAAAGAUCAGCAGCUAAUUCUACAAAAAUUCUACUAAGGCAAGCAAGUGCCUGUUUCUGCUCGGUCAACGAAAGACCAGCAGCUAAUUCUACAAAAAUUCUACUAAGGCAAAUAAGUGCCUGUUUAUGCUCGGUCAGCGAAAGAUCAGCAGCUAAUUUUACGAGAAUUUUUACUAAGGCAAGCAAGUGCCUGUUUCUGCUCGGUCAACGAAAGACCAGCAACUAAUUCUACAAAAAUUCUACUAAGGCAAAUAAGUGCCUGCUUCUGUUCGGUCAGCGAAAGAUCAGCAGCUAAUUUUACGGAAUUUUUACUAAGGCAAGCAAGUGCCUGUUUCUGCUCAGUCAGCGAAAGAUCAGCAGUUAAUUUUACAAGAAUUUUAACUAAGGCAAGCAAGUGCCUGUUUCUGCUCGGUCAAAGAAAGACCAGCAACUAAUUCCACAAAAUUCUACUAAGGCAAAUAAGUGCCUAUUUCUACUCGGUCAACGAAAGACCAGCAGCUAUUUUAACGAAAGUUUUACUAAGGCAAGUAAAUGCCUAUUCCUGCUCGGUCCACUAAAGAACCAACAGGAAAAAUCAAAUAAAUUAUCAAAUUAGUUUGCAGAAACAAUCCAGAAGCAAAAAUGAGAAAAGAAGGCCAGUAAAGAACAUCCAAAAAUUUAUAAACAUUUAAAUGUUUACAAAACUAAUGAAAAUCUAAAGUCUAUACAAAAAUAGACCUAAGGAUUAGGAGGGUCAACGGCUUCAGCCGGUGAAGGAUCAGCUAUCUCUAGAGGUGGAAGAUCAGCAAUACCGGGAGGAGGCGGCAUGGACCCUUGUCCCACUUCCAAGGCACGUCCCCCAGCUUCCCCCUCCUACACCCCAUCUAAAGGAGCCUCCACCUAAUCCUGCUCACCCUGCUCCUUAUCUGCUUGGCCGAUCUCCGCCAUAUAUCGCUGCACUCCGGCCUCCAGCUUGCUAAUGUCCAGCUCGGGAUAUUCUUCCUUAAGCACAGACAUGAUGCACUUAUAGGAGAAGGCAACCCCAGAAUCAUACUCGGCAUCCAGCCGAUCGUUCACAUCAGCGGAUUUGCCUUUCUCCUCAGCCAGCUGCUCACCCAAGGAUUUGAUUUCCCCCUCAAGGGCGGCCCUCAGAGUAUCCCUUUCACUUUGAGUAGCCUGAAGAUCAGAUCUCAGGUCACCCAACUCACCCUCGAGUUUGGAGGAAGUGGAUUCAGCAACCGCAACUUUCUCCUCUAGCUCCGUAAUCUGCUUGUUCAGCUCAGCCAGCUUCUCCUUGGAGCGAUCAACAGAUUCAGCUUUCUUCUUCAAUUCCUGAUUGUCAGCUUGAAGCUUCCUCUCAUGGCGCGCGGACCCAGUCUUGUAGCACGAAACCAUGGUGGCCAGCCUGAAGGACACUCUCUGAACAUAAGCAGCUAACUCGGAGAGGUUCAUACUCUCGAUGUCCUUCACCAUCUUGGGCCCCACCGAUUUUUUGUAAUCCUUCUGAUACGGGCUCAGGUAGUCACCUUGAUCCCGAGAUGGUAGAGGAGAAGAUCGGUCCCCAGACUGGAAGCUGACCUCAGGACUCUUGUCAGAAGUUUUCUCCCCACCACUCUUACGGGGUGGGGGAGGGGGCAGAGCAGGGACAUGAGCCUUGGAAGGGCCGACGCUGGUUUUCUUUGGAGGAGGAGGAGGGUUGCUGGAGCUGCUUGGAGCCCGACCACGCUUCCUGCUCAUCGCGCUGAGGAUCUUGUUAUCCAUUCCAGCGGCUAUGUCCACUAGGCCCGAACCGACCAGGUUUGUUGGUGACAGGAGGUCUUGGCAGGUAGACGCGUUCACCAGAGUAGUUUCCACCUGAAGCAAAGGUCGAUCUUCAAGCCCCCCGAUCAAACCCCACAACUCUGAAAUAGCAAAAGAGGUUAAAGAACUCGAUAAGUGACAAUUUGACUAAGAACAUAGGCAAAAAUAAACGACAUGGGGUGACAAAAUGUAUGGGAAGAUAAAUGUCCCCACCAAGCGACCGAACUGCUGGACACCAGUUCCCUCCAGCAAAGAAGAAUUUGUUCUUAUAAUUUUUACAUGAAGAGGGAAACCCAGUGAUCGGUUUCCUCUUUGCAAAACUGGACAUAAAGUAGUACCAGCCCGCUUCCCUCGGGCUACUCCGCAGCUGGUACAGAUGUUUCACUUCAACAAGGGAAGGCUCCUCCGACCCGCACCUCUCCCACAACACAAACAUUGCCGAGAGAACCCUCCACCCAUUUGGGUGUAGCUGACCUGGGGCUAGGUGCAUACCGCCCAGUAUCUUGGCAAAAUAACGUUGAAGGGGCAGCCGAGCUCCUAGUCUGAAACUCUCCAAGUGCAUCGUCACAUACCCUUUCGGAGGCCGACUAGGGACAUCAUCUUUUCCAGGAACUACAAGAAGAACCUCGUUGGGGAUAUUGUAGAGGUUCCUAAGCUUAAAUAGAUCAGUGGGGGUGGUGGCGCAAGCUAUGAAAUCAAUAGGGUAGGAAUCAGCCUCCACAGUAUGGCCAAGAUUCCUUUUCUUAGCAGGUCCGCUCGGUCUGGAACUGCUCCCCUCACCAUCACCAACUCCUUCAGGGAUCCCAACCCCACCGAAGCUGUGGUUCUCACCAGAGCCCGACGUAGGUCCACCUCUAUUCCCUACAAGCUCUAGUUCGGGGGAGGGAGAGACAACCAAGGGGCGUGGGUACUCAAGGGUAUCCAUGCCAUGGGAAUGACCUACACUACUGGAGGGACCUAAGAAAUCGGUCGGUAUUGACACGUUGAGGCCUGAAUCCCCUGAUUCUUUAUCACCCUCAUCAACAAUUAACUUUCUUUUCCUAUUUGACAUAUCGGAAUCCCAAAAGAAAACAAAGAAAACUCGAAUAUACGGAUACAAAAGGGGGCAACACGGAACCCAAUCAACAACAACCAGAGAAGAGAUUAAAAGUAGUACCUGAAAUGAACUGGCCCUGAUAGCGCUGCCGUGACAGAGAAAAAACCAGCAAGUAGAAACUCUGGACGCAGGAAGUGUGAGUAAAGUUCAGAAAGGGGGUAGGUUAACGACGGAGAGACGAGUAACAAAACGAUGACGAUGUAAAUCUAGGUAUUUGAAACGAAAAGGGGGAAAUGAAAGCAUUUAAGUGAUGGAGAUGCCAGCUCACUCAUCGUACAUCGAGGACAGAUAGCCCGUCGUUUCAAAUUUCAAAUACGAAGAGUCUGGAGAUGUCACGUCACUAACCGCUACAAGGGGCCAGGCUAGAUGUGAGCCCAAAUACGCAAUGGACAUGCUCAGGUCAAAAUCUCCCCUGAAGAAAAAUGAUACCUCAGGUCCGUCCCGGUAGACAGAAGACCAGAGGAGAAGCCCCCGGAUUGGUAAGAUUUGACUAUCAGUUUCUACUCUUGACUCAUUUCACUCACAAGACCAGAAACUGGGGGACUGGUGUUAAGCAAAUAAAAGCACCAGGUCGGCCAUGCUACUAUUUCCACCCCGGCACGAAUCACCUCAGCCAAAUGGUACGAGCAGAACAGGGGGCAACAUGAGCUGAUCAGAGACGAAUACUGACCAGAGGUAUAUACCGAGCCGAUACCCGUCCCCCAAAAAGCGGAAACACGAUCUCACAGAAUCACGAUAGUUGCGCUUUCCCCAGAACCGUUGCGGGAGACGCGAGAUCCCACGUUUGCCCAUAAUGCAGCAGUUAGAGUCCUAUGAGGGGCUGCCACUACCCGAAAAAGGUGGGAUGAAGGGCAAACGGGAACGUGGGGACAACGGCUAUAAAAGAAGAAGAAAUCGAUGAAGAAAGGGAUAGAAAAAUUGAGAGAAGGGAAAACUCUGCCAAAUUGCAACCAGGCCAUUUUCUUACAGAUUUCGAACAAACCUCUUGAAUCCAAAUUGUAUUGUUUUCCCGUAAACACCUUGUAAUAACUUAGGCAUCGGAGGGUUUACGCCGGCAAAACCACCGGCGUCUAUGAUCCGUUUUUGGUGAACGCAGGUCUAGUAAGAGAAUGGAGGGUGAUUCCAACCUUAGUGGUUCGAGCAACAGUCGAUAACAUAAACGUUGGUGAAAGGAUUUGGUCAGUCAAAAGGGCGAGCAGAUUUCGGCAUCAACAGACUUCUUUGCAAUUUUAGAUCUGGCCUUCAAUGAUUUAUGGAUUUUAUUUUCAGAUGAUUUUGCUUCGGUUGAGGCUUCCCCAGCAUUCCCAUCUUCCUUCUUCUCUUCAUUUUCUUGUGCCAUAGUCUACCCAAAUAACCAGGCUCCCAACAGACCAUAAUUUAGGGAUUAUUCUGUUGUUCACUAUUUAAAAUAUGAAAUACAAAACUCAAAAGCCCGGCAAAGGAAUGAAAGAAGCUGAAGAAGUGAAAAUGCAUCAAAAUUUGCAAGAAAAUAAUAAAUAUACAAUGCCUUCAUAAUGCAUAUAGCAGAUGGUGGCUAAUUGCCAAUUACUUGACAAUGAUAGGCAAAUUCUUCUGUCAGAAAGCGGGGUGAAAAAGGUCAGAAUCUUGAGACCUGCUCAAUCACAAGAUUGCAACAAAAAGGAGUCUGAUAAUAUACAAUGGGCAAUAAGAGAGAUUGGGUGUAUUGAAAUUAUGGUAGUGAGCUAAAAUAUUAUAAUAUUUGUAAUUCGCAUAUCACUAGAAAAAUAUUUUUCUUAUGUUUUCGCCCAUGAAUCUAGAUUAAAAGUUGAACCACCUAAAUUUUGAUGUCCCUAUGUGAUUUUGUUGUCUCAUGAUUUUUUAAUUUCACUUUAAUUGCAUAUCUGCUUCACCAAUCAAUAUGCAUUGAAGAAUGCUUACAUUAGUUUGUGUUUGGCUCAUCAUCACAACCAUUUCAUUCAAGAAAUCUCCUAUUCCCUCAAAACAAAACUAAAAAGUCUCAUGUAAUAAAAUCCUCCCCCGUUCCCCCCUCCCCUCUUCUUGUGGGAGUUAAUUUUGCUGUAUCUUCAAAGCAACAAAAGCGCAUUAAAAAGUUAAAGAUGAAAUGAAAUCAAUAUAUAUAUAUAUAUAGAGGGAGAGAGAGAGAGACACACACACACACACAAAAUUGGAGCUCAUAUUAUUUUAUUCAUCAUCACUAUCAUGGACUCCUACAUAGUACAAGAACCUCUUGUUGGCAACAAAUAGAACUUGAAGAGAGAAGAAGGAAAACAACAUCUCGUGAAUCCGAUAAUUAUCCGUCAUUAUAAAAAGGAUUACAAUUUUAUUUCUUAUUGUAUACUACAAAUUACAUGCAUAAUAAAUAAAUAAAUAAGAAUUAAAAAUUUUGGAAUUUAGUAAGGUUAACAGCAGAAUAGGCAUGUUGAAUGGCGUAAAAUCUCUUCGUGGCUUCUUUCACAAAAUUUGAAUCUCUUGAAGUUGAACAACGGCUUGGAUAUAUAGAGCCACAAUCACCUUGUAAAAAAAAAUUCAUACAGAUGUUGCAUGAGAAGAUUGGUUGUAUAAAACUAUUAUAGACCCACAUAAUUUACAAAAAUAAUAGUUAUCGCUUUUUAACUAAUGUCUUUAUGCCACAUUAGUUUGUUUACACAAGUUCAUAUAAAAAUGUUUGUGGUUACAUCAUUAUUGAUUUUGAAAAUAAUAUUUUAAUAUUUUUAUCUCAAAUGAUAGGAUAUUUUUUGACACAUUGGAUGCUUUUGGAUUUAAUGAUACCUUUGUAUAUUUUAUUUAUUAUUUCAUCUAACAUUGUUUGAUGAGUGAUGAUAGAGUUAAAAGCUCUUGUAUAAACUUAUUUUAUAUAUAUUGAUGAAAUUUAAAUUUAUUGGUUGAAUAAAAUUACCAAAUAAUAAAAAUAAAUAAUAUGAGCCAAGAGUUAGGGUUAGCCAAACUCAAUCCAACCCGAUGAACACAAUCCAACUCAAUCUAAUCUAAUCAAAUUUUGAUGGGUUGAGUGAAUUAUUAUAAGGUUAAUUAGGUAAAUUUUUUCGAAUCCAAUUAAUAAUUGAGUUGAGUUAGGUUUGGUUAAUUAUGAUGAACCUGUCUUACCCAACCCCAUCCAUGUAAAUAAUAGUAAUAGUAAUAAUAGUUAGGCAUCCAGUACUGCUUACCAAAUAGAAGCUAAUUCCUGCAAUUUACAUGAAAAUUGCACGAAAUAUCACUAUCCUUAUUUUCUUGAUUUCACCUUCAUUGUGUAUUUUUCUCCAGAAAUUCCAAACUUACGAAGAGGAUUCGGGCCACGUUCUAUGCAUCAUAUGGAAUGCGGCCAUUUUUCUGUGUAAUUUGUGAGGCGUUAUAUUACAUGGAGCUUGACUUCUUUCUUUCUAUGAAUGGUCAGAUGGCAUUGGUGAGAGGUUCUUCUGCUUCUUUGUUGAUUGUUCUGCUUUUGGCUUUUUUAUUAAAGUUAUUUUGAAUCCGCUUUCAGAUUGUGUGUUUAAUGAUUUGAUUAAAUUUGUGUUUAGUUAAAUGUAUUUGGAUUUCUGGAGUAUUUCAGCAGUUAAUGAUGAAAUUCAGCAUUAAAUUAACUUAUAAUCAUUCUAAUUAUCGAUUUUUUUUGUCAUGAAACAUCAUUAAGCACCUGCCAAAGACUGAAAGACACCAGUUUAAGGGUGCAUUUGUGAUUGAAGUUGGGCAGCUAUAGUUUAAAAGUUACAGCACUAAAGUGUUUGAUAAACACUAACUGAUGUAGCUUUGAAGAUAUGUUGAUAUGAUUUUUCACUUAUAUAAUAAAAAAUAUAUUAUAUCUUUAAUAAUUUUAUCAAAAUUAUUAUUUAAAAUUUAUAUUUAUUAUAUAUUACUAACUUUUAUUUCAUAAUUAUAAUUUUUUUUCACAGCAGCUGUAGCCCAGUCCCAAACGCACUCUAAUUUUUAUCUCUCAACACUCUGUUUUGCACCAAGGUAUCCAAUAUAUACUAGUUUAUUAAAUAAUUUUGAUUAGUGCUGAUUGCUAGUGUAUCAGUCUCCUAAUUAAUUAAAUGUGAAAACAUUCUAUUAUAUACUAGUCGAUUGAUUUUUCUUUUAAUCUUCCUGUUAUAUUCCACGACAGAGCUGAUUUAAAGACUUGGCCCAACUCUUCCCUCUAUGUUCAUUAAAUGUUAAUAUUUUUCUGCACCAAGGUUGACUUGAUGGUGCGUUAUUUUCAAUUUUUUUCAUUGACUUGUAUUUUUGUUUAAAUAUUGACAAAAAAUUAAGAAAGCAAUCAGCUCUUGUAACGUGCUCUGUUCUGUUUUCCACCAAAAAUAUAAUCAUUUAUUACCUCUAUCUUAUCAAAUAAUCAUGAUUAAUGCUGCUGGGAAAGUUCUAUUAGUCUUUCUUUUGAUAUAUCUUUACCAAUCUCAUCAGCUUUUGCCUCUUUUAUGAUGUGUUUUUUUAUUUUUUAACUCUUCUCAACCUUGGACGUGAGCCUGAUUCAAGCAGUAUUAUCACUCGUGUAAUUUAUUAAUGAGCUCUUUUCCCGUCAUAUAAUGCCGAUGCUUAUAUAUUCUACUCUUACCAUUCGAUUUUUGUACGCCUAGUACUUGUAGAUCAUUUUAAUUAUAUAUAUACUUCAUACUUGAUGGAGUGAAUAUAAUGCAUAAGAUAUUCAUUCAGUUAUAUGUAGAUAUAUUAAACUUUAGUUUAUGUACUAGACUAACUAAUGGACUUCUAACCUAAAUCAUCGAUAGAUUCUUAAGAUAAUUAGGCUUAAAUACGCAAUCGUCACUAAUUAUUAAUAAUUCAUGAAACCUCUAUUGCAACAGUGAUGAGAAUUGAAGUAUUAGUUGCUCUGGUUAUUCACAUCAUGACAAAUAAAUAGAGAGAUUUUGGCGGUUUCCUCCAUAAAUUUAUCACCUCAUCAUCCUCAAUUAUAUCCGAAACUCUUUACAAUCCCUAAUAUAUUUUAAAAGGUUUACUUUUGACAUUUUAAUAACUUCAAUUAGAUUCUCAAAAAAAAAAUUAAUAAUAAUAACUUCAAUUAGACCAAGCAUAUUUAGUUUCUUGAAGAUUUAUUCCUGAAAAAUCCAACCUGAUUUUUUUUAACUUUUUUUUUUAUAUUUUAUUAACAACUACUUUCUAAUAUUUGUUUAUUAAUCAAGAUAGAAUUGGAGUUUAAUGAUAAAAUGAUCACGAUUUUAAUUUAAAGAUUUGAGCCCAAAAUCACUUGGCUAUCAUAUAUACUCAAUAAUCACUUGAUUAUCAUACUCAUAUAUUACUCAAUAAUCAAAGCUAAUUAUUACUGAAUAAUCACUUGAUUAUUUGAAAAAUGCUGGCAGCACUUGCAACUCCCUGGAACCCUCGUGUAAGUGUAGAUUCCGAGUACAUCAACUGUUCGAAAAAAUGCCCAUUUGAAGAAGUUGAGGACCCGGGGACCCGCCACUGGUACUAUAAGUCUCAUCUUUUGUCUUUUUAUUUGUAUAUCUAUUUUUUUUAUUAAAAAAAAUUGAUAAUAAAGUCCGCAAAAAGUUUGUAGGAGGGUAAUUAGAAAAGCACAUGGGUCACUUCACUUUGGGUCUCUUGGCCUUCAUCAGUUCAUUGUAAUUAUCAACAGUAAAAGACAAUACAACUGUGAUGCAUUUUCACAAAAAGUUUGCAAAGUCUUCAUUUUCACAAAAAGUUUGCUAAUAGAAAAUUUUUAAGUAAUAUUGUUGUUAUUGAAUGUAACUGCCAUGUAAUCAUUCUAAGUAAUAUUGUUAUUUAUGUAGAAGGUUUUUCCCGUAACGUUCUUGACAAAGCGCUUGUGUUUGUUGGUUAAUCGGAUUAGCAUUUUGAUUGUUCGUAAAGCACUGGAAAACUCGCCCUGAAUCAAAAAUCAUUCUCAAUCUAUUUAAUUCCCUCUGGUAUUAUUGCUUAUGAACUGUACCUUUUAAAUUACAGUAGUUAAAUAUUUAAUAAACACUUAAAAUUAAUAAAAGUUACCAUAAAAAUUACUUGAGAAGCCUUACAACUACAAGUUGAAAAAUAUCGGCAACACAGCAGUAACUGGUAACAAGAAAAUUCAAUGAGACGCCAAAAUGCCACCUAGCGCUAUCCAAUUAACCUGUGGGUGAGGGUAUUUCCACCCUACUAUUUGUGUAAAUCCACCCCACUUCUAAAAAUAUUUAUAAUAAAUACACUUUUUUUUAAUAAAUACAAAUCAACAGAAAAAAUUAUAUAAUUAAUCAAUUAAAUCAUUCUUAUAUUUUUUUUUCUUAAGUUAUUUACUUGCGCUGUAAGAAUCGGAAUUGGAAUGAACAACAUUCUCAUUGAUGUGUUUACUUUAUUUUAUAAUUGGAAUAACUAUUUCAAGUUAUUAAAAUGCCCUAAUAUUAUUUGUAUAUAUUAUAACUAAAACAACAAUAAUAAUAAAACUAAAAAUAAUACUUCUGACAAUAAUGUUAAUUAAAACAAAAAAUUAAUAAAAUUUAACAAUAAUAAUAAUAACAAAAACAAAAAAAUUAACUGAAAUAAUAAUAUUAAUAAUGAUAAUAAUUAAAAUAAUAAAAAUCAUUAAUAGUUUUAAUACUAUUAUUAAUAAAAAUAAUAACAACAAUAACUAAUAAUAAUUAAAAUAACAAAGUUAAUAUAAUAAUAACAUUAAUUUUAAUCAUAACAAGAUAAAUAUUAAUAAUAAUGAAUUAAUUACGGUAUAAUAACAAUUAAAAUAAUAAAAGUAAUAAAUUUUAAUAAUAAUAAUGACAAUAAUAAUCAUAAAUAAUAAUAAUAAUUAAAAUAAAUAAAAAUAAUAAAAUUUAAUAGAAAUAAUCUUAUAUAAUAAUAAUAAUGAUAAUAAUAAUAAAAAUAAAUUAAAAUUAUUUUCAAAUGUCAUUUUAUCAUAAAAAUGGACUUAUAUGUAAAAAUUUGUAACAUUUAGUGUCUAUUGAAUUUUACAAAAAAUAUAAGGUGGUGUGGUGUAAUCAACUACAAAAGAAUAAAAGUUGUUGUAUAUUACAACUGUUGCAACAUAGGCGGACCCUAUAUAUAUGUAUUUUAAAAAAUAAUGAAACCGUAAUAACCCUUAUAACUAUGUAUCUCAAUCAUUGAGAAUCUAGUUGACUUGGAAGCACGAGUCUUCACCUCAUAUGAAUUUAGUUCGACAUUUUUGCAUUAUUUGGAUUACCCAUUGAGUCUUGAGAUCAAACUUGUGCCCCUGCAUUUUCUUUUAGUCUAAUCGCUUAGCAUACCUUAUUAUUCGUGUAUUAUCGUUUUUUUUUAUGUUUAUUAACAUCUAAUCACUAAUCUUUGUUUGCUUCGGUGAAAACUUUGAUCAAGAUAGAGUUGUAGUUUACUGAUAAAAUGAUCACGAUUUUUAAUUUAAAGAUUUGAUUCCAAGAUCCUAACAUUCACAUUUUUAAUUAUAUUUGUUGAUAAACAAGAAAAAAAUUGAUUAGAAGAAUACGACAAUAAGAAGAUAAAAAUACUUGCUCAAAUACUCUGCCGUGUGCUUACAUACAAAUCCACUCUCUUAGCUUUUUAAUCACAUAUAUAAAUCAUCAUCAUCACUAGAUGAUCAUAUAUUUACUCAAUAAUCAAAGCUAGUUAGUGAAAGCUUUGAAUGGUCUUCCAAGAUUGAAGAUGAGGGCAGCACUAGGAACUUCCAGGAACCUUCUCGUAAAUUUAGAUAGAUGCCGAGUGUAUGGACUGUUCGAUGAAAUGCCUCUAUGAAGUUGAGGAAUGGAGAGAUUGCAUAACGACCACAUGUUUGGAACUUGAAUUCAGACUGUUAUUAUUAGAAGCACAUGUCAUGGGGUCUCUUCACUUUAACCUUUGGUCCCAUCCUCUGGCCUUCUGCCACCUGGAUCUUCGCAGCAACUUUGCUGAGUAAGAUUGACGAUUGCAGUGCUACGCUAUUUGUCACUUUAGUCUAGAUAUAAAGCUUAAAAUCUUAUCACAGGGUAAUAAUAUCAGUAAACAUUUGACAAAUCACUGAUCAAUUGAUCUUUUCAAGUCACUUGUAUCGUUUCCAUCGGAUUUGACGCCAUCAAACUACAAAAAUUUAUGUAAAAUUUUUGAAGUAACAAAAUUGUCUUACCCAUUAUACACGAUAGAAUCUCGGAUCAUGAAUGAAGUGAUGUCAAUUUCAAUUAAAAAGAUUUCAGUCUCAAGACCCUAACCCGUUUAGGUUAUUGAGCGAACGACUUAUCAAAAUGAGAAAGCUACAAAAUAUGUGACAAUACGAGGACAGCAAAGAAAUUAAGCCAUCAGCUCUUGGAGUGUAUUCUGUUUUGCACAAAAAAUAUAAAUCAGUGAUCACCUCUAGUUUAUCAAAGUAAUCAUGAUUAAUGCUGUAAGGAAAGCUUUAGUAGUCUUUCUUUAUGAAUCUCGCCCGCUUUUGCUUUUCUUUUAGCAUAGUCUUUCUUUGUAUCCCCAGUCAACCCAAAGCCUUUAACUAUGAUCUUCUCUUGAAUAGAUCUUGUCUAAUAAAAAAUUGAGAUCCUCUCUUGAAUAGAGUUUACCCUUGAAAAAUAAGUAUACAUUAUCAUUCAUGUACUGUCAAAAUUUGAGCUUAAGUUCCAACUAUUUAAAAAUUAUUGUUUAUUUUUGUUGGUGAAAGCAAAUCGAUUAGAAGAAUGUGGUACUGGUAAUAAGAAGAUAAAAAUGCUUGCUCAAUACUUUGCCGUGUGUGCUUUCUUACAAAUCCACUAGCUUAGCUUUUAAUCACAUAGAUAAGUCGUCAUAUUCACAUAUAUAAGUCGUCAUAUUAUCAUAUAUUACACAAUAAUCAAAGCUAAUUAUUGAAACCUUUCGAGUUUGAAAAUGCCGGCAGCACUUGCAACUUCCAGGAACCUUCGUGGAAGUGCAGAUGCUGAGUGCAUCCAUCUGUUCGAUUAAAUGCCGAAAUGAUUUCGAGGACCCACACGACCACGCAACAUUUUUUUUUUGUUCAUUUUAUUUGUAUAUCUAUUUGUGGGAAAAAAAAAAGAAUCAUAAGGUCCGCAAACUUUGGCUUUAUAGCAGAGUAAUUAAUUUUUUAUUUAUUACUCAUCAACUUAGAUUUUUAAAUUACAACAGUAAUAAAAUAUUUAAUAAACAAUUACAAAUAAUUAAAGCUGCCAUUAAAAAUGUUUGAAAAGUCUUACGAUUACAUGCUGAAAAAUGUCCGCAUCGGCAUCAUAGCACUUACUAGUAACAAGAAAAUUCAAUGAAAUGCCAAAAUGAUACCUUGCGCUGUCCAAUUAACCUAUAACUUUAACACUAUUUACAUGCAAUUAUAACCAUCUAUCUCAGUUAUUAAGAAUCUAUAGUUGACUUGGAAGCACGAGUCUUCUCCUUGUAUGAAUUUAGUUUGGCAUUUUCCUAAUCAUCCCUCUUCUCUAAUCUCUAGAGUUCUCUGAAAUCUCUUCUUCAUUUUCUGUCUCCCUUUUCUUAAUAAUCCUUGUCCUCGAUCCUAUACAUUCUUUAAAAACCUUCCAUUGCACUCGCUUUUCAAUUUGUCUUGGCAGAAAAAGGAUCCCCCUUUGUUUCAUCUCUAGAUCCGUCACUCUUUUUCUCUCCUCCUCCCUUAAAUCUAUUCAACCUCUUAUUUUAGCAAUUUAUCCAAACUUCUUAUUUCCCUUUCCCAGCUGAUUGAUUAGUUCUGCUUAGUUUGAUUAGUUUUGCUUUCCCCUGUUUUCUGAAAGCGAAAAAUAAAAAAGAAAGGGAUAAUGGAAAUUGUUAUCUCCGUUGCUGCAAAAGUUGCAGAGUACUUGGUUGCUCCCAUUGUUCAUCCAUUUACUUACUGCUGCAGCUACAACACCAACUUGGAGAAGCUGAAGAAUGAAUUUGAGAAGCUAAAGAUUGCUAGAGCCAGUCUGCAGUACAAGGUUGAAGAUUCCAGAAAUAAAGGGAACGGAAUUCAGCAGCACGUUGAGGAGUGGCUGAUUAGUGCGGACAAGGUGAUCAAUGAAGUCGAAACACUUAUUGAAGACAAAGAGAAUUCAAACAACCGGUGUUUGAAGGGGUUGUGUCCUAAUUUGAGGACUCGGUACCAGCUUAGCAAGAAAGCAGAAAGAGAGGCGAAUGCUAUUAUUGGACUCCAUGAAAAAGGGGGAUUCGACAGUGUUUCUUUCCGUAUCAUUCCAGAGGAGCCAUGGCUUAACUCUACCCAGGGUUUCAUGCACUUUGAAUCGAGAAAGUUCACUUUGAAUGAGAUACUAGACGCACUGAGCAACCGUAACUUCAACAUGAUCGGGGUGUACGGGAUGGGCGGCAUUGGAAAGACCACUCUGGUGAAAGAAGUUGGCAGGCAGGUCAAGGAAAAUAAUCUCUGCGAGAAGGUCAUUUCUGCACAUGUAUCCCGAACACCGCAAAUAAAAGAAAUACAAAGAGAAAUUGCAGAGAAGCUGGGCCUGAAAAUAGAUGAAGAGAGUGAAACUGCAAGAGCAGGGAGGCUGCUUGAAAGAUUGAAGAAAGAGAAGAAGAUCCUCAUAAUCUUGGAUGAUAUUUGGGGGAGUCUUGAUUUGGAGGCGAUUGGAAUUCCAUUGGCGGAUGAUAACAGCGGACGUAAAGUUCUGCUGACAUCAAGAAGUGUAGAUGUGUUGUCUUGUAAGAUGGAUUGUCAACAGAAUUUUCGUGUUGAUGUUUUGAAUGGAGGAGAAGCUUGGAGUCUUUUUACGAAGACGACAGGUGAUUGCAUAGAAAAUGAUGAAUUGAGAUCGGUAGCAAAAGAUAUAGUCAAGGAAUGUGCUGGUUUGCCCAUUGCCAUUGUACCCGUAGCAAGGGCAUUGAGAAACAAGAGAUUGUGUGAAUGGAAGGAUGCUUUGCUAGAAUUAAGAAGGCCCUCCUUGAGGAACUUCAGUGGAACACUGGAGGUGGCAUAUAAAAGUAUAGAGCUAAGUUACAGUCAUUUAAACGAGGAGCUCAAGAGUACAUUUUUGCUAAUAAGUUGCGCGUUCAUCUCUUGCGUUGAAGACGUGCGCUUUUAUGGAAUGGGUUUGGGUCUGUUUCAAAACAUCAACACGUUGGAAGAGGCGCGGGAUAGAGCACAUACAUUGGUUGACAAACUCAAAAAAUCUUGUUUGUUGCUUGAUGGCAAUACAAGUGAACGAUUCUAUGCACGAUGUUGUUCGUGAUGUAGCCAUAUCAAUUGCAUCUAGAGACCAACAUGUGUUUGCGGUGGAAAAUGAGGUUAUUCCGCUGACCAGCUGGCCACAUAAGGAGAGACUGAAGGUUUGCAGGGGGAGGUGCGCAGGUUGGCGCAGGUGAUAGAGGAGAUACAGGGCAAGAGAAAGCCCCCGAGCUGGAGGAUAAUGUUAGAUGAAGAAUCUCCGUUAUCAAUCGAGAUCAUGGGUACCAUAAUCCCAAGAGAUUUCCGCUUCCCCGACCUCAAAUACUCCGGGCGAAGUGACCCACUGGUGCACAUUGAGCGUUUCAACGAUAUGACGGGUGUGCAGGGGCUGACAUCAGCUCAGAGGUGCAGGGCGUUCCUGUUGACACUAGAGGGACGAGCUCGAGAAUGGUACCGCAAGCUGCCCCGAGGAAGUAUAAAAGGGUAUGAGCAGAUGUGCCAGGAGUUGGCCGAGCAGUUCCGAGGGGUAGUAGCCCCAGAGGACGACAUGAUGGAACUGAUGGGGAUGAAACAGGAGGAGCACGAGUCCCUACGGGAUUUUGUAAAGCGAUACCACCGAGCCGUACUUGAUUUGGGAGCUUUCAAUCACCCGCAGGCGUUGAGGGGUUUAAAGGAGGGUGUGAGGAUAGGCCGGCUAUGGUAUAACCUGAGAAGCCCCCUAGUGCAGAAUUAUUCAGCAGGAUAUGAGCAGGCAAAGAGAGAUAUCGAAAUCGAAGAAGAAAAAUCGGCAAAGAUAAAGAGUGAACAGCUGGAAGAGCUGAGACGAAAGGAAAGGAGAACUCCAAAUGGGAGCGGGUCGGGAAAGCGAGCUGGGGAACCCUCAGUAAGGGGCGGAACAUCAGCUCGAUCCCGCCCUUACCCCAUAGCUCCGAGAUCACAACAGUUCCAGCACAACCGGGCUCAACCUCCACGUCCCCCAUUCCCGGAUCGGCAGCGAGAAUUCCGGCAGAUGGCUGCCGACCCCUAUCAUAACACUCCCAGAGCAUUACAUGCAACCAAUUCCAGGGCUAGACGACCAGAUCAGUCAGCGACUAUGCCAGCCCGAGGUGACGUUCAUGAUAGCCGAGCAGUUCAGCUGGUAGACCAGAGCUUGGCAUAUAGACAAUACACUCCACUAAAGAUCUCCAUGGAGGAAUUGUAUGAGAGGAUCGAGGGACGAGGCCUGCUGUACCCUCCAGCCCCAAUAACAAAACCGACUCACCGACGGGAUAAGAGCCGAUUCUGCAAGUUCCACAACACUCACGGUCACACUAUCAGCCAAUGUCGUGACCUGAAGAUUCAGGUGGAGGAUUUAGUGAGGAACCGAUACUUGGACGAGUAUGUAGAUGGAAUAUCCCCUGUCAUGGAAUCAUAGUACACACGGGAUGAAGGAGUUGAGAGGGAUUUGGAACGUGAACAGCCGACCAUCCGUGUGAUAGCAGGAGGGCCAACAUUGGCCGGAGAUUCGAACAGGGCACGGAAGAACUAUGGGAGAUACGCCCUGACUAGCAAAGAAGUGCUUUUCAAUUUGCCAGCAACCAAGAAGGCAAAAGUGCGACAAGUUCCCAUUAUGUGGACAGAUGAGGAUGAAGAGGGUAUUUUAUAUCCUCACGAGGAUGCACUAGUGUUUAAAGCAUCGGUGGCUAGCACAGAAUUGCGGCGAAUACUGGUGGACACGGGCAGUUCAGUUGACAUUCUAUUUAAGUCAGCCCUAGAUGAUAUGGGGAUUUCAGAUUUAAAGCUGGAGCGGACAAAUACUUCCUUAAAAGGAUUUGGAGGGGGACGGUUAACUCCCUUGGGGAUCAUUGAACUCCCGAUUACUGUGGGGACAAAGCCGUUUGAACGAACGAUGAUGCUGGACUUCGUCGUGGUAGAGGAAAGAAGCCCUUACCAGAUGAUACUGGGGAGACCAUUCAUGAAGAUAAGUCAAUGCGUUGUAUCCACGCAUUACUUGGCGCUGAAAUACAGAAUAAAUGGGGUGGUUGGCGUAGUAAAAGGCGACCAGAGGAUGGCAAGGAGUUGUUAUGCUACGGCGGCCAAGGAGACACUACAGGUUACUUCUCUAGAUAAUCGAGGAGAGUCUAAAAAGGGCCGCCAAGAGCAUGUUGAGAAACUGGAGGAAGUUGCAGUAAGCAAAAGCAACCCGAGCAGAGUAAUGAAGAUCGGGUCAGGAUUGAUUGGGGCAGUAAAAGGCGAGCUGGUAAAUUGCCUACAGUCUCAUGCGGAUAUAUUCGCCUGGUCUCAUGAAGAUAUGCCCGGAAUUGAUCGCGGGGUAGCUUACCACAAGUUGGCAAUCAAGAAGGGGGCAAGGCCGGUGAGACAGAAGAGGAGAUGCUGCAACCAGGAAAGGUACGAGGCCAUAAACGCCGAGGUGGAGAAGUUGUUGAAAGCAGGAUUUAUAAGGGAAGCCAAGUACCCAGAAUGGAUUUCAAAUGUAGUCCUGGUAAAAAAGGCCAACGGGAAGUGGAGAAUGUGUGUGGACUUCACGGACCUCAAUAAGGCAUGCCCAAAGGACAAUUUUCCCCUACCCAAAAUAGAUCAGCUGGUGGACUCAACAGCAGGUCACAGUCUGCUCAGUUUCAUGGAUGCCUUUUCUGGAUACAACCAGAUACCCAUGGACGAGCAGGAUGAGGAAAGCACUGCCUUUAGAACUAACAUGGGUUUGUUUUGUUACAGGGUAAUGCCUUUCGGCCUAAAAAAUGCAGGAGCCACCUAUCAAAGGUUGGUAAACAAGAUCUUCAAACCGUUGAUUGGAUACACUAUGGAGGUAUAUGUGGAUGAUAUGAUUACAAAGUCCAAAGAGCCGACGGAUCAUGUGAAGCAUCUAGAAGAGACCUUUGAAUUACUGAGGAAGUAUGAGAUGAAACUAAACCCGGAGAAAUGUGCAUUUGGGGUCAGCUCGGACAAAUUUUUAGGAUUCCUGGUAAGCCACCGAGGGAUCGAGGCCAACCCGGAGAAAAUACGGGCGGUGACUGAAAUGAGGUCACCACGAACAGUUAAGGAGGUGCAAAGCCUUACAGGGAAGUUGGCAGCAUUAAACCGAUUCAUCUCGCGGGCCACAGAUAAAUGCCACCCUUUCUUCCAAACCAUAAAGAAAGGGAAAAAGAUGGAGUGGACAUCGGAAUGUGAGGAAGCAUUUGGGCAGCUGAAGGAAUACCUAACCCGGGUCCCAUUGUUAUUGACUCCGAGAGAGGGUGACCAGCUGUUGCUGUACUUAGCAAUCUCUAAAUGGGCUACCAGCUCGGUAUUGGUCAGGGAAGAGGAAGGAAAGCAACACCCGGUAUACUACACAAGCAAGGCCUUGGUAGAGGCGGAAACCAGAUACCCAUUGAUGGAGAAGUGGGCGCUAGCUCUAAUAACAGCAGCACGAAAACUCCGACCAUAUUUUCAGGCCCAUCAGGUUAUAGUUAUGACCGACCAGCCCCUUCGGCAAACACUUCAAAAACCAGAUGCAUCGGGUCGACUAGUAAAAUGGUCCGUAGAGCUAAGUGAAUUCGACCUCUCUUACAGGCCCCGAGGAGCAAUCAAGGCCCAAGCUCUGGCUGAAUUUAUGGUUGACCGAGCCGAUACAGGGAAAGAAAUUCGGGAGGAGCAAGUAGCAGAGCAGGAGAAACCAGAAGGGUUGUGGUUGGUAAUGGUUGACGGAUCAUGUAGUGAGCAAGGAUCCAGAGCAGGAGUUGUAAUACAGAGCCCAGAAGGAACCGAAAUAACGUAUGCAGUGAAGUUUGACUUUCAGCUCACAAACAACCAAGCUGAAUAUGAGGCCUUUAUCACCGGGCUCGGACUUACACACGCUCUAAGAGCAGAGAGGGUAGAAAUUCGAGCAGAUUCCCAACUGGUGUGUAAUCAGCUCAAUGAUCAGUUCCAAGCAAGGGGAGAGAAGAUGGGUCUUUAUUUAAAGAAGGCAAAGCAGAUGGUUGGGCUUUUCCAAGCAGUGGAGGUAAAGCAGAUAUCCCGGAAUGAGAAUUUCCGAGCAGAUAUGCUGGCUAGGAUGACAGCCAUUGCAGAUCCGAAAUUACCGAAGUCAGUUCCACUAGAGGUAAGGACCUCACCGAGUAUUGAGGAAGAAGCAGAGGUGAUGAGAGUAAGUAUUGGAGAAUCCUGGAUGGACCUGAUUCGCGCAUAUGUCCGCGAUGGAGUUUUACCAGAAGACAAAAGGCAAGUAAGAAAAUUAAAAUGCCGAGCAGCAAGGUAUACGCUACUGGAUGGAGUGCUGUACCGUCGAGGGUUCACCUUGUCCCUUUUGAGAUGUUUGGAUGAUGAGGAGGCGGAUUAUGUGCUGAGAGAGAUUCAUGAGGGAAUAUGCAGCAAUCACUCGGGAGCAAGAACUUUAGCCUUCAAGGCACUCCGGCAAGGAUACUUCUGGCCAACCAUGCACCAGGAUGCCAAAAGGAUGGCAAAGAAUUGUAAAACAUGCCAAAGCUUCUCCGAGGUUCCUGCACAACCCCCGGAAAAGCUGACGGCUAUGACAUCCCCAUGGCCUUUCGCUCAAUGGGGAGUCGACUUGAUUGGUCCAUUGCCUAAGGGACGAGGAGCGGCGACACAUGCAAUUGUGGCAAUAGACUACUUUACCAAGUGGGUGGAAGUAGGAGUCCUCAGCCAGAUUACGGAGAGGAAGACAACAGAUUUUAUUUGGAAGAAUAUCAUCUGCAGAUAUGGGAUCCCCUACGCCAUCAUCACAGACAAUGGGAGGCAAUUUGACAACGGCAACUUCAGGGAAUUUUGCCGAAACCUGGGGGUGGACCUGAAGUUCUGCACCCCCGCACACCCCCAGGCAAACGGACAAGUGGAAGCAUCCAACAAGGUGAUAAAGAAGCUCCUAAAGACUAGAUUGGGAGAGAAGAAGGGAGCUUGGGUUGACGAGCUACCAGGAGUACUGUGGGCCUACAGGACAACUCACAAAACCGCCACAGGGGAAACACCGUUCGCUUUAGCCUUUGGUCAUGAGGCAGUAAUCCCAGCAGAGGUUGGAGUGGGAACACAUCGGACGGAAUAUUUCACUGAGGAGCAAAAUGACGAGCAGAUUUGCUUAAGUCUGGACCUGCUGGAGGAGAAAAGAGAAGGGGCAGUGCAGAAAGUGGCCCAGUGCCAACAAAGGGUCAUGCGUUAUUACAACAAGAACGUACGCGUGAGGCAGUUCCGAGCAGGAGAUUGGGUACUUAGGAAGGUGAACCAGAACACCAGGGAUCCUAACCAUGGCGCUCUUGGCCCAAAGUGGGAAGGCCCGUACCGGGUGAUACGAGCCACUGGACCAGGAGCCUAUAAAUUAGCGCACCAAGAUGGACGAGAAGUGAAGAGGUCAUGGAACGCCGAACACCUGAAGAAGUAUUUCCAGUAAGCAAAGUGCUCUACUAAAUCCCCAUUUUGACAAGAUAUCUAUGUUAACUGCAUCAUGGCUUUGCUGCACAUAUAUGUAUCCAGUAUUCUUGUAAUGCUUUCAAAUUUCAAAUAAAGAUGAGUUCAGCAUGAAAUCCCCCUGCUAGUCUAAUCAAUAAAAGUUUCUACUAAGGCAAGUAAGUGCCUACUUCUGCUCGGUCAACAAAAGACCAGCAGCUAAAUUUACGAAGUUUCUACUAAGGCAAGUAAGUGCAUACUUCUGCUCGGUCAACGAAAGACCAGCAGCUAAAUUUACGAAGUCUCUACUAAGGCAAGUAAGUGCCUACUUCUGCUCGGUCAACGAAAGACCAGCAGCUAAAUUUACGAAGUUUUUACUAAGGCAAGUAAGUGCCUACUUCUGCUCGGUCAACGAAAGACCAGCAGCUAAAUCUACGAAGAUUCUACUAAGGCAAGUAAGUGCCUACUUUUGCUCGGUCCACGAAAGACCAGCAGCUAAUUCUGCAAAAAAUCCUACUAAGGCAAUAAAGUGCCUGUUUCUGCUCGGUCAACGAAAGACCAACAGCUAAAGCUUCGACAAUUCUACUAAGGCAACAAAGUGCCUGUUUCUGCUCGGUCAACGAAAGACCAGCAGCUAAAGCUUCGAAAAUUUUACUAAGGCAAACGGAUGCCUAUUCCUGUUCGAUGCACCAAAGAACCAACAGGCAAAACCAGACAAGAAAGCCAAUAGAGAGCAUUCAAGAAUUUUUAUAAACGUUCAAAUGUUUACAAAGCAAAUGAAAAUCUAGAGUCUUUUACAAAAAUAGACCUAAGGAUUAGGAAGGUCAACGGCCUCAGCAGGAGAAGGGUCGGCUGUCUUGGGAGGUGGAAGAUCAGCAAUAACGGGAGGAGGAGGCGCGGACCCUUGUCCCACUUCAAAAACACACUGACCAGCACCUCCCUCCCGCACCUCAUCAAAAGGAACCUCCACCUGCUCCUUAUCUCCCUGGCCGGCCCCAGCCAUAUACCUCUCCACCCCAGAUUCCAGCUUGCUCAUGUCGAGCUCAUGGUAUUCUUCCUUAAGCACAGACAUGAUGCACUUAUAGCUGAAAGCAACCCCGGAGUCAUACUCGGCAUCCAGCCGAUCAUCCACGUCAGCGGAUUUGCUUUUCUCCUCAGCCAGCUGGUCCUUCAGGGAUUUGAUCUCUCCUUCAAGGGCGACCCUCAGAGUAUCCCUUUCACUUUGGGUAGCCUGAAGAUCGGACUUCAGAUCACCCAACUCAUCCUCAAGCUUGGAGGAAGUGGACUCAGCAACAGCAACUUUCUCCUAAAGCUCCGUAAGCUGCUUGUUCAGCUCGGCCAGUUUCUCCUUGGAACGGUCAGCAGAUUCGACUUUCUUUUUCAACUCCUGGUUAUCAGCUUGGAGCUUCCUCUCAUGACGCACGGACCCGGUCUUGUAGCACGAGACCAUUGUGGCCAGCCUGAAGGAAACUCUUUGAACAGAAGCAGCUAACUCGGAGAGGCUCAUGCUCUCGAUGUCCUUCACCAUCUUGGGCCCAACCGAUUUUCUGUAAUCCUUCUGAUAUGGGCUCAGGUAGUCACCUUGAUCCCGAGAUGGAAGAGGAGAAGAGCGGUCCCCAGACUGCAAGCUGACCUCAGGACUUUUGUCGGAGGUUUUAUCCCCACCACUCUUACGAGGUGGAGGAGGGGGCAGAGCAGGAACUGGCGCCUUGGAAGGACCGACGCUGGGUUUCUUUGGAGGAGGAGGAGGGUUGUUGGAGCUACUCGGAGCCCGACCACGCUUUCUGCUCAACGCGCUGAGGAUCUUGUUAUCCAUUCCAGUGGCAAUAUCUACUAAGCGGGAACCGACCAAGUUUGUUGGCGACAGGAGGUCUUGGCAAGUAGACGCGUUCAACAGAGCAGUUUCCACCUGAAGCAAAGGUCGGUCUUCAAGAUCCUUCACCAAACCCCACGAUUCUGAAAAAAUAAACAAGGUUAAAGAACCCAAUGAGUGGCAAUUUAAGAAAGAAUAUAGGCAAAAAAUGAACGACCUGGGGUGACAAAAUGGGUGGGAAGAUAAAUGUCCCCACCAAGCGACUGAACCGCUGGACACCAGUUCCCUCCAGCAAAGAAGAAUUUGUUCUUCCAAUUUUUACAUGAAGAUGGAAACCCAGUGAUCGGUUUCCUCUUUGCGGAACUGGACAUGAAAUAGUACCAGCCUGCCUCCUUCGGGCUACUCCGCAGCUGGUACAGAUGUUUCACUUCAACAAGAGAAGGCUCCUCCGACCCGCACCUCUCCCACAACAUAAACAUUGCCGAGAGAACCCUCCACCCAUUUGGGUGUAGCUGACCUGGGGCCAGGUGCAUACCGCCCAGUAUCUUGGCAAAGUAAGGUUGAAGGGGCAGCCGAGCUCCUAGUCUGAAACUCUCCAAGUGCAUCAUCACAUACCCUUUCGGAGGCCGACUAGGGACAUCACCUUUUCCAGGAACUACAAGAAGAACCUCGUUGGGGAUGUUGUAGAGAUUCCUAAGUUUAAAUAGAUCGGUGGGGGUGGUGGCACAAGCCAUGAAAUCAAUAGGGUAGGAAUCAGCCUCCACCCUAUGGCCUAGGUUCCUUUUCUGAGCAGGUCUGCUCGGUCCGGAACUGCUCCCCUCACCAUCACCAACUCCUUCAGGGAUCCCAACCCCACCAAAGCUGUGGUUCUCGCCAGAGCCCGACGCAGGUCCACCCCUAUUUCCUACAAGCUCUAAUUCGGGAGAGGGAGAGACAACCAGGGGGCGUGGGUACUCAAGGGUACCCCUACCAUGAGGAGGACCUACACUACUGGAGGGACCUAAAAAAUCGGUGGGUAUUGGCACGUUGAGGCCUGAAUCCCCUGAUUCGUCAUCACCCUCAUCAACAAUUAACUUCCUCUUCCGAUUUGACAUACCGGAAUCCCAAAAGAAGACAGAGAAAACUCGAGUAUAUGGACACAAAGGGGCAACACAGAACCCAAUCAACAACAACCGAAGAAAAGGUUAAAGGCUAUACCUGGAAUAGACUGACACUGAUAGCGCCGCCAUGACAGAGAAAACACCCAGCAAAUGGAUACUCCGGACGCUGGAAGUGUGAGCAAAGUGCAGAGAAAAUUUGGUUAACGGCGGAGAAACGAGUAACAAGAUGGUGAAGACUCCAGUCUAGGGAUUUAAAACGAAAAGGGGGAAAUGGAAGCAUUUAAGUGAUGGGGACGCCAGCUCACUCACCGUACAUCGAGGACAGAUAGCCCGUCGUUUCAAAUUUCAAAUACGAAGAAUCGGGAGAUGCCACGUCACCAACCGUUACAAGAGGCCGGGCUAGAUGCAAGCCCAGGUGCGCAGUGGACAUGCUCAUUUAGGCCCACGCCCAGAUCAAAAUCUCACCUGAAGAAAAAUGAAUUGCUCAGGUCCGUCCCGGUAGACAGAAGACCAGAGGAGAAACCCCGGAUUGGUAAGAGUCGACUAUCAGUUUCUACUCUUGACUCAUUUCACUCACAAGACCAGAAACUGGGGGACUGGUGUUAAGCAAAUAAAAGCACCAGGUCGUCCAGGAUACUACUUCCACCCCGGCAUGAAUCACCUCAGCCAAAUGGUACGAGCAGAACAGGGGUAACAUGAGUCGAUCAGAGACGAAUACUGACCAGAGCCACAUACCGAGCCGGUACUCGUCCCCCGAAAAGCGGAAACACGAUCUCACAGAAUCACGGUAGUUGUGCUUUCCCAGAACCGUUGCGGGAGACGCGAGAUCCCACGUUUGCCCAUAAUGCAGCAGUUAGAGCCCCAUGAGAGGCUACCACUACCCGAAAAAGGUGGGAUGAAGGGCAAGCGGGAACGUGGGGACAGCGGCUAUAAAAGAAGGAGAAAUCGAUGAAGAAGGAGAUAGAAAAAAUUGAGAGAGGGAAAACGCUGCCAAAUUGAAACCAGGCUAUUUUCUUAUAAAACUCCGAAUAAUUUAGAAACCAUUUUGAGAUCUAAAUUGCACUGUUUUCCCGUAAACACCUUGAGCUAACUUAGGCAUCGGAGGGUUUACGCCGGCAAAACCACCGGCGUCUCUGAUCCGUUUUUGGUGAGCGCAGGUCUAUUGUGAGAAAGGAGGACGAUUCCAAUCCCAGUGAACGAGCAACAGUAGAUAACACAAACGUUGGUGAAAGAAUCUGGUCGGUCCAAAGGUGAGCAGAUUUAAGCAUCAACAAUAAUGAUUUGAAGCAAGUCAGCUAAGGCCAAGUGUUUUUAUUAUUUAGGCAAUUAGAUCAUGAAUGGUAAUCUUUCAUUUGAUCAAUUACCUCAAAAUACUCUCAUUUUACGAAGAACGUCAAAUAAUCAAAACUAAUCGUCAUUAAUUAAAAGCUACUGUAGAAAGCCAGAACGGUCUUCCAAAUUGCAAGUUGGAAGAUGUGGGCGGCAUUAGCAACUGUCAGGAAUCUUCAUCCAAGUUGCGAGCCACCCGACCCGAGUCUCAUCAUUUACUUUUGUUUACUUUUAUUUCAUUUUCGUUUACUUUUGAGAAAAGGAAAAUGUAAAGAUUGAAUAAGAAUCACUUGUUUGAAAAUUGAAAAAUGAUCGGAGGACUAAAAUAAGACACAAAAUUGAUUUUUUUUUUAAAUAUAUAUAUUCAAAAUGAUAUCGUUCUUGUUUUAUUUAAAGAAAAAAAUUCGCCUAAAAUGACAUUAUUUUAAAUAUAUUUUUUUGGCAAUUUUUAAUCAAAUUUUAUUUCAAAUAUCAAUCUUGAAAAUUAGUUUAAGAUUUUAUAAUUAGAAGCACACGGGGAUGGGGAUCUCUUCGUUUUAACUUUUGGCCUUAAUCAGUUUUCUGUGAUAUUUUGUUGACUGAAACGCCAAAGAGUUUCGGAGUGGACCAACUAUUCAAAUGUGAGAGAAACUUGCGUGGGAGCUGAGGUGGUGGCUGGUGGGAUAAUCUAUUGGUGCUCGGCUCCGUGAUGGAAUAAACGAAUCCCAUCAUGAAAUCUAUGGCUGGUGGGAUAAUCUAUUGGUCUACUUAUGAUCCGAUUUUGGGAGAAUCUCACUCUUAUCAUCACCUCACAUUUCGCACAAUUUUUUUCAAUUCUUCGUCCACUCUUCGUUCAUUUCAAUGAAAAAGAAAAAGAAAUUAAUAUAAUCGAAUACACUACCUCAGUUAAUUUAGUUCUGCUGACUUAAUUUUUUUAAAAUAUAAAGUCAGUGAAUGCCGCUGUAAAAAUCAAAUAAUUGGUUACCAUUGGGCCGACGCACAUCUCCCAACUCUGCAAGUCUUUCUCCUUCUCAAUCAACAUACUCAAUCGUCUUUGUUUGGGUGAUUAUACUACCAGCCACACAUGCUUUCAUCUGGUCGAGUUAAGAAUCUCCUCAGGUCGGUGUAUUAUGAGCAGACACAAUAGUACCAGGGUCCUAUUCGGCGUAUGGCUAAAAGUCGACAAGAGAACUGUUCCUUAAAGAUCAGACACGACACCACAUCUAGGCGAUGGUUUCGCCAUUUCCCAACCGUACGGGGAAAGGUACAAUAACUUAUGCACGAUUUUUACAAAUCCUCAAAACCCACGAAGGCCCGAAUAUGUAGGACCUGGGGAUGUUCUAGAUACAUGGGGAGGCUGCCUAUAAAAACCCCGAAAAAAACAACAAAAGGAAAAAAAGAAAAAAGAGGACGUAGGGAUGUUAUGAUGGAAUGUAUCUCCUCACCCACUAUGCAGCUCUUGUGGAAUGGGGAACUUACGGAAUCGUUCAUCCCUUCGAGAGGAAUUCGGCAAGGCGACCCAAUUUCACCCUAGAUAUUUGUGAUUUGCAUUGGGAGGCUGAGCCAUGGUAUUAAUCAAGUUGUUCGGGAAGGUAGAUGGAAACCAAUUAAGCUUGCUUGUCAAGGUAUCCCUAUCACUCAUGUUUUCUUUGCUGAUGACCUUCUGUUGUUGACAAAAGCCUCUGUUUCUCAGGCGCAUGUAAUCAAGGAUGUUCUCAACGUUUUUUGCACGAGUUCUAGGGAAAAAGUUAGCAAUGGCAAAACGUGGACUUUUUUCUCCCAUAAUGUGAAGGCUUCUGAUGCUAAAAAUAUUGGAGAAAAGCUCAGUUUCACCACAACAAAGGACCUUGGUAAUUACCUAGGUAUGCCUUUGUUGCACAAGAGGAUUAGAAAGCAAACUUAUCAAAGCCUGAUUGACCGAGUUCAACAAAGACUCUCGGGUUGGACGGCCAAGCAUCUUUCUCUUUCCGGUCGGAUAACUUUAACACAAUUGGUCAUUCAAGCCCUACCCAUCUAUUCCAUGUAGACUGUCAUGCUACCUGCAAGUAUUCGAAAUAAAAUCGAUCAGAUUUGCACACUUUUUAUCUGGAGCGGGAUUGAAGAGGCCAAGCGCAUGCAUCUUAUUAAGUGGGAUAAGGUACAGCUUCCUAAAUGUUGUGGGGGUCUUGGAAUUAAAAAUCUUAAUCUCAUGAAUAAGGCUUUGCUGAUGAAAAUUGGUUGGAAUCUAUUUGGCUCUCCUCACAGUUUUCUGGAUCCAGGUGUUAAGUAAUAAAAAGUACUAGCUCGGCCAUGCCCUCAUCUCUUACCCUGAGGCGAAUCUCCUCAGUUGAAAGACACGAGAAGAGUUCGGGUAAAACAUCUUAUACGGGUAUGUGCCAACUAGAGACGAGCACCAACUAGAGAAAUAUACUGACCAGAGAGGAGCACUGACCAGAUGCUCGUCACCCAAAGAAAGGGCAUACGAUCUCACGAAAUCGCGACAGUUUCGCUAUGCCCCGAACCGUUGGGAAAGACGUGGCAUCCUACGUUUACCCACAAUCUAGUGGUUGGAGACCCAUGAGGGUUUGCCAUCACCCGAAAAAGGGGGACAUGAAGAGUAUGCAGAAACGUGGGACAACGACUAUAAGAAUCCAGGAAACCGAUGAAAAAAGGGGGAGAAAAAUCGAGAAAAAAAGGAAAACUCUGCCAAAUUAAAACCCGAUGGUAUUCCAUACAAGUUUUUGAGAGCAUUACAAGAAAUCACACAAUCUAAUUUACAUAGUUUUCUUGUAAACACCUUGUGCUAACUUAAGCAUCAGAGAGUUUAUGCCGGUAAAACUACUGGUGACUCUUAUCCAUUUUUGUGAACGCCGGCUUAGGAAGAGGAAAAAUGGUGAUUCCAACCCCAGGGACUCAAGCAAUCGUUGAAACAGAAAGAAGGUGACAUCUUCUCUAUCGACCAUAUAAACGUUGGUGAAAAGAUCUGGUCGGGCAAAGGGCGAGCAAAUUUCAACAUCAACAUUUUGGCGCCGUCUGUGGGGAGCUGGAUAAAAAUCUACCACCAAGUUAGUAGUCAUUAAAGGAGCAGCGAACGAUCGGUUAUGGAUGUGUCAAGGAAGGAUGCCCUAGGGGGCGACAAUGAAACUGGUGAAACAAUCACUCUCCGAGAGAUCGCAAAUGAAGCUAGAGAGAGGGUGAUGCAAGACCGAAUGGAACAGAUGGAGAAGCAAAUGGAGACUCUCACGGCUAUAUUACAUGAGCUGAGGGAUGAGCAGAGAAGGGAUUGUGAAACCACCGUGGCGAGGGAUGAAGCCGUGGCAAAACCCAGCCUGCGAAGGCAUAGAAUUGAGGAGAUCCCUCCGCUGGUACACCAACCCUAUGGGGUGCAUUCCCAUAGAAGUGCAAGUCGGAUCCCAAGAGAGCGCGUAGGUGAAGGGAGAGACCAAUCUCGCUUCGGACGAGUUCUGGAAAUUGAUGGCUGAGGAGCGAAUAUUGAUGAAGGAGAGCUCAGACAGUGGCUGCAUAAUGCCGAGCAGGAGCGAGAUCAAAUAGCUGCGCGCGAUCCUAACUGCGCUUUAGAAUUGGAGGGUGAGGUACGCAGGUUGGCUCAGGUGAUGGAUGAGAUUUAAAGCAAGAGAAAGCCCCCGAGCUGGAGGAUAAUGUUGGAUGAAGAAUCUCCGCUAUCAGCCGAGAUCAUGGGUACUGUAAUCCCAAGAGAUUUCCGCUUUCCCGACCUCAAAUACUCCGAGAGAAGUGACCCGCUGGUGCAUAUUGAGCAUUUCAACGACAUGACGAGUGUACAGGGGCUGACACUAGCUCAAAAGUGCAGGGUGUUUCCAUUGACACUAGAGGGGCGAGCCCGAGAAUGGUACCGUAAGCUGCCACGAGGAAGUAUAGGGGGAUAUGAGCAGAUAUGCCAAGAGUUGGCCGAGCAGUUCCGAGGAACGGUAGCUCCAGAGGACGAUAUGAUGGAAUUGAUGGGGAUGAAGCAGGAGGAACACGAAUCCCUUCGGGAUUUUGUGAAAAGAUAUCAUUGGGUCGUGCUUGAUCUGGGAGCUUUCAAUCACCCGCAGGCAUUGAGGGGAUUAAAAGAGGGAGUGAGGAUAGGCUGAUUGUGGUACAACUUGAGAAGUCCCAUCGUUCAGAACUAUUCGACGGGGUAUGAGCAGGCGAAGAGAGACAUAAAAAUUGAAGAAGAAAAAACGGCAAGGAUAAAGAGUGAGCAGCUAGAGGAGCUGAGGCGAAAGGAAAAGAGAACCCUGAGUGGGAGCGGGUCGGGAAAGCGAGCUGGGGAAUCAUCAGUGAUGGGUGGAAUAUCAGCUCGGUCUCGCCCUUAUCCCAUGACUCAGAGACCGCAACAAUUUCAACACAGCCGAGCUCAGCCUCAACGCCCCUCAUUCGCAGAGCGGCAACAAGAAUUCCGGCAGGUGGCUGCCCAUCCUUAUCAUAAUGCUCCCAGGGCAUUACAUGCAGUUAAUUCCAGGAUUGGUCGACCAAACCAGCUACCUACAGUGCCAGCCCGGGAUGAUAUCUACGAUAGCCGAGCGGUCCAACUGAUUGAUCAGAGCUCAGCGUAUAAACAGUACACCCCAUUGAAAGUCUCUAUGUAGGAGUUGUAUGAGAGGAUCGAGGGACGAGGCCUGCUAUACCCUCCUGCCCCUAUAACCAAACCCGCUCACAAAUGGGAUAAAAGCAGAUUCUGUAAAUUCUACGAUACUCAUGGCCACACUAUCAGCCAGUGUCGUGACCUGAAGACUCAGGUGGAGGAUUUGGUGAGAAACCGAUACUUGGAUGAGUAUGUAGAUGGGGCAUUCUCUAUCCUUGAGUCACAAUAUACUCAGAGGGAUGGAGACGAGAGGAGUCUGGAGCAUGAGCAGCCAACCAUUCGGGUGAUCGCAGGAGGGCCAACAUUGGCUGGGGAUUCAAACAUGGCACGGAAGAAUUACGGGAGAUAUGCCAUGACCAGCAAAGAGGUGCUUUUCAAAUUGCCAACAGCCAAGAGGGCGAAAGUGAGGCAAGUUCUCAUUAUGUAGACAGAUGAUGACAAAGAGGGUGUUUUAUAUCCUCAUGAGGAUGCACUGGUGAUUAAGGCAAUGAUGGCUGGUAAAGAAUUACGGCGAAUAAUGGUGGACACAGGCAGCUCGGUUGAUAUACUGUUUAAGUUGGCCUUAGAUGAUAUGAGAAUUGCGGACUUAAAAUUGGAGCGGACGAAUACAUCCUUGAAGGGAUUUGAAGGAGGACAGUUAAACCCCAUGGGGAUCAUCGAGCUCCCGAUUACUGUAGGGUCGAAGCCGUUUGAAAGAACAAUGAUGUUGGACUUUGUCGUGGUAGAAGAGAAAAGCUCUUACCAGAUGAUACUAGGACGACCUUUCAUGAGGGUAAGCCAAUGUGUCAUAUCCACGCAUUAUCUGGCAUUGAAAUACAGAGUGAAUGGAGUCGUGGGCGUAGUAAAAGGUGAUCAGAGAAUGACGAUGAGUUGUUACGCUACAACGGCCAAGGAAACACUACAAGUUACCACUCUGGAUAACCGAGGAGAUUCUAAAAAGGGUCGCCAGGAACUAGCUGAGAAAUUGGAAGAGGUUUUGGUGAGCAAGAGUAACUCGAGCAGAGUGGUAAGGAUCGGGUCAGGAUUGGGCGAGGCAAUAAAAGGCGAGCUGGUAAAGUGCCUACAGUCCCACGCAGAUAUAUUUGUCUGGUCGCAUGAAGACAUGCCAGGAAUUGAUCCCGGGGUAGCUUGCCACAAGUUGGCAAUUAGGAAAGGGGCAAGACCGGUGAGGCAGAAAAGGAGGUUUUUUAACCAGGAAAGGUACGAGGCCAUGCUGAGGUGGAGAAGUUGUUGAGAGCAGGAUUUAUAAAGGAGGCUAAAUACCCAUAGUGGAUUUCCAAUGUAGUGUUGGUAAAGAAGGCCAACAGGAAAUGAAGAAUGUGUAUGGAUUUCACGGACCUGAACAAGGCAUGCCCAAAGGAUAGUUUUUCCCUACCUAAAAUAGAUCAAUUGGUUGACUCAACAGCGGGUCACAGUCUGCUUAGCUUCAUGGAUGCCUUCUCGGGAUACAACCAGAUACCCAUGGACAAGCAGGAUGAGGAGUGUACCACCUUUAUAACUAACAUGGGUUUGUUUUGCUACAGGGUGAUGCCCUUUGGCCUAAAAAAUGCAGGGGCUACCUAUCAAAGGUUGGUGAAUAAGAUUUUCAAACCAUUGAUCGGUCACACUAUAGAGGUAUACGUGGACGAUAUGAUCAUGAAGUCUAAAAGACCAAUGGAUUAUGUGAAGCACUUGGAAGAGACCUUUGAACUACUGAGGAAAUACCAAAUGAAGUUGAAUCCGGAGAAAUGUGCGUUUGGAGUUAGCUCGGGCAAGUUUUUGGGAUUCCUGGUGAGCCACCGAGGGAUCGAGGCCAACCCGGAAAAAAUACGAGCAGUAAUAGAAAUGAAGUCCCUCCAAACAGUUAAGAAGGUGCAAAGUCUUACGGGGAAAUUGGCAGCAUUGAACCGGUUCAUCUCGCGGGCCACGAAUAAAUGUCACCCUUUCUUCCAAACCAUAAAGAAAGGGAGGAAAAUUGAGUGGACAUCAGAAUGUGAGGAGGCAUUCGGGCAGUUGAAGGAAUAUCUUGCCCGUGCCCCGUUACUAUCGACUCCGAGAGAAGGUGACAAGCUGUAUUUGUACUUGGUUGUCUCUAAAUGGGCUACCAGCUCGGUAUUAGUUAGAGAAGAAGAAGGAAAGCAACACCCCAUGUAAUACAAUAGCAAGGCCCUUGUGGACGCAGAAACUAGAUAUCCACUGAUGGAGAAAUGGGUGUUAGCUUUAAUAACGGUAGCGUACAAGCUCAGACCGUACAUUCAGGCCCACUCGAUAGUAGUGAUGACUGACCAACCUCUUUGGCAAAUGCUCCAAAAACCAGAUGCUUUUGGUCGGCUAGUAAAAUGGUCUGUAGAGCUGAGCGAAUUUGAUCUAUCUUAUAAACCACGAGGAGCAAUCAAAGCCCAAGCCCUGGCCGAUUUUAUGGUUGAUCAUGUUGAACCAGGGGAAGAAGUUCAGGAGGAGCAACCAGCUGAACAGGAGAAACCAAAGAGGGUGUGGCUGGUAAUAGUUGAUGGGUUGCGUAGUGAACAGAGAUCCGAAGCAGGAGUGGUAAUACGAAGCCUAGAAGGGGCCGAGGUAUCCUAUGCAGUAAAAUUUGAAUUCCAGCUCACGAAUAACUAAGCCGAAUAUAAAGCCUUCAUCACUGGGCUCGGGCUUGCACACACAUUACGAGCAGAGAGGGUAGAAAUCCGAGCAGACUCCCAAUUAGUCUGUAAUCAGCUCAGUGACUAAUUCCAAGCGAGGGAAGAGAAGAUGGGACUUUAUUUGAAGAAGGCAAAGCAGAUGGUUGGGCUUUUCCAAAAAGUAGAAAUAAAGCAGAUAUCCCGAAAUGAAAAUUACCGAGCAGAUAUAUUGGCCAAAAUGGCCAUAAUUACGGAUCCAAAGUUACCCAAGUCAGUUCCAUUGGAAGUGAGGACCUCGCCAAGUAUAGGGGAGGAGGUAGAAGUAAUGCGGGUGAACACUAAAAAAUCCUGGAUGGACCCGAUUCUCUCAUACAUCCGCGAUGACAUUUUACCAUAAGACAGGAAGCAAGUAAGAAAGUUAAAAUGUCGGGCAGCAAGGUAUAUGCUACUCGAUGGGGUACUCUACCGUCGAGAAUUCACUUUGCCCCUUUUGAGAUGUUUGGAUGACGAGGAAGAAAAUUAUGUGCUGAGGGAGGUUCAUGAAGGAAUAUGCGGCAACCACUCGGGGGUAUGGACUUUGGUCUUCAAGGCACUCCGGUAAGGGUACUUCUGGCCGACUAUGCACCAGGAUGCGAAGGGGAUGGCAAAAAACUAUAAAGUCUGCCAAAGCUUCUCGGAGGUUCCUACUCAACCCCUAGAAAAGCUAACCGCUAUGUCAUCCCCAUGGCCUUUUGCCCAGUGGGGAAUUGACCUGAUUGGCCCAUUACCCAAAGGCCGAUGAGGCGCAACACAUGCAAUUGUGGCUAUAGAUUACUUUACUAAAUGGGUAGAAGUGGGAGUCCUCAAUCAAAUUACGGAGAGAAAGACAACAGAUUUUAUCUGGAAGAAUAUCAUCUGCAGAUACGGAAUCCCUAUGCAAUCAUAACAGACAAUGAGAGGCAGUUUGACAACCACAACUUUUGAGAAUUUUGCCAAAACUUGGGUGUCGAUCUGAAGUUUUGUACCCCGGCACACCCCUAGGCAAACGGGCAAGUAGAAGCAGCCAACAAAGUAAUAAAGAAACUUCUGAAAACCAAGCUAGGAGAGAAGAAGGGAGCUUAGUUCGACGAGCUACCAAGAGUGUUAUGGGCCUACCGAACAACCCAUAAAACUGCCACAGGAGAAACCCCGUUUGCCUUAGCUUUCGGUCAUGAGGCAGUAAUCCCAGUAGAAAUGGGGGUGGGAACACAUCGGACAGAGUAUUUCAACGAGGAACAAAAUGACAAGCAGAUUUGCAUGAGCCUGGACCUGCUGGAAGAAAAAAGAGAAGGGGCAUCGCAGAGAGUGGCCAAAUGCCAGCAAAGAAUCAUGCGCUAUUACAACAAGAAUGUACGCAUGAGACAAUUUCGAGCAGGAGAUUGGGUACUUAGAAAAGUGAACCAAAACACAAGAGAUUCUAAUCAUGGCGUUCUUGGCCCGAAAUGGGAGGGCCUGUACAGAGUAGUACAAACAACUAGCCCAGGAGCUUACAAGCUGACUUACCCAGAUGGACGAGAUGUGAAGAGGUCGUGGAACGCCGAGCACUUGAAGAAAUACUUCCAGUAAGCAAAGUGCUUUACCAAGUUUUUAUUUUGAUAAGCUAUUUCUGUUAAAUGCAUGAUGAUGAAUUGUGACACAUGCAUGUAUUUCGCCUUUUGUAAUCUAUGCAAAGUUCAAUAAAGAUGAAUUCAGCAUAAAGUUCCCUUGCUAGACAAAUUUUACUAAGACAAGCAAGUGCCUAUUCCUGCUCGGUCGCCUAAAGGGCCAGCAGGCAAAAUCCAUUAAAUUUACUAAGGCAAGCAAGUGUCUAUUCCUGCUCGGUCGCCUAAAGGGCCAGCAGGCAAAAUCCAUUAAAUUUACUAAGGCAAGUAAGUGCCUAUUCCUGUUCGGUCGCCUAAAGGACCAGCGAGCAAAAUCCAUUAAAUUUACUAAGGCAAGCAAGUGCCUAUUCUUGCUCGGUCGCCUAAAGGGCCAGCAGGCAAAAUCCAUUAAAUUUACUAAGGCAAGCAAGUGCCUAUUCCUACUCGGUCGCCUAUAGGACCAGCAGGCAAAAUUCAUUAAAUUUACUAAGGCAAGCAAGUGUCUAUUACUGCUCGAUCGCCUAAAGGACCAGCAGGCAAAAUCCAUUAAAUUUAUUAAGGCAAGCAAGUGCCUAUUCCUGCUCAGUCGCCUAAAGGACCAGCAGGCAAAAUCCAUCAAAUUUACUAAGGCAAGCAAGUGUCUAUUCCUGCUCGGUCACCUAAAGGACCAGCAGGCAAAAUCCAUUAAAUUUACUAAGGUAAGCAAGUGCCUAUUCCUUCUCGGUCAUUGAAGGACCAGUAUGCAAAAUUCUACGAAACCGUUAAAGCAAGGAAUCGUCUAUUUUUCCUCAGUCACCCAGAGACAAGCAAACAUAUUUUUUAAAGUAAUUUGCAAAAACAACUCGUAAGCAAAAUCAUGGCAAGAAAGCAACCAAAAAGUGUCAAACAUUUAUAAACAUCCAAGCGUUUGUAAACAAAUGAAAAUUCAGAAUUUACAUAAAAAGCAAGCCUAAGGAUUAUGAGGUUCAGCGGCCUCAGUAGGAGAAGGAUCAGUAGUCUCGAAAAGAGGAGGACUAGCGACUUCUGGAGGAGCAGACGUUGACCCAUGGCCUACUUCCAGGGCGUGAUCCCCUGCUUCCUCCUCCUGCACCCCACCUGGAGGUGCCUCAACCUGAUCCUGGUCCCCUUGGUCCUUAUUUUCCUGAUCUAACUCGGCCAUAUACUUCUGCACUCCUGCCUCCAGCUUGCUCAUGUUAAGUUCUAGAUAUUCCUUCUUAAGCACAAACAUGAUGCACUUGUAGCUAAAGGCGAGCCCAAAGUUAUACUCUGCAUCCAGCCAAUCGUCCACCUCAGCAGAUUUACCUUUCAGUUCGGCUACCUGCUCAUUCAAGGACUUGAUUUGCUCCUCGAGGGUCGUCCUCAAGGUAUCUCGUUCACUUUGAGUAGCCUGGAGAUUAGACUUCAGGUCACCUAACUUGCUCUUAAGCUUGGAGGAGUUGGACUCAACAAUGGCCACUUUCUCCUCCAGGUCCAUGAGCUGCUUGUGCAAAUCAACCAGCUUCUCCUUCGAGCGAUCAGCAAAAUCAGCCUUUUUCUUCAAGUCCUGGUUGUCAGCUUGAAGCCUCCUCUCAUGGCGUGUGGAUUUGUUCUUGUAGCAAGAAACCAAAGUAGCCAACUUAAAGGAGACCCUCUGAACGGAUCCAGCUAACUCGCUAAGGUUCAUGCUCUCAAUAUCUUUGACCAUUUUGGGUCCCACCGACUUGCCAUAGUCCCUCUGGUAUGGGGUCAGAUAGUCACUCUGGUCCCGAGGCGGAAGAGGAGAUGAUCGGUCUCCAGAUUGAAUAUUGACCUCAGGACUCUUGUCGCUAACCUUCUCCCCCCCUCCCCCCCCAUUGUUUCGAGGUGGAGGAGGAGGCAGAGCAGGAGCAGAAGCCUUGGAAGAACCAAUAUUGGUUUUCUUCAGGGGAGGGGGAGUUACUGGAGCCACCUGAACCCCGAGCACGUUUCCUUGACAUAGCGCUAAGGAUCUUAUUAUCCAUCCCGACAGCUACGUCCACUAAGCGUGACCCAACGAGAUUUAUUGACGACAGGAGAUCUUGAUAGGUAGACAUAUUCACCAGAGCAGUUUCCACCUUGAGCAAUGGUUUGUCGUCAAGUUUCUUGAUCAGGCCCCACGACUCUGAAAGAAUAAACAAGGUUAAGGAACCCAAUAAGUAACGAUCAGAGAAGUGAAAUAUGCAGAAAAAAUAAACGACCUGGGGUGACAAAAUACGUUGGAAGGUGAAUAUCACCACCAAGCGAAUGGAUUGCUGGACACCAAUUUCCCCCAGCAAAGAAGAAUUUAUUUUUCCAAUUUUUACAUGAGGAAGGAAAGCCGAUGAUAGGCUUCUUUUUUACAGAGCUUGACAUGAAGUAGUACCAGCCUGCUUCCUUUGGGCUGCUCCUCAGCUGAUACAAAUGCUUUACUUCCACAAGGGAAGGCUCUCCGAGCCCACACCUUUCCCAUAGCACAUACAAGGCUGAAAGAACCCCCUAUCUGUUCGGGUGAAGCUGACUUGGAGCCAGGUGCAUACCACCCAAUAUCCUGGCAAAGUAAGGUUGAAGGGGCAACCAAGCUCCUAACUUGAAACUCUCCAGAUGCAUCGUUACAUACCCCCUUGGAGGCCGACUGAGGACGUCACUUUUCUCAGGGAUUACAAGGAGAACCUCUUCAAGGAUAUUGUAAAGAUUUCUAAGCUUGAAUAGGUCAGUGUGGGUAGUAGCACAGGUAAUAUAGUCAAUGGGGUAAGCUUCUGCCUCCAUCCUAUGACCAAGGUUUCUCUUCUUAGAGGGUCUGCUCGGCUCGAAACUGUUAUCCUCACCGUCACCCACUUCCUCAGAGACCCCAGCCCCCCCAGAACUGUGAUUUUCACCAGAGCCCAAAGCUGGUCCACCGCGGUUUCCCACGGGUUCUAAAUCAAGGGAAGGCAAAGUGGUCAUGGGGCGAGGGUAUUCAAGGGUAUCCCUAUGAUAGGAGGGACCUACACAACAAGAAGAGCAUAGGGGAUCAUUGGGUCCAAAUAGGUUGGGGUAUGAAUCCUCUACCUCUUCGUCACUCUCAUCUACAAUUAUUUUUCCCUUUCGGUUUGACAUAUCGAAAUCUUAAAAGGGAAAACACAGCAAAUCCAAGUAUAUGGGUACAAAAAAAGGACAAUACAGAACCCAAGCAACAACAACCUGAGAAGAAGUUAAAUGCGAUACCUGGAAUAGAUUGGCACUGGUAGCGUUGCCGUGACGGAGAAAGGGCCCAGCAAACAGAGGUUUCUAACGCGGAAAGUGCGAUUAAAGUCCAAAGAGGGAGUUGGCUUACGGUAGAAUGGCAGAUAGCGAAACGCGAUGGUAGUUUCAAUUUAGGGAUUUGAAAUGAAAAUGGGGAAUGAAGGCGUUUAAGUUACGCGGAGGCCAGUUCAAUUGCCGUAUAUCGAAGACAGAUAAGCCAUCAUUUCAAAUUUCAAAUGCAAAAGGACAAGAAGCGACACGUCACUGGCCGUUAGAAAAGGCCUGAUGAGAUGUUAGCCCAGUUAUAUAUUGGACACGCUCACGAAGGUCCAUACUCAGGCCGAAGUCUCCUUAAACAAAAGAAGGAACCUCAGAUCCAUCACAAUAACACGAAGACCAUAGAGAUAUUUCCCGAGGUCGGUAAGAUAUAAUUCUCAGUUUCUAAUCUCAACUCAUUUCACUCGCAAGACUAGAAACUGGGGGACUGGUGUUAAGUAAUAAAAAGUACCAGCUCGGCCAUGCCCUCAUUUUUUACCUCGAGGCAAAUCUCCUCAGCUGAAUGACACGAGAAGAGUUUGGGUAAAACAUCUUAUACGAGUAUGUGCCAACUAGAGACGAGCAUCAACUAGAGAAAUAUACCAACCAGAGAGGAACACCGACCAUAUGCUCGUCACCCAAAGAAAAUGCACACAAUCUCACGAAAUCGCGACAGUUUCGGUAUGCCCCGAACCGUUGGGAAGGACGUGGCAUCCCACGUUUACCCACAAUCCAGUGGUUGGAGACCCAUGAGGGUCUGCCAUCACCCGAAAAAGAGGGACAUAAAGAGUACGCAGAAACGUAAGACAACAGCUAUAAAAAGCCAGGAAACCGAUGAAAAAAUGGGGAGAAAAAUAAAAAAAAAAAAAGAAAAACUCUGCUAAAUUAAAACCCGAUGGUAUUCCAUACAAGUUUUUGAGAGCAUUACAAGAAAUCACACAAUCUAAAUUAUAUAGUUUUUCCGUAAAUACCUUGUGCUAACUUAAGCAUCGGAGGGUUUACGCCAGUAAAACUACCGGCGUCUCUGAUCCAUUUUUGUGAACGCAGGCUUAGGAAGAGGAAAAAGGGUGAUUCAAACCCCAGGGACUCAAGCAAUCGUUGAAACAGAAAGAAGGUGACAUCUUCUCUAUCGACCAUAUAAACGUUGGUGAAAAGAUCUGGUCGGGCAAAGGGCGAGCAGAUUUCAGCAUCAACACCAGGUAUUGAUGUCUAAAUAUAUGGUUGAUAAGGACAAUCUCCCUCUUGCACUUCCACCCCGAUAUGGAUCUCCAUUAUGGAAGGCUGUGGGAAAUGUCUUGAAUGAGGUUGUCCAAGGGACUCGUUGGGUUAUUGCGAAUCGGAGGCUAGCUAAAUUUUGGAAGGAAUCUUGGCUGGAGGUCAGAAUUUGUUUGCAAUAUUACGCUCUCGGAUCGAUCCAUGGGAACAUCCUAAAUGAGUGUAUGGCUAAUUUCGUUGAUGUUAUUGGUACUUGGAAAUGGGACCAUUUUUCUUCUUUGUUGCCACACUAUAUUCUCCUCAAAAUAGCUGGCACUAUGCCCCCUUCUACCAAUGGGGAAGAUGAUUGCCGUUAUUGGGGACCAGCGAGGUCGGGUUCGUUUAGUGUGAAAUCUACUUACUUAUCCCUCCUCAAGCCAUUGCCAAGUACGAAUAACUCCUUUUGGAGUUUGAUAUGGAAAUGGCAAGGCCCCCAAAGUAUCCAUUGUUUUCUGUGGCUACUGAUGCAUAAUCGUUUGAAAACCAAUGAGGAAUUAUCACGAAGACAUAUGCUUAAUAAUAGUAUUUGUAUGCGGUGUGGGCAUAUCAGGGAGGAUGCCCUUCAUACAGUCAGGGAUUGUGUGGACUCCAAAUGUAUUUAGUUAGCACUUCUUCCAGAACACACAAGGCAUACCUUUUUUGUGUUGGAUCUACGUGCAUGGAUUGUUUGUAAUCUGAAAAACCUAUUGAAGAUCACUAAGGAGACGGAUUGGCCAGUGUUGUUUGGUGUCACUGUGUGCAGAAUGUGAUAUUGGCAUAAUCAAUUUGUUCAUGCACAUAGGACGAGCAGCCUUUUCAACGUAAUCAUGGACCUGAAGAAUCGUUCGGAAGAGUCAUUGUUGUUUCUAAGUCUUUAUGUAAUCAAAGAAGGCCAAAAACCGUGCAUUGGAUCUCAUGGCAGCCCCCAACAUGGCCAUUUCUAAAACUCAAUAUGGAUGGAGCUUUGAAGAGAUCGGGUUUGGCAAGUGAUGGUGGCUUGGUAAGGAAUUAUUGUGGGGAAUGGAUUUGUGGUUUCAACAUGAAUUUGGGUAGUUGUUCCAUUAUGGAAGCUGAGUUGUGGAGGUUGUACCAAGGCUUAAAAAUUGCUUGGGACUAUGGUUUUCACUUACUGCAGGUUGAGGUGGAUAAUUUGGGAAUCACGCAACUCCUGACUACCUCUAGUGGUAACCAUAAUAGCAUAUCCUCGUUGUUAUAGGGCACCAAGAUUUACUUAACAGAGAUUGGCAUGUAUCAGUGAAGCAUGUGUAUAGAGAGGCGAAUUUUGCUGCCGAUUUCCUUGCAGGGAUGGCUCUCACCCUCCCCUUGGGUGCCAUACUCUUCAUUCACCUCCUAUAGGCGUGCAUUAUUGUUUGUUCAAUGAUGGACUAGGGACUGCUUUUUCUCGUUUUGUUUAGCGUAGCGGCAAUCUAGGCUCCUCUUGUACCCAAAAAAAAAAAAGGGGAAAACUCUGCCAUUUUGGAUCUAGAACUUAUUUCCAAAAAGCUUUCUAAAAAACUUCCUUCAUUUAAGAAUUGUUGGUUUUGAUAAUUCAAUGUUUUUUUCAAAAACCCUGCAUACUGACUUAAGUAUCGGAGGGUUCUCGUAGGAGAAACCACUGGCAUCCCUGAUCCAUUUGUGUGAGUGCAGGUCAGAAGAGAAGGAGCAAGGUUAGUUGAGGUCAUUAAACCUAGGGAUGGGCAAAAUACCCGAUCCGACCCGAUCCGAAAAUUUUCGGGUUCGGAUCGGGUUGUGAAUAAAACUCGAUCGGGUGCAAUUGUGUCAACCCGAUCGGGUCGUGUUUGGAUCGGUUAAAACCCGAUCCAAUCCGAAAACCCGAUCAAGUUGACAUAAAAUCAAAAAUCAUAACCCAAAGGCCCAAACCUUAUCCUAAUUCCUAAACACUCACUAUCACACACACCACUCAACACACGACACACACAACCCUUACAAACAAAAGCCUAACCACUGUAUAUGGCACAACUGCACAAGCACUAAGCAGCAGUGAGCAACCCACUGCCAACUAGUGCGUCAUCCACCCACAGGCGACGGCCUCCCUCGCUUGCAACUUGGAACCCACCACCGACAGCCACAUAGCCCGUCGCCUACAACAUCCUCCCUCAAACAAACAAAACACACACAUACACCCCCACACACGCACACACACAAAGUUAAUGCCUUAACAGAGCAAGCUGUAGCAGACCACCAUGCAGCAACCACCGAGCCUCCACGAGGAUCGUGAUCUGAUUCCGAUCGACCGAUCUACUGCUACAAAGUAUCGGAUCUACUGUGCCACCUCAAAGCCUCCAUUCCUCCACCAUCACCCGAUCCGAUUCAAGCUCCAUUAACCCAGCAAGCAGCAACCCGAAUUUUGGUUGUUGAGUCGAGUUUUGGAAGCUUUGAGUUUGAGCUUUGAAACUUGAUGGUGAUGAUAUUUGUGAAAGUAAAGUGUUAAAUGUUAAUAAGCAUUUUCCUAAUCCGACCUGUCUCGAACCAGAAUCCGAACCGAUCCAAACUCAACCCGAACUUAUAACCCGAUCUAAUCCGAUCCAAAGUUACUUUGGAUCGGAUCGGAUCGGGUUAUAAAUUCGGGUUGAAUUCGGAUGAAUUUUUAUUCAAUCCGACCAACCCGAAAUCCGAUUGGAUUGAUACGAACCCGACCCUAACCUGAUUUUGCCCAGCCUUAGUUAAACCAACUUGAUUAGAGAGAGAACGAGCAGCUUUGCGCCUCACCCAGAGAAAACUUAAGCGUUGACGAGAAAACCUUGUCGGUCCUCCACGUACGACCAUAUUUAUGCAUCAAUAUUUUGGCGCCGUCUGUGGGGAGCUGAACAAAAAGCUACCACUAGCAAAGCAACUCAUAGGGAGAAUUAGGCAUGUGGACAUGAAUAUGGGAAAGAGUGAUGCAUGAGCAAAUGAAGCUGAUGGAAAAGUAGAUGGAGACCCUCACCGCCAUCUUACAUGAGCUGAAGAACAAGCAAAGAAAGGCUUAUGAUGCAAAUGCAACAAGGGAUGAUGUUGCCAUAGAGCCCAGUCACCGAAGGAAUAGAAAUAAAGAGAUCCCUUCAAUAGGGGGAUAACUCAACGGGGUGCCUAACAAUGGAGUAGGAACUCAGACUUUGAGAGAAUGUGAGCACGAAGGGAGAGAUCAAUUCCACAAAUGGACAAAUCUUGAGAAGUUGUAGUAGAGGAGCGAAUGCCGAAGAAAGCAAGCUAAGGCAGCACCUACACAACAUCGAACAAGAAUGUGACUAGGUUGCAACACGUGAUCCUGGUUAAGCCUUGGAACUGGAGGGAGAAGUACGACGAUUGACACAAAUAAUAGACGAAAUGCAGGGCAGGAGAAAGCCCUUCAGUUGGAGAAUAAUGUUGGAUGACGAAUCUUGGCUUUCAGUUGAGAUUAUGGGCACUAUGAUAUUAAGAGAUUUUCGUUUUCCCAACCUCAAAUACUAAGGAAAAGUGACCCGCUGGUGCACGUCGAGCACUUCAAUGACAUGAUUGGAGUGCAGGGGCUAACACCAGCGCAGAGCUGCAGAGUAUUCUCUUUGACAUUGGAAGGACGAGCACGAGAUUGGUACCUUCCCUUUGACACCGGUAGGGACUUGCAACUUCCAAAAACCUUUGAUUAACCCAAAAAAAAAAAAAAUACAUAUAGUUUGAAAUUAUAUGAUGAUCGAUAGGUAUGUAAUUUUGUAGUAAUAUUUUAUUUGAUCAUUUAUUUUUUGGUAUUCCGUGAAAGGUGUGCAAAAUUAGAUAAUAUUUCUCUGAAACUUGUAUUCCUUCUGCGAAACAUCACAUGCUGAGAGCUUCGACUAAACUAGUUUCAAUUGUACGUCGACUAAACUAUCUGCUUAUUCUACGAUUAAUGCCAACUUUGAUGAUAUCAAGGCAGAAACAGAGAAGUGAAAGAGUGAAAGUACAGCCAUUCAGCGCAGAGUUUCUGAGACGAAAGCAAAGUGUAAGAGAUUGAAGAGAAGGCUGAGACCAGUGCGAAACUAGAUCAUUACUCAAGUCUCAUCACUAACCUCUUAGAUGUUUUGUUUCUGUAGGCUACACUGGUUGGUUCUAAUCACAAAACUUAGGAUUCUACUGGAAACAUGUUGUUCAAAAAAUUGCACAAUUCAAUCUUUAUUGUGGCUACCCAGACCGAAAUAAAUGCUCUAUUUGGUUUCACUUUGAAUUCUGCAAAUUUGUGAACAACAAUUUCCAGCAAGAUCCUCAAUUUGUGAUUAUAACUGAUGACGGUAAUCUAUAGAAGGAGAAAUCAUUUAGGACAUCAGUGAAAGAUUUGAGUAAUGAUUAUUCUUACCAACAAAUUCAUCAAUUUGUCAUGCAGACAGUAGACUCAAUUUACAAAAUUAUUUGUGGAUUGCUACAUCAAUUAUGUUGACAGAAAAGUUGAAGUUUGUUGGAAAACAAAGAGCAUUGUUAUUUGAACAGCUGCAAGAUAUUCGGAAGACAUGCAGAAAUAUGGGUAUUGCUUAUGCUAUAGUGCCAUUGCAGCAUAAAAUUGACAGCAAUGUUUAUGCAACAGUACUGUCUUUUUUUGUCUUCUUAGUGUUUUGCUGAUACACAAAUAUCAUUUUCCACAAACAAAACAUGUAAUAGCAUGCUCCAGGAGCAGUUUCUUACACUCUUGAAGUAGCCUACAAUAAGAUCAAAUCGAACAUUCUCCCUCAAUUUAGUGUUCUAAAACUGAUUUAUAUCUUAACAUAGAAAUGCAAUCUAAAAGCACUAUUAACGAAAGCUCUUCUUGUUUGCAUUAAAAACCAAGAAGAGCUUAUUGUGGUGGGGGGUGGGGGGGUGUGGGGGGGAAAGAGAACCUCAGUCAAAUAAGAUAAAAUUACUUUGGAUGGGUUAUUUACUGUCUAAAAAAAAUUCUAAACACUAUUAUAUUUUAUUGGCUCAUCUAGUAAAUUUAAAAUUUUUAUUUUGCAUACUCUAUUAAAUGUAAAAAACAAAUAUCAUCACACAAAACGACAUGAAACCAUCUAUGUAGCAUCUGAAAUGAGGCCAUUUUUCUGUAUAAUUUUUGAGGCAUUGUAUUAUAUGGAGCUUGAUUUCUUUCUCUUUAUCAAGGGUAAGAUGGCGUUGGCGAUCAAUAGGGUCCCCCUGUUUCUUUGUUUUCAUUAAUAUUACUUCGAAUCCGCUUUCAGGUUGAGUGUCUAAAGAUUUUAUUAAACUUGUGUUUAGUUAAAUGUAUUGAAUUUCUGGAGUAUUUGGUAGUUAAUGAUGAAACUCGGCAUUAGAUGAACUUACAAUCAUUCUAAUGAUAAAUGUUUUUGUCAUCGAAAGUCAUUGAGUAUUAUUGCGGCAGUAAGCUACGUUGAACUAGCAUUCAAGAUAUAACUAUCAAAACAUGUACGUGAUUGCCACUGGUAUUAAAAUCAAAACAUUCAUGCAAUGAUUAAUGAUCUUAAAUUUAAGGUUAAAAAUGACCUAAUCAAUUUCAGCAACUACAUCCAAAUGAUUUUGGUUUUGAUGUUUACAAAUACAUGUAACAUAUAUGUAUUUCUUUUAAAAAUUAUCAUAUGAUUAAUACUUAUAUUUAAUUCACACACACAUCAUUCAGCUUUUGGAAUUCGUCAUUUGGGUCCUCACGUGUAAGCAUCACGUGCACCACUCAUUCUGAGUUUCUAACCAAGUCAAAGUUCAGUUAAAAUUCUUUGCAGCAGGAAGGUGGUGUGGUUUGGUGACUGGUGAAUAGCUCACUCAACUUGUGAACCGUGAUUAGUCAAAUAAUCAAGUACACGUUUCGAAGAAUAACCUCGGAAGGUCUGUCCAGUGUCCACUGUCCAGUAUGAUGACAUGUCAGCAACGUUUUACAACAGGAUCAAGAAGCAGCUAUGGUGUAAGCAUGGUAGUGACAGCGUAGAAGCUGUGUAUGCAUAUCACCCGUCUGUUGAAAUGCUCGCAGUAAUCAAACCUCUUAUAACACUGCUUCAUCUGUCAAGUCAAAUUUUCCUCGGAGUCAAGAAAUGGAGAACUAACAGGUAUGCAUUUCUUAAACCAUUAUUAUAUUCAAACACAAGGAUUCGUAUAAAAGCAUAUCGUUAUUAUAUUCAAACACAGGGAUUCGUGUAAAAGCAUAUUAAUGAAUAUGAAUCUGAUCGCUUUAAACUUUAAUUAACAUGAAACUAAGCAUGACGGAAUCAGCAUUUCUUGAUUUUCUUCAAUUAGCAGAUGCGUGAAUAUGCUCGUGUUUGUGCCUUGUAUUCAUAUAAACGAAAACCUGGUCUAUAAUUCAAUAGUUUAUUAUAUUAUUGGAAUUAAAUAAGUAUAAAAGUGUCCCGGAUGCAUGAUCAGUGAUCACAUCACAAGCCUUGUUGUGCUUCAUCUCACGACGGCUGCUUUAUGUUUGCUUGAGUUGCUUCAUAUAUAGCAGUUAGCAGAUGGCCAAAGUUGGCAAUGGCAUGUGGCAAGCUUAGCAAUUAUAUUAAGCACCUGCCAAGGACACCAGGUUAAUUUUUAUCUCUCAACACUCUGUUUUGCACCGAGAUAUCCAAUAUAUACUGGUUUAUCAAAUAAUUGAUUAAUGCUGAUUGUAUCAGUCUCCUAAUUAGUUAAAUGUUGUUGAAGAUAUAGUUGCUGCUGAGCUGGACAGAGCUGCUGAGCUGGACAAGAUUGAAUGUAACUGAAUGACAUGUUUCAAGAGCUCAAUGGCUAAACUAAAUCUGAAGUUGUUAUUAGUUGUUUUGCAGUUGUUUAAUUAGUUAGAAUAAUUGUAUAUAAGCUUAGCUAAGUAAGCUUAAUAAGCAUUGAAUAUUCUGGUUAAUAAAAUCGUGAAGUUUCCUUUUUCAUUUUCUCUGUUUUUCUUUGUUUCCAAACAUCUUAUUAUGAAUUCUAAUAUGGUAUCAGAGCCACGAAACAUGACGAAUCAAAGCAAUUCAGGAUCGUCUUCACUUUCUUUUUCUUUUAUUCAACCAACAAAACUUGAUCGAACAAAUUAUCUGGUGUGGAGAGCUCAAAUUCAAGCUUCGAUUAUUGCCAAUGGACUUGAAGGUUUUAUCAAUGGAGAAUCUCCUUGUCCAGAUCGUUUUCUUUCCUCAUAUGAGAAUGCUGCCAGUAGAUCAGAAGCUCCUAGCUCAAGCAGACGUGAGAAUUCUGACUAUAUUGACUGGAAGAAAGCUGACAAGCUUCUACAGAGCUGGAUGCUGUCAUCUAUGGUAGACAAUGUACUUAUCAUGGUUGUGGAUUGUGAUACUUCACUUGAGAUCUGGGAGAAACUUGCCGAGAUGUUCAUGUCACAGUCAAAGGCUAGAUACAUGCCUCUGAAAAUACAGAUUCAAACCACAAAGAAAGGAGCUAUGUUAGUAAGUGAUUACUUCAAUAAGAUGAAAAAAAAAUUGCAGACAGCUUAGCUAUUGGUGGUAAUCCUCUUGCUUCAACAGAUUUUAUAAUGCAUUUGCUCACUGGUUUAGAUGACAACUAUGAGUCAUUAGUGACAACUAUACUUGCUAGGCUGGAAAAAGAUAAUCUCACUAUUGAAGAAGUGUAUUCCUUAAUGCUUAGUCAUGAAACUAGGGUUGAGAUGAGUAAGGGAAAGGUGCAAAAUGAAUUGUUGCAUGAUAUGUCAGCUAAUUUUGCUCAGAAAGGACAGAAUUACAAUAAGUUCAAUAAUGCUAAUCAGAGAGGUUUUAAUGGUGGAAAUUUUGAUAAUGGCAAAGGAGGAUAUAAUGUUGAUAAGGAAGUAAUUUGUCAAAUAUGCUUCAUACCUGGUCAUGGAGCAUACAAAUGCAGGAACAGAUUUAAUCAGAACUUUAUUCCUAGACAAGGAAGAGGUGGCUUUAGGCCUAGAGGUGGAUUCAAUUUUAGAGGCUUUCCUGGUCAGCCUCAGAACAUGUUUGGAAGAGGUUAUGGAAAUUUUUAUGGAACUGCAACUGGUGCUCCUAGAUAUAAUGCACCCAUGUUUCAAGGGAAUGUUGCAUAUCAGAAUGCAAAUGUUAUGUAUCCUCAAGGGUUUCCUGUGUUUCAAGGAUUACAAGGUCAAUACAAUGGUGCAAUUGCUACUCCAUUUGCUAACUAUGGAGUUGCUCCUUCUGCUAUUCCCACUGCACAAUUUGCUCCCACUGGUCCAGUUGCUGAUUAUGGAGUUGUAGCUGAUCCUGCUUGGUAUAUUGACUCCGGGGCAACCAAUCAUGUGACUAAGGAAGCAGGUAUCUUUUCUUCUUACUCAGUUUAUCAUGGUUUUGAUAAGCUACAUGUACGAAAUGGCAUGGGAUUACAUAUUAAACAUGUUGGGUGCACACGAUUGAAUACACUUGCUGCAACAUCUAUCUAUCUUAAUAAUAUUUUGCAUGUCCCAACUAUAACCAAAAACCUUUUAAGUGUAUCUAAAUUACUUGCUGACAAUGAUGUUGUUGUUGAAUUCCAUAAAACCUCAUGUUUUGUCAAGGACAAGAAAUCAGGGAUCAUCUUGCUCAAGGGGAUUGCUAGAGGAGGAUUAUAUCAAGUUGAAGGUCCUGUUGUAGUGUCUCAUGCUGCAGUUUCAAAUAGAGUUCCGUCUAAUGUUUUCUGUGUCAUCUCAAAUUCCAGUUCUGUGUCAAAUGUCUGUUCCUCUCCAGUGUCAAUGAUUAGUCAUUCCAAUGUUUCAAACUCUGUACAUUCUGGAGAAAUUUUGACAGAUGUAAAUAUUUCUCAAUUCAAUAAUGAUGCCUCAAUGGCCUUGUCUGUUACUCAUUCAAAAUCAGUUGAUUACAAUGUUUUACAUAAAAGAAUGGGUCAUCCAACUGUGCAUGCUCUUAAACAAAUUGUGAAGCAUUUGCAUCCUUCUCUCGAUAUCAAUAGAGCCCUGAAACCAAUUUUUUGUAAUGCUUGCCAAUUUGGAAAGUGUCACAUGCAGCAUUUUCCUUCUAUAGACACCACUACCAUUCAACCACUGGAGCUGUUGCAUGCUGAUCUAUGGGGUCCAGCUCCUUUGCUGUCCUCUCAAGGCUAUCACUACUAUCUUUCUAUCUUAGAUGAUUUCACUAGGUUCACCUGGAUAUUCCCUCUUGUUACCAAAUCUCAAGCCUUACAAACCUUUAUUGAAUUCCAGCAUAUGAUAGAAAAAUGCCUAAAUAGGAAAAUCAAGUGUCUUCAAACAGAUUGGGGAGGUGAAUUUAGGCCAUUUCUUCCUUAUCUUGCUGAGCAGGGAAUCCAAUUUAGACAUCCUUGUCCUUAUAUUCACCAUCAAAAUGGAAAGAUUGAACGCAAACAUAGACAUAUAGUGGAAACAGGCCUUACCCUUCUUGCUCAAGCACAUUUACCACUGAAAUUUUGGUGGAAUGCUUUCCAUACUGCCACAUUUCUCAUAAAUAGGCUCCCUACACCCAUUCUAGAUAACAAAUCACCUUUUGAAAAAUUAUUCAACAAAAGACCAGAUUAUUCUGUUAUGAGCGUUUUUGGAUGUGCUUGUUUCCCAUAUCUGAGGCCUUAUAAUCAUCAUAAGUUAGAGUUUCGAACUGCUAGAUGUAUUUUUCUUGGUUACAGCUCCCUUCACAAAGGCUACUUGUGUCUUCAUUCCUCUGGUAGAAUCUAUGUCAGUAACCAUGUUACAUUUGAUGAGUCAUGUUUUCCUUUUCAGUCAGGAGUUGAUUUUUCCUCUGUCAGUCACUCUUGCUCUUCUUCAGAUCAUUCAUCUCAGUCUUCUUCACAUUGUUCAUCUUCUGUUUGUCCUUUGAUUCAACUUGAUAUAACCAAGUCUUCAUCCUCUACAGCAGCUGAUCUCAGGUUCUCUCAAUCCUCUCCAGACUCUCCUUCUCAAUCUUCUAUACAAUCACACUCAGAACCAUCUACCUCACCUGUUCAUCAUUUAACUCCACCAUUGCAGUCAUCUACUGGUCAUCCAAUGCUCACUCGAUCAAAGGCUGGUAUCUUCAAACCUAAAGCCUAUAUUACAGCCAAUCCUACCAAACCUACAGAACCUGCUACUACCUCAAAAGCCCUUCAAGAUUCAGCUUGGCAUAAAGCAAUGACAGAUGAAUAUCAAGCCUUAGUCAAUAAUCAUACCUGGACUCUUGUCAAACCUACACAUCCCAUUAAAGUAAUUGGGAAUAAGUGGGUAUUUCGGAUUAAAUAUAAUCCUGAUGGCAGUGUCUCUAGAUACAAAGCUAGACUUGUUGCUAAGGGAUUUCACCAAACUCAAGGGCUGGAUUUUCAUGAAACAUUCAGUCCUGUCAUUAAGUCUUCAACCAUCAGAAUUAUCUUGAGUAUGGCUGUCAUGAAUCAUUGGGUACUGAGGCAAAUAGACAUUAAUAAUGCCUUCCUUAAUGGCUACCUCACUGAAGAAGUUUAUAUGCAACAGCCUGAGGGGUUUAUAGAUAGUUCCAGGCCUGAUUAUGUCUGUAAGCUGCACAAAGCCCUUUAUGGCCUUAAACAGGCUCCAAGGGCAUGGUUUGACAGACUCAAACUAGUUCUUACAACUCAGUGGGGCUUUACAAAUUCUAUUUCAGACACUUCACUCUUCUUUAAGAGCACACAAGGUCAUCUGCUACUUGUCUUGGUGUAUGUAGAUGAUAUUAUUAUUACAGGCUCCAAUCCUCAGCUUGUUCAGCAGACCAUCACCAACUUCCAGUCUGUUUUUGCACUUAAAGAUCUUGGUGCAUUGAAUUAUUUUCUGGGAGUUCAGGUCAUUUACAAUAAAUCUGGUAUUCAUCUUUCUCAAUCCAAGUAUAUCACUGAUUUGCUUGCCAAGGUGCACAUGCAGGAUAGUACUCCUUGUUCUACUCCUAUGCUUUCUGGAGUGGCUUUUACUAAAGCUGAUAGUGAACCCUUUUCUGAUGUUACUCUAUACAGAAGCACCAUAGGUGCUCUUCAGUAUGCAACAUUGACCAGACCAGAGAUUGCUUUCUCUGUCAACAAGCUCAGUCAGUUUCUAUCUUCUCCAACUGUCAAUCAUUGGCAGGCUUGUAAAAGGGUUUUACGUUAUCUGAAGGGUACUGUUAAUCUUGGUUUACAGUUCUACAAUCAUGGCAGCAUACAGAUUGAUUGUUUCAGUGAUGCUGAUUGGGCUGGAGACAGAGAUGAUAGGAGGUCAGUGGCUGGUUAUUGUGUCUAUAUGGGUCCAAAUCUAGUGUCUUGGUGCUCUAAGAAACAGGCAGUGGUCUCUCGAUCUAGUGCUGAGUCUGAAUAUCGAGCACUAGCAAUGGCAGCAGCUGAAGUCUUGUGGAUUCGUUCUCUUCUUGCUGAGAUUGGUCUUACUCUUCCCUCCAUUCCAAUCAUAUGGUGUGAUAAUCAAAGUGCAGCUGCUUUAGCCUCUAAUCCUAAGUUUCAUUCCAGAACAAAACACAUUGAAUUAGAUGUUCAUUUUGUUCGAGAGAAAGUUGCUGCUCAAUGUCUUAAGGUUCAAUAUAUUUCUAGCUCAGAACAAACUGCUGAUAUUCUCACCAAAGCUCUUUCUUAUCACCCUUUUCUCUACUUACGUGACAAGCUCAACCUUACUUCCUCGGUUGAGCUUGAGGGGGGAUGUUGAAGAUAUAGUUGCUGCUGAGCUGGACAGAGCUGCUGAGCUGGACAAGAUUGAAUGUAACUGAAUGACAUGUGGCAAGAGCUCAAUGGCUAAACUAAAUCUGAAGUUGUUAUUAGUUGUUUUGCAGUUGUUUAAUUAGUUAGAAUAAUUGUAUAUAAGCUUAGCUAAGUAAGCUUAAUAAGCAUUGAAUAUUCUGGUUAAUAAAAUCGUGAAGUUUCCUUUUUCAUUUUCUCUGUUUUUCUUUGUUUCCAAACAUCUUAUUACGAAUUCUAAUAAAUGUGAAAACAUUAUAUUAUAUACUAGUUGUAGUUGGUUGAUUUUUCUUUUAAUCUUCAUGUGAUACCAGAAUUAUACCAGUAGUCCGCAAGCUCGGGUUUCCAGCCGAUAUACCUCUGUAAUCAAAAACCUUUAAAACAUUUUUCUCAGGUUAUACAACCCAAAACAGACUUUCCUUUAGUCUAAAACAGGGUACCAAACCAGAUAAGAAAUGGUCAAAAGUUUUCUGAUGCACAGGAUCCUUACUAGAAGGCAAGUGCAGAGCAUACUUCCUUAGGUUUUCAAAAUGAACAAAUUUAAUCCUUUAUUCUUUUUCUUUCUUAGAACUUCAUUUGCAGAGAGAGAGAGGAGAGUUUAGAAAUUCAUGGAAGAAAGCACACGAGUUGUUAUUUCUGGAAAACUUCUAUAUUUUUCUAUCUCUUACAAGCAAGGGGAGAAUCCUUUAUAUAGAGGAGGAUUCUUGAGAAGAUAGGACAUGACCCCUAUCUUUUACAAAAGUAAAAGCAAAAGAUAAGAUAAGAUAGGAUAGGACCCCUAUCUUUUACAUAAUGGCACAACUUUAAUUAUUACAAAAGACAAAAGUGCUUUAAUAAUUAAAGCAUGACUUUGACAAAAGCAAAAGCAAAAGCUUAAAGUAAAAGCAAACUUUAAUAAUUAUGCAAGCAUAAAGCGAAACAUCAUUAUGACAAUAAGACAAACUACUUUAUGGAAAGCAAUAAGACAAACAACUUUAUGGAGAGCGGAGGUUCAUGUACUCGUCUUCGGAUGAGCUUUCGGUCUCAUCUGGGUUGUCAGGGUUGCCUUUUGGGAAAAAGAUCUUGGAGAGCUUUGGAUGCUUGCAGGAGGGACCACGGCAUGGUGGAUAAGGGCAAUUAUAGUCUCUGGGAGUACACUUUGGAGUAUACUUAGGGGAAGUUUGGGUGGCUUUGUCAACUUUGGAUGGUUGAGCGGGUCGUUUGGAGGAUUGAGUUGAGGGUCCUGGUUCAGAGGGGCCAGGUUCAUCCAUUGUCGGUUGGGGAAACUGGUGAAGGUGUUGGCUCAGAGGGAGAAAUGCAUCCCAUGGGUCUUGGGAAUCCUGGAACAGGAAAUCAGUGUAGUCUGGUUUUUCUUCUUUGAUGAUGAUACCUGUGGACUUUGGUUUGGAUAUGGCAGAUGGAGUGGGGAUCAUGAGGAGGUCAUGCUGUGGACCUAAGGAGGUGUGGGAGAUAUCUUUAAGUGGCGGAGGUUGGUGGUUCAAUUGGCAAAGGUAGUUGUGCAGGACAUCUUGUAUGUCAUUUUCAAUUACAGCUAUAUGUGGUGCAGUGAACCAUUCAUAUACCUGGUCUUGAGUCCAAAAGAGUUUGGUGUCUGGAUGUUGAAAGUAUGGCCUGUGAAUAAUAAAGACUGAUGUGAACAGUGGUGCUUCAAGGGCAGGCAUACGAUCAAGGUUGUAAAUUUCUGACAGUUGUUGGAGCUUCCUUCUCCACCAUGGUAUGGGGGAGAACCAUUCAAGUAAUGUCCAGGUAAGAGAGGUGGCUUUGUCUGGGUCAAGGAGAUGCUCCAAAGUGGGAGUAAUUGGUAGGACUAACUUAGUGGCAUAAAGGACUGUUAGGCACCAGAUGUACCAUAACACAUCUUCAGUGGUUUCUCUGGUUGGAUCAAGGGUUAAACCUGUAAGGAACAGAUUUUCUGGGUGGAAAGUGGAAAAAGGAAAAGGGUCUGUGACAAGGUAGGCUUUCAUGAAGAAGCGAAAAAGAGCUUUUCUUGCAAACUCUUGGAUGGCGAAGACAGAAGAAAAGGUUUUAUUAAAGGGAAAAGUUUUCUUGGUGAGAGCUUGUGGGGGUAGUGAAGUAGCCAUGGAGAUAAUUGGAAAAUGGUAGGUGGUGGAAAACAGGAUGAGAGGGUUUUCUGGUUUGGAGAGUCUGGAGAGCAUAUCAGGGAUGAGGUUCUGGGAUCCCUUUAUAUGCUUGACUGAAAAGUCAUAUUUAGAAAACCAAUCUUUUAAUCUGAGUAACAUUUUUUCGGGAACAGUUUUACCUUUGAAAUGAAAGAUAUUGGGGAAGGCUGAGCUGUCCAUUCGGAUGAGAAAAUGGUGUCCAAUCAAAUGAUACUCAAACUUUUUGAUGCCAUUCUUGACCGCUAAGAUUUCUUUGAACACGCUAUGGUAGUGCUUCUGUGUAUCAGAAAAAUGUCCACUAGCGUAAGCGAUAAAGUGUUCUUUUCCGUUGAUUUCUUCAAGGAGUAUGGCACCCCAUGAUUCAUCACUUGCGUCUGUUUGUAAGAUGCGCUUGCCAUCUGUAAUCAACUUUAAAGGAGGCGGAUUUUGCGCAAUCUGCUUUAGGGUAGUGACAGCAAAUGUGUGGUCAGCAUUCCAUUCUGGGGGCUUCUUUUUCAAUAAAGCCGAGAGAUGGUGAGUGUAAUGAUCCACGUGGGGGAUGAAAUCACGGAUGUAGUUGAUGAUGCCGAGAAACUGUUGAAUUUGCCUUUUGGAAAGUUGCUGAUCUGGAAAGUGAAGCAAUUCUUGGGCAAUGUGCUUUCCUGGCUGGUAGUGUCCAUCUUUUAUGAUCAUACCAAGGAAUUCAACAUUAUCUGUAGCAAUGAUGCUUUUCUUGGCCGAUAACAUGAUUCCAUGACUUUGGAGAAUAUCAUAGAAUUGAGUUAACAGCUGGCGAUGUUCAUCAUGUGAGCCUGAAAAAAGCAAGAUAUCAUCAAUAUAAAUCAAUGCAUGAUGCAAAAUGGGUUGGAAGAUUUGGACCAUGGAUUUUUGGAAAAUGGAUGGGGCAGUUUUGAGACCAAAGGGUAAGACGGUCCAUUGAAAGUGGGCAUUGGGAAUACAAAAAGCGGUUUUGUAGCGUUCGGAGGGUUCAAUGCCUAGUUGCCAAAAACCUGAUUUUAAAUCAAAUUUUGAAAAGAUCUGGGCAUUUUUGAGAAAAGUGAACAUGCUUUGUCGGCGAGGUAAAGGGAAUUUGUCAUCUUGUAAAAACAUGUUUAAUGGCUGGUAGUCAAUGACUAGGCGUUUCUUUCCUCGGACAAUUUCAGAAUGCUUUUCAACAUAAAAGGCUUGGCAAGCCCAUUGAGAACUUGUGGGCUCAAUUAAACCUUGGGCUAACAAUUGUGAACAUUCUUGUUGGGCUAGGAGUAAGUCAGAAGGACUCAUUCCUGGAUGGGUAGCUUUAGUUGGGUUAAUGUCUUCAUUGAGUUUGAAGGGUAACUUAAUGAAGAAAGACUUAUUUUUCCACAAAGGAUUUGGAUGGGUGAACUCGGAAUGGGACUCUGGACAGAAACUCAAAAGUUUGGUUGAGAUAUCCUGGUAAGACUGGGGAGUUUCAGACAAAUUGUAGAGUUUCAGAAUGUCUGUGAAUGGUUUGAACAUGGACUUGACACGGAUUCCAGUGGGAAUGAUUUGGAGGUGUUUGAUUUGGUGAAGGACUUCAAAUCCUAACAAGAUAUCCUUAUUAGGAAGAGUUGAACCAAUAACCUUGGUCCAAAUGACACAAUUGGGGAAGAUUUGAAUACCAACGGGUUUCUUGGUAAUCAAAGAGGUGGUAAAGAGUUUGCCAUUGAUAGCUUUGAAAUGUUCUUCAGAUUGGGUCCAAUAUUCGGAUGGAAGAAUAUGGGGGUUUAACAUGCUGCGUUGGGCGCCAGUAUCUAUAAGACCAAUUGCUGGAAUGGGCCUUUGGAAUUUUGAGGGUAAGAUCUGGAGUUUGAUGGAUGGGAUAGGAACUGUAGUAUCAAGGGAGAGUGACUGUUGAUGGAAAAUCACUUGAGACUGGUCACUGUCUGAAUCAGAGGAAUUCUGUAGUGCGAACACUGUUUCAUCAUUGGGUUCAUCUUGUUCAGAGAAAUAGAAUUCCAGCUCAUCUUUGGCAGGAGAGUAGUCGGUAGUUGCUUGAAGAUGCUCAACUAACCGGAUGGAUUUUUCUCUGUUGUUGGGGCAAUCUUUGGCAUAGUGGCCUUUUCUCUUGCAGAUGAAACAUCUGCUUGAUUGCUUUCGUUUGAAUUCUCUAGAGGAGGAAGAUUUCUUUCUGAAGAACCGGUAGGGCUUUCGGGAUCUGCGAGGCUUGGAGGAAAAUUCUGGAGGUUUGAAUUUCCGAAAAUGCCGUUUUUUCUUUGAACUGCAAUCGCAAUCUUUUUUCUUGUGGCAUUUGAUCUGCAAAUAAGGCUUUUUGCAAGCACUUCGGAAAGGUUCUUUGUCUUUCAACAGUUCUUUGAAAAACUGUUUUUGCUCGCAAAGUUUGUCAAGACAAGUUUUGGCAAGCUGAAAGAUUUUGCCAAGAGAGAUGUUGUCUAGGGAAAGAUUGGAUGCUGUGAGUUGUCUCUGGAUGUUGGGUUGGAGUUCUUCGGGGAGGGAAGCCAGAAAGACAUGCUUUAAUGUCGGCUCGUUGAAUCCAUUAAGCUUAUAGAACAGCAGGGACAUCCGCUUAUAAUGGAAGUCAAGAUCCUUAGCAUUGAGGGAGCAGCAUUUCAUGUUGAGAUAAUCUCGUCUGGCAGCUUCAAAGACUGCAGAAGGGUCUCCAAGGAAUUGAUCAUGAAGUACAGCAAGAGCACUUGAGACUUCUGGGAGAUCAACAAACUGUAGUUGGCGGUAUUGUCCUAACGAAUCAAACCAAUCUCUUAGAGCACCCGUGAAACGAGUAGCAAAUUCUCUAAGGACUGAUUGAGUUGUUGCUCCUGGUCUUAGCAUCUGGAGGUCAAUCCAGGCAGACAUUUCAUUGAGUCGGUCACGCCAUUUAUGAGAUGGAAGAUCAUCAAAUGUGAACCAUGGACCAUUUGACGAUUUGUGGCUCGAUGGAUUGGUCUGGGUUGGAGGAGGUUGGUUUGUGGCAGAAGAUUCAGGCAUUUCUUCUUCAAGUUCGGAGGGAAUAUCAACAUAUGGUUCUGUAUGAGAGGUUUGGCCUUGGGUAGGUUGAUCAGGUUGAGCCAUCAGGAUUUUGGUGAUAUCAGCAUAGGACUUUUCAGAGUCACUGGUGGAUACUGAAGAUUCUGUAUCAGUUUCGGUAGGGCUAUCUGAAACAGCUGGAUUUGAAUCAGAAGUGUGAUCGACUGUAGUAGAUGAAUGGGUGACUGUGUGAGCAGUAAACUGGUGCAUGGGUUCUUUAUCUUUUGAUUGGGUAGGGACGAAUAAAGGAGCUGGUGGUAAUGUUGGUGCAGAAGUAGGAGAUGGUUGGCCAGGGAUGGUCAGUGAGGAGGGAUGAAGAGGUGCAGGGCGAGGCUGCGGUCUAGGUUUGGGUUUAGGUUUAGGUGGUGGCGGCAAAGGAUUGUCUCUGAAAAGAGUAUGAGUCAUACCAAAUAACUUGGAAGGGUCAUACUGUUUAAUAGGAGAAAGCAUAGAGGCAAAAGGAUGAUAAGUUGGACCGAUGAAAGGGAUAGGAGGUGAAGUGGUGAAAAGGGUAGGUCUCUGUUUUUCAGAUUCAAUCUGAGCAAGUUCAGCUUUUAAGCGUCUGAUUUCCCUUUCUUUUUGGUCAAAUUCGGGGCCUGAGUAACGAUGGGCAAGCAUGGCUUGUAACUCAGAGUCAAGUUGAGAAAUUCUGGACUGGAGGUUUUGGUAUAUCUGCUGCAUCUGUGCAGUGAUGGAGUCAACUUUUGUCUCAAUCUCCACGACAGAGCUGAUUUAAAGACUUGGCCCAACUCAUCCCUCUAUGUUCAUUAAAUGUUAAUAUUUUUCUGCACCAAGGUUGACUUGAUGGUGCUUUAUUUUCAAUUUUUUCAUUGAAUUGUAUUUUUGGUUAAAUAUUGACAAAAAAAAUUAAGAAAGCAAUCAGCUCUUGUAACGUACUCUGUUCUGUCUUCCACCAAAAAUAUAAUCAUUUAUUACCUCUAUUUUAUCAAAUAAUCAUGAUUAAUGCUGCUGGGAAAGCUCUAUUAGUCUUUCUUUUGAUAUAUCUUUACCAAUCUCGUCAGCUGUUGCUUUUCUUUUAACGUGGUGGUUGUUUGUAUUUGAUGAUCCCAAAAUAUACGCAACGCAAUAUAGCAAUUGCCGCUUUCCAUGAUUUGUCUUUUUGGUUGACUUUAACAUGAUUUAGAAUUGUCGAUUCCGCAUUAAUGCGUAUAAAUUAUUAAGUAGGUUAUGUGAUCUUUCAUUAUCAUCGCCUAGUCUCCAAUUGUGUGCGUUAUUUUCUUUUUGAAAAUGAUUCACGAAAUCAAAUUACUGAUAGAGGUCAUGAAUGUCCUGCUCCUGCAUUUUCUUAAUCAUCCCACUUCUCUCAAAUUCUCCGAAAUCCCUUAUACGUCUUCUGGUCCCGUUUUCAUAAUAAUCGUUGUCCUAAACCUUCUUUGCAGAUCUUUCACUGUGCUCCCUUUUUCUUAUUUCUAGCUUUUUGCUUUUCUUUUUCACAUGGUCUUUGUUUAUAUUUGAUGUCCCAAAUAUACACGUUAACGCAACCAUUUGUGACAGCGAAUAUUUUUACCUAGUUGUUGGAUUGUGGCUUUCUAUGUUUUGUCUUUUUGGUCGACUUUAACAUGAUUUAGAGCUUUUGAACGCGUCUUCCAAGUGCACAUGCCGAGUAUAUCCACUGUUCGAUGAAAUGCCCAUUUGAAUAAUUUGAGGACCCACGAGGCCACGCCACUGGUAUUAGACUAAUUGGAAAAGAAAAAAAGAAAAAAGAUAAUAAGUACAACUGUGAUGCAUUUUCACAUUAACUUUACAAAGUCUGGUUAUAAAUUUAUAAUUUUACGCACAUGAAAUCACCAAAGUAUUAUUUAAUUUAACUCUUCUCAACUGGGGACGUGAGUUUGAUUCAAGUAGUAUUAUCACUCAUAUAAUUUAUUAAUGAGCUCUUUUCCUGUCAUCUAAUGCUGAUGCUUGUAUAUUCUAUUCUACCAUUCGAUUUUUUUAUGUCUAGUGCUUGUAGAUCAAUUGAUUAUAUGCUUCAUACUUGAUGGAGUGAAUAUAAUACAUAAGAUUUUCAUUCAGUUAUAUGCAGAUAUGUUAAACUUUGGUUUAUAGGCUAGAUCGUCACUAAUUAUUCAUAGUACGUGAAGCCUCUAAUACAACAGUGAUAAGAUUUGAAGUAUUAGUUGCUCUGCUUAAUCAAAUCAUGACAAAUAAAUACGGUUGCAGGGCUGGGUACUUGUUGGUUGUUCCGUUGAGUCAACACAAAACAAAAAAAAAAAAAUCAUAAAAAUGAAUGGCAAGAAUAGGAAUGAAAUCAUCCACAGAAAUAAACACAAAUGUAAUCAAAUCAUUGAACACUCUUGCUCUAAGUUUUCUUCUUUACUGAUUCUUUGUUUUGUUCAUUGUUUGAUCAUUGAUUCUUGUUAAGCUUUCUGUCACUUCUUGUUUGGGAUCUGCUCUUGGGUCCUUCAAGAUUGUGUUCUUGGUUCAAUUGAGCUUUGGGAAUAGCCAUUACAUCCACGACAUGGAAGUAAUAGUAAAUAUAUAACAUCAUUUUUAUCUUCCAAUCACAAGUUACAAGAUAUAAAAUUCCCAAGGAAAAUUAAAAAGGUAAAAUUAUCUUACAUCACCUGUUGAAAAAUGAAAUAUUUUAUCCAUGUACGUAAGCGAAAUUUUGAAGGAAAACGAGAAAGAAGAAAUGGUCAAUUUCGCAGAACAACAGAGAGAUUUUGGUAGUUUCCUCCAUAAAUUUAUCACCCCAUUAUCCUCAAUUGAUAUCAGUAACACUCAAAUCUAUCCGAAAUUCUUUACAAUCCCUAAUAUAUUUAAAAGGGUUUAAUUUUGACUUUUUAAUAACUUCCAUUAGGCCAAGCAUAUUUAGUUUCUUGAAGAUUUAUUCCUGAAAAAUCCUCAAUUGUUUAUUAAUCAAGAUAGAGUUCGAGUUUAAUGAUAAAAUGAUCAUGAUUUUAAUUUAAAGAUAUGAGCCCAAAAUCCUACCGUUUACAUAUUAAAAUCACUUGAUUAUCAUAUAUUACUCAAUAAUCAAAGUUAUUUAUUACACAUCAAAGUUAAUCACUUGAUUACUUGAAAAAUGCCGGCGGCACUUGCAACUCCCUGGAACCUUCGUGUAAGUUUUCGAGUUCAUCAACUGUUGGAUAAAAUGCCCAUUUGAAGAAACUAAUAGAAAAUUGAGAUCCUCUCUUGAAUAGAGUUUACCCUUGAAAAAUAAGUAUACAUUAUCAUUCAUGUAUUGUCAAAAUUUGAGCUUAAGAUCCAACUAUUUACAAAUUAUUAAUUAUUUUUGUUGGUGAAAGCAAAUUGAUUAGAAGAAUGUGGCAAUAAGAAGAUAAAAAUGCUUGCUCAAAUACUUUGCCGUGUGUUCUUACUUACAAAUCCACCAGCUUAGCUUUUAAUCACAUAAAUAAGUCAUCAUCAUCACUAGAUUAUCGUAUAUUACACAAUUAUCAAAGCUAAUUAUUGAAACCUUUCUUUCAAAGAAAAAGAAUUAUUGAAACCUUCCGAGUUUGAAAAUGCCGGCAGCACUCGCAACUUCCAGGAACCUUCGUGCAAGUGUAGAUGCUGAGUACAUCCAACCGUUCGAUUAAAUGCCGAAGUGAUUUCGAGGAACCCACACGACCACACAACAGGUUUUUUUUUUUUUUUUUUUUUCAUUUUAUUUGUACAUCUAUUUCUUGAAAAAAUAAAAAAUCAUAAAGUUCAGAUUACCCUUGAGACUUGAGAUGACAACUGUCUGCCUCUGCAUUUUCCUAAUCAUCCCUCUUCUCUAAUCUCUAGAGUCCUCUGAAAUCUCUUCUUCAUUUUCUGUCUCCCUUUUUUGAAUCGUUCUUGUCCUCGAUCCUACACCUUCUUUGCAAAUCUUUCAUUUAUUGUACUCGCUUUUCAAUUUGUCUUAGCAGAAAAAGGAUUCCCCUUUGUUUCAUCUCUAGAUUUUUCACUCUUUUCCUCUCCUCCUCCCUUAAAUCUAUUCAACCUCUUAUUUUAGCAAUUUAUCCAAACUUCUUUUUUCCCUCUUCCCAGCUGAUUGAUUAGUUCUGCUUAGUUUGAUUAGUUUUGCUUUCCCCUGUAUUCUGAAAGCGAAAAAUAAAAAAAAGAAAGGGAUAAUGGAUAUUGCUACCUCCGCAGUUGCGAAAGUUGCAGAGUACUUGGUUGAUCCCAUAAUUCAUCCAUUUACUUACUGCUGCACUUACAAGACCAACUUCGAGAAGCUGAAUAAUGAAGUCGAUAAGCUAAAGAAUUCUAGAGACAGUAUGCAGCAUAAGGUUGAUGAUUCCAGAAUUAAAGGGGACGGAAUUCAACAGCACGUUGAGGAGUGGCUGAUUGCUGCGAACAAGGAGAUCAAUGAAGUCGAAACACUUAUUGAAGACAAAGAGAAUUCAAACAACCGGUGUUUGAAGGGGUUAUGUCCUAAUUUGAGGACUCGGUACCAGCUUAGCAAGAAAGCAGAAAGAGAGACGAAUGCUAUUGUUGGACUCCAUGAAAAAGGGAGAUUCGACAGUGUUUCUUUCCGUACCAUUCCAGAGGAGACAUGGCUUAAGUUUACCCAGGAUUUCAUGCACUUUGAAUCGAGAAAGUCCACUUUUAAGGAGAUACUAGACGCACUCAGCAACCGUGACUUCAACAUGAUUGGGGUGUACGGGAUGGGCGGCAUUGGAAAGACAACGCUGGUGAAAGAAGUUGGCAGACAGGCAAAGGAAAAUAAUCUCUUUGAGAAGGUUAUUUCUUCACGUGUUUCGCCAACACCGCAAAUAAAAAAUAUACAAGGAGAAAUCUCAGAGAAGAUAGGCUUAGAAUUGGCUGAACAGAGUCAUGAAACUGUAAGAGCAGAGAGGCUGCUUGAAAGAUUGAAGAAAGAGAAAAAGAUCCUUAUAAUCUUGGAUGAUAUUUGGGGGGUCUUGAUUUGGAGGCGAUUGGAAUUCCAUUGGCAGAUGAUAAUAGCGGAUGCAAAGUUCUUCUGACAGCAAGAAGUCAAGAUGUGUUGUCCUGUAAGAUGGAUUGUCAACAAAAUUUUUUUGUUGAUGUUCUGAAUGAAAAAGAAGCUUGGAGUCUUUUCCGGAAGAUGACAGGUGAUUGUAUAGAAAAUGGUGAACUGAAAUCUGUAGCAACAGAGAUAGUCAAGGAAUGUGCUGGUUUGCCCAUUGCCAUUGUACCCGUAGCCAGGGCACUAAGAAAUAAGAGAUUGUUUGAAUGGAAGGAUUCCUUGCUGGAAUUAAGAAGGCCUUCCUUCAGAAACAUCAGUGGAACACUGGAGGUGGCAUAUAAAAGUAUAGAGCUGAGUUACAAUCAUUUAAACAGGGAGGAGCUCAAGAGAACGUUGUUGCUUAUAGGGUACGCGUUCAUCUCUUGCGUUAAAGACGUGCUUUAUCAUGGCAUGGGUUUGGGUCUGUUUCAAAACAUCAACACGUCGGAAGAGGCGUGGGAUAGAGCACAUACAUUGGUUGAUAAACUCAAAAAAUCUUGUUUGUUGCUUGACGGUAAUACAAGUGAACGGUUUUCUAUGCAUGAUGUUGUUCGUGAUGCAGCCAUAUCAAUUGCAUCUGGAGACCAACAAGUGUUUGUGGUGGAAAGUGAGGUUGCUCCGCAGAUCAGCUGGCCAGAUAAGGAAAAACUAAAGGUUUGCAUCGCAAUCUCCUUAAUUUAUAGUAAUAUUAGUGAGCUUCCUCAAGGUUUCGAAUGCCCGCAACUUAAAUAUUUUCGUAUUGGCAAUGAUCCAUCUUUGAGAAUCCCAGAUAAUUUUUUUACUGGGAUGACUGGGCUUAAAGUUUUAGAUUUCACUGAGAUGCAUUUAUUGCCAUUGCCUUCAUCGCUUGGUCUCUUACAAAACCUUCAAACACUGUGUCUGGAUUACUGCAACCUAGGAGACAUCGCUAUUAUCGGAGACCUAAAGAAAUUAGAAAUCCUUUCACUUCGAGGUUCUGAUGUAGAGAAACUGGUUGGAGAAAUGGGCCAGCUGACUCAAUUGAGGUUGUUGGAUAUGAGCAAGUGUUUCGAACUAAAAGUUAUUCCACCAAAUGUUAUAUCAAGCUUAUCUCGAUUAGAAGAACUGUAUAUUGGUGAGAGUCCCAUUCAGUGGGGGAAGGUUGAAGGGCUCGACAGUGAAAGAAGAAAUGCUAGCCUUCAUGAGUUGAAUCAUUUAUCUAAAUUGACCUCUUUAGAAAUACUCAUCCAAGAUGAAAAGACUCUACCAAGCGACUUGUUGUUCUUCAAAAUCCUGAAAAGGUACAGGAUAUUCAUAGGAUAUCUGUGGUCGGAUGACCCAAUAUUGGAUGGGUUUUCUAGAAAAUUCAAACUGAAAAUCACCAAUGGUGCCAACAUUUGCCUGAACGAGGGGCAUAUCAUGCAAUUGAAGGGUAUUGAACACCUAUCUUUACAUGGAUUGCUGGACAUGAAGAAUGUUCUUUGUGAACCUGGCAGAGAAGGUUUUCCACAGCUGAAGCAUCUCGAAGUCCGAGAUAAUCGCAGCCUUUUUUGUGUUGUUGACAGAGUGGAUUGUGCAACAGCGCUGACAGCGUUCCCCCUCUUGGAGUCAUUAUUUCUGGAAGAUUUGGGUAACCUAGAGAAAAUAUGUCGUGGUUCACUCACAGCAGAGUCCUUUUGCAAAUUAAAGAACAUAAGGGUGCAAAGGUGUGAUAAAUUGAAAAAUGUGUUUCCAUUGCCCAUUGGCAGAGGCCUUCAACAACUUCAGUCCAUUGAAGUGACAAAAUGCCAGAAUAUGGAAGUGAUUUUUGCUGCCGAUAGAGGAGAUGAAUCCAGCAAUAAUAACACUCAAGUGAUUGAACUCACUCAAUUAAGGACACUUGAACUUGGUUCUCUUCCGCAGCUUACAAGCUUCUGCACAGGAGAUCUGCAUUUUGAAUUUCCAUCCUUGAAACAAUUAACAAUAAGGGGAUGUCCCCAUGUGAAAUUUAAAAGCACUAUUCAUGAGUCCACCAAAAAGGUACGUGCAAGACUGUUGUAAUUAUUGUUCAAUUCUUACGUACUUAAAAGUAUUUCUACUUGAGAGUUUAGAGCUUUAUUGUCGUCAUAUAUUGCCCUCAUCAAUUUGUCUUUUAGUAACAAAAUGUUAGUUCUAUAAAUCAGCUUAUUUAUACUAAUAUAAUAUCCUUAUAAACAUAAUUAUCAAUAUUCGAUAUAAACAUAAUUAUCAUUCUUCAAUAAUUCUUCUCAUUAUCGAAUAUUGAAUCGGCUACAACCAUAGAUGGAUUUGGAUGUCAGUUAGAAAGAAUGAAUACAAAAUUAUUUAGUAUUUUUUUUCCUUCUCGUUCAAUUUUUUUCUCUUAAUUAUCAGAUUUUUUCUUCUUCGUCUACUUUUUAGUUUAUGUCUAUAUGUUUAGUUAAAUACACGAAAGAGACUCUGCAUUUGAUUAGCCAAACGAAGAAAAUACUCAAAAUAUCUACGGUUUUUCAAGCCACAGUUAAUUCCCUGAUAAUCUUUUAAGAGCUAUUUAAAAUUAGUAGUCCUUACUACAGUAUUGUUACAUACAAAAUGAUUGUCAAUUUUGAUGUUGAAGAAGAAAUUGGUCAUUUUGUGUUAACAAAAAUUAUAUUUUUAAAAAUAUAAAGAGAGAGAUGGACAAAACUCAAAUGAAGAAACCUUAUCUUAUUAAACUUUAUGUACAAGAAAAUCCAUUCUUGUACAAUAGUAAAUAUAUCCAAUUCCAUUGAGUUGGAUGAAUAUUAAUGAAAUACCAGCUUCUUACUAUAUUAUUAAACUUUUUAAAAUCAAGUUAUUUAUUCAUUUUUGCUCUUGAAAAGAAAAAAGUUAAAAAAACCAAUUAAAAAAAAAAAAGAAAUUUGUAAGAUUUUCAACUAAAACCAAAUAAGCGGAUCGAUUAAAAGAAUCUAGAAGUUCAAAUGCAAUUUGAGAAUAAUUGAAGUCUUUUUUGUAGACAUUAUGCACAAAUCUAAUAAAUUUUGAAAGUUAAGAAGAGAGGAUGAAAAAAAAAAAAUACACAUCACUUACUAUAUUUGAAAAAAAAUAAUAAUAAUUACCGCUGAAAAUCAUACUCUCUCUACAUAUCCAUAAAUUUGUCCGGCCAUCAAUAUUCAUCAUUGAAAUGCUUUGUAUUUACUUCAAUUUUUGAAAUCGUUAGAAAGAAGAUUUAACUCCCUCUUGCUUUUUUUUUUUUGUUAUUGUUGAUCACCCAGAUGUUCCCCAAUUUGGAAGAUUUGAGUAUUGAUGAAAAGUACAUAGGUCUAUUUCCAGAAGACUUGCUUUGCAAACUUAAACUUCUUGAUGUCUGGAUUGAUGAGUCAACAGCUAUUUUAUCACUCGACGAUUUCCUCCAGAAAUUUCACACAACCAAAAUUCUCAUUAUAGGAGGAGACGAGUAUAUUUUUAGACUAGUUAGAAAGGUUGAAAACGGGAUGAAGGCAAUGAUAAGAGGAAUAAACCGGCAUCGUGGUCUGAAGCAAAUUUUGAAACAAGAGUCCUCCAAUGCCAACAAUUUGGAAAACCUGGACAUAUGUGACUGUCACAAUUUGAUUAAUCUAGUGCCAUCCUCGACAUCGUUUCAAAAUCUAACUACUUUGAUGGUAUAUAAUUGCAUAGGAUUGAUAAAUGCACUAACAUCCUCAAUUGCAAAGAGUCUGGUGCGACUGAGGGAAAUGGGCAUAGGUAGAUGCAAGAUGAUAAUAGAAAUAGUGGCAGAUGACGGUGCUGAGGGAGAUAAUUAUGCAGCAAAAAAUGAAAUUGUUUUCAGCGAAUUGAAGGAAUUGCUGCUCUGGAACUUAGAAAGUCUGACAGGAUUCUGCUCUGGCAAUAAUUGCGCCUUCAAAUUCCCAUCUCUGGAAAGAUUAGUGGUGGAUAAUUGCCCCAAUAUGAACAUUUUCUCAGGAGGAGAAUUAAGCACACCCAAGUUACACCAAGUGCAGCUUAAACGGUGGGAUGAUGAAGAAUGUUGGACUUUGGAUCGCGACCUUAAUACAACCAUUCAAUACCUAUAUCUUAAAAAAAAGGUAUGUAUUCAUUCAAUACGAGAUGUUGAUUUUUUGUAAAAGUUUGAUUCAAUAACGGAUAUAUAUAAAAAAGGAAAAAGAAAAAGUACCCAUCAAAUUUUUGACAAAUUCAUUUUAAAUCUGAUUAGGAAGAGAAGGAAAAAAAAGAAUGAGACGUCCAACAAGGCUAAUGAAAAGAAGGAAGAUGCAAAAGACAGUGGCAAGGUAAAAUCCAUACAAAUUGGGAGGUUUUGAUUUUAUUUUUGUGCUAAUUAAAUACGUUUUAUUUAUGUUAAAUCACAUUGGUACAUCUUUUUAAAACAUAACUACUCUGUUGUAUUGUUAUGUUGAAGAUUAGUUGUUAGAUAUGAUAUAGCGAACAAGAAAUUGAAAAAAAAUGAAAGUAAUUGCUUAUAGAGAGAAUUGAAGGAUUUCUGUGUUCUUAAGCAUUAACUGGUUAUGAUGGAGGCUAAUUUGUGCAAUUUAAUUAUGUGAAAACUACACCUUCAAUGUGUUUUUGCUCUUUGUUUAUAGAGAGUCCAAACUUAUGAAGACGAUUCGGGCCAACCUUCUGUGCAGCAUCUAGAAUAAGGCCUCGAGUUCUUUCUAUAUACUAAGAGUCAGAUGGCGUUGGUGAGGGGACCUUUUGUUUCUUUCUUCAUUUCGUUAUUAUGCUUCUUGCUUUGUUUGAGUAAUUAGAAAUCUAAUUUAUUAUGCUUCUAGCUUUGUUUGAGUUCUUCGAAAUCUAAUUUGAAGCUAGUUUUAUUUCUCAUGGAUGGUGUCCAAGAGCUACCAUGUUCAAUUUGGAUUCAACCGAAAGAGUAUUUAAGCCUUGAAUUAAUUAAAGAGAUGAGUGUAUCAUAUUUGUGUUUGUGCACUUGUUAUUGAUGUAUUGAAUAAUGUAGGAAGUUAAUUUACAUUAUUUGAGGUAAUAUAGAAUUUUAGAAUAUUUAUUGUUUUAGGAUUUUCUAUUUUAGUUUGAGUCAAUUUUGGUAUAUAUCUUAGUCUUUUAUUUCUAUUAUAAUUGUGAUUUAGUUUCUUUUUUAGGUUAACUUAGGGAAUUGGGUUUCCUCUAUUAUAAAUAGAGAGAUCUUAUCAUUAUUUUGAGCAUUUCAAAUUCAAUUAUUCAAUAAAACUCACCUUUUAUAAUUCCUUCUGGGAUUAUCUAUCAAAAUCUCUCUUGUAAAGUUAUUUGGAUUAAAAAGUCAUCUAAUCUCGCAUUAUGCGUUAUUAAAAAGCUCAUUGAGUUGUCUGGAUUAGAACGAUAUCUGAUCAUGUUUCAAUUAGAGCAUAACUUAAUCGUGUUGGCUUAGUCCUGUACUAGAAUGAUAUCUAGUAUUUCAUGUCCUAUCAAUUUCCGCUUCCGCUACGCCUCGCUCCAUUAGUUGGUAUUAGAGCAGUUUUGUGUCAAUUGCACAACUUUCCUGACUACCCAUAUCCAUCCACAUCAGAUCCAUCACAAAAAAUAAAUAAAUAAAAUAAAAUAAAUCAAAACUUUACAAAUUUGAAAACCCUAGCCACCACAUCAACUUCCACCACCGAUCAGCCAGCCAACACCACCACAAACCUCGCUAGCCACUGCCGACCAAGUCUCAGCCAUUGCCGCCUCAACCGCUGCCUAAACAGCUGCAAAUCACCAACCCAAACCCGUGGCUCCACCAAGCAAUCCACCACCAUUCAACCACUUUCACAGCCAGCAACCUCUACCAACAAGCUUGCAGGCCUCCACUAACCAAAACACCGACCAACUUCAGCCCAUGAUCGCCGCCCGCAGCAACCACACGAAACGACAACCCAUGAGUGCUUCCCACAUGCGCCGCCACCAAACCACCUCCUUUUUCUGUCAAUUUGCACUACCACCACCCUAAUCCCUAGCAAUCGGCGACCAUAAAUCCAGCCGUCCGCCACCAUAAGGCCGCCAUAAACCAAAAGCCACAUCACUAAAAUCAACCGCCACUUUAAGUCAGAUUUCCGACCAAAACGCAGCGAAUCUGGCCGAUCCACAACCAUCAUCGAGUUCCUUAUCACCAAAUCUCCCAGAUCCGAUACCCUCUGGUCCCAAUCACGGCCACCAGCUGCCAACCAUACCAAACCCGAGAGUUGAGCCUUAAUUACAAUUUUGCCAUUGUGUGGAAACUUAAAUGGCAAGCUACCAUCAUUGCCCUCCUAUUUAUCAUGUGCCGAUAUUAUUUACAAAAUAUACGUCCAAACAAAUUUCUUGAAUAGCUGGACAAGGUUAAGCACUAGUUUCUAUUUUGGCACACUCCUAAAGAAAAGCAAGUCUUGUUUACUGCCAGUAGAUUAAGCAUAAGUGCUUCAGAAUGGCGCGAUGAGUUGCAAAUUUCUCGACUUGACCAAGGCAAAUGCCAAGUUCAAUCAUCGAACCGUAUGAAGCAUAUUUUACGAUAUGAGUUUAUUCCUCUUGAUUAUUGUUUGGUACAGUAAGGUAUGAGAUCUGUUUCUGCUUGUGCUUAUGAGUUUGAACGAUUUUAUGGAUGCCAUUAUUAUUAUGAGCCUGAAGAGAAUACAGUUACAAGAUUUAUUAAAGGGCUUGAUUUGCAUAUUCAAGAAAGGAUGCCUAUAUACACUAUCUACAAUUUACAGCAUGCAAUUCAUUUAGGCAAGAAAAUUGAAUUGCAAAUUAAGUUGUAACGUCAAAGAAACUUUGAUGAUGUGAUUAAAAAACUUGACGAAAUCCAGAAUUUAAGCAAGAAAUGGUGUGUCACCAUGAAAGUGCCCAAAGAUGUACCAAUGAGUUCUCCUAUUGUUAAGGAAGAAGACUCCCAUGAGUUGCUAGAAGAAAAUGUACAAUUUAUUAUUGAUUUAAGGUUUCAAUCUGACAAGUUGUUCGAGAAUGUGAGUGAUGUUUCCUUAGAAGAGAAGAUAAGUGUUGAAGAUGAUGAUAUUAUUGAUCUAUUUGAUAUGUUUAAAGAAGAUAUAUAAUCUGCUCUUAAUUUAAGCAGUGAGCUUAACAAUAUAAUCGAGGUUGUACAACAAAAUCAAGGUGAAGAAGUUGAAAUGAUUGAAAUGGUUCUGCCUAUUCACAUUGAAGAAAAAAAGAUUGUGCUUGAAGAAGAUUUGGUUGAAAAGGUGAAACUUAUUGGCGAGCGCAUUGAGCGACAAUUGGGGAAGUGCAAGAGUUAUUUGAUCAUUGUUCGUUCUUGAAAGUCGUCAUCGACUCGAAGAAUGUACAAGCGAAGGAAGUUGAUGAAGUUAGGAUACUUCAAAGUUUCGAGGAAGAUUGAUGAGCAAGGCUACAGGUUCAAAUUACAAGAUGAUUUGCUCCGACACUAUAAGUUUCCUCCUCCAGACUGUAUUCAAACUCAAGGACGAGUUUCUUUUAAGAGGGAAAGAAUGAUGUAGGAAGUUAAUUUACGUUAUUUUAGGUAAUUUAGGAUUCUAGAAUAUUUAUUGUUUUAGGAUUUCCUAUUUUAGUUUGAGUCAAUUAUGGUAUGUAUCUUAGUCUUUUAUUUCCAUUCCAAUUGUGAUUCAGUUUCCCUUUUAGGUUAAUUUAGGAAAGUGGGUUUCCUCUAUUAUAACUAGAGAGAUCUUGUCAUUGUUUUGAGCACUUCAGAUUCAAUUAUUCAAUAAAACUCCCAUUUUAUAAUUCCCUCUGAGAUUAUCUAUCAAAAUCUCUCUUGUAGAGUCGUUUGGAUUAGAGCGUCAUCUAAUCUCACAUUACAUGUUAUUAAAAAUCUCAUUGAGUCGUUUGGAUUAAAACGAUAUCUAAUCACGAUUCGAUUAGAGUAUAACCUAAUCGCAUUGGCUUAAUUCUGUACUAAAAUGAUAACUAGUGUUUCCUAUCCUAUCAAUUUUCGCUUCCGCUACGCCUCGCUCCGUCAGGAUUUCUGGUGUAUAUUUUUUUAGUGUAUGAUGAAACUAAAACUAUCUCAAUUUCUGCUAUGUUAGUGCCUCCUGAACACAUGUUUGGACCAUCUGAACAUUGAGUGGCUUGAUAUCUCUAACAAUAAUGCUUGUACAACUGAAAUCUACCCACCUUGCUCUAGCACAAUGAAGAGAAAUUGUGUCAUUUCGACAAAAAGGUGUCAUAUGUGCAGUCACUAUGAAUCAUUCGCAUUGGAACAAAUUGUACAAUGUCUCAAGUCGCUACUCAAUCAGUAGAACUCUCUAAUCUACGACUUUUGUCAUUUAUCAGCAUCAAGAAUCUGCCAAUUAAGAUAUGAUCACCUGUAAUUUUAAGUUCUUUCAAUCUCCAAAAACUAGAUGAAAAAAAUGCUCCAAUAAUUAGUAAGUCUUAAUCAAAUUCCAUAUUUUAGGCUUCUAAAUUUAUUAGCAAUUUUACCUAUCAUAACUUGUAUAUGUUAACCGGAUUGCAUAAACACUUGAGAAGCUUCAAGUUCAUGUCCUAAUGUGUUACAAUAUAUAUAUAUAUAUAUAGGCUUCUUUUUUGGGGGGAACUAAAAUAAGUUAGAUCAGUACCGAAGAUCAUAGUUAAAGCUCGCAAUGUUUUAUGGAGACCUUUUUCUUAUGGUAGGAGCUUCAUACUAGGAGAAGUCAUCACUUUUGAGAACAAUAAAUGUAACAACCUAUUUAAAGGGCGGAUCUAAAAAUUUGGCUUAAAAGGGACAACACAAUAAUUAAAAAAAAUUUAAUGAAAUUGAUAGACUUUGUAUUCAUUAGGGGCAAUUAUGCAAGUAUUUAUGUAAUUUCAUGAAAAUAUAAAAAAUAAAUAGAAAAUUAUGGAAAAAAAAUUUACGGGAGUCAAUUAAUUGCCCACUAUAGGCUCCGUGUGGAUCCACCUCCGAACGUAAAUGAAGAUUGAGGAUUCUCUUAAUCCAAAAAUUUUUAAGAAGUGAAAAAUAAAAAAAAUAAAAUUUUUUUUCAUCAACUUUGUAAUUCCUUAAGCGAUUAAAAUAAGAUAUAUUCAAUAAAUAAGUAUAAAUUAUUAUUCGUAUACUGUCAAAUCUUUUUUUGUUUGGGCUCUUUUAUAUUUUGUUAACAAAUAAGCUCUAAUCUAUAUUUGUUGAGUUGAAAAUUUUGAUCAAAAUAGGGUUGUAGUUUACCGAUAUUAAUUUAUAGAUUUGAACCCAAGUUCCUCCAUUUACAUUAUUAAUUAUUUUUGUUGGUCAAAGCUAAUUGAUUAGAAGAAUGCGACAAUAAGAAGACAAAAAUAUUUGCUCAAAUGCUUUGCCGUGUGCUUGCUUACUUACAAAUAUCAACUGUUCGAUGAAAUGCCCGUUUAGCUGUUCCCAACUUGGGGCAUGAGUUUGAUUAAAGUUCUUAUAUCACUGAUAUAAUAUAUUAAUGUAUAAAUGAGCUCUUUUCCUAUCAUCUAGUGCCCAUGGUAAUAUUUCAGUAAUUGAUCAUAAUAUUAUUAAGCUUUAAUUUAUAUCCUACACUCUUUUCCUAUCACCUAGUUUUUCUAAAGCGUGUAAGGUAGAAAUAUUCUCAUGUUCGAAAAAAGGUCAUACAAGCUCUAAGCUUGUACAUAUUUGAAGAACAAUACUAGACUUUUCCUUCAAACUAAUAUCGAAAUAUUUUUAUUCCUAAUGUAGUUAUUCGUCUUUGACAUUCAGCUCAGUAUCCAUUAGCAUUUAGCAAGAACAAACUUAUUUAAUAAUUAAAAGAAUUAUUGAAUGAUUUGGAACAAGUCAGCUGAGGCUAAGUAUUUUUAUUAUAUCGGCAAUUAGAUGAUGAAUGGGAAUUAUUGAACAAUUAUUUUUAUUAUUUAGGCAAUUAAUUAAGGCUACGUAUUUUUAACGUUGUUGCAAGUUGGAAGAUGUCGGCAGCAUUAGCCACUGUCAGCAUUAGCCACCCGAGCCGAGACUCAUUCUCUUUUUCAUUUCAUUUUCGUUUACUUUUGAGAACAGAAAAUGUAAAAUUUGAAUAAGUACCAAAUAACUUUUGAUAUUAAAACUUAAAUAAGCUUAGUUUUUUUCAUUUCGUUUUCGUUCACUUUUGAACAAGACAAUGUUUACUUUUGAUAUGCUUUAUUUAAGAGUCAUAAGUGCUUAUUUAAUCUUAUAAACUCUUAUCAUAAUUUUUGUUGUUGUUUGGUUGUUUUUAUAAUCAAGCUUUUAAAACUUAAAUAAGUUAUUUUAUCUCUAUUAGAAAAAAUUCAAAUUUUAGGUUUUGGGAGUAGAGGUUAAUUUUUUUUAAAUGUUAAAAUAUCUAAAAUAUCAUCUCCUUAUUGACAAUUUUAUUUUAUUCUUUUCAUAACAUAACUUUAAAAAAUUUACCUCUUAAAGUAAUUUUAUAAAUUUUUAAUAAAAACUCUUAUUGACAACCAAAUAACUAAUUUUUUUUUUGUAAAAUCUCUAUUUAUAAAAGCUCUACUUAAAUAAACUCUACUUGAAAAAAUGUACCAAACAGAGCCUAAGAAUCACUUAUUUGAAAGUUAGAAAAUGAUUGGAGACAAAAAAAAAUUGAUAAAGAAAUAUAUUUAAAAUGAUGUGGUUUUGGUUUUAUUUUAAAAAAAUUAACCUAAAUGAUAUAAUUUUAAGUAUAUUAUUUUUCAUUUCCCUAAUAUUCUUCAUAACUGAUCUUUGUACAACUCCGACCAAUUUUCACUGACAUUACAGUGUAGUUGACAUUUUCUUUUCACCGCCUUCAAUGUUUUUCCCAAAACAAUGGAAUAACCCAAACUUGUUUUUUUCCUACCUUCACCAACCUCAUUGACAAAAAUAAAAAAGACUGUCAAUUUCUCCAACCAUGUGACAAUGCCCUCACCACGUGACCUUUUGCUCACAUCCGGUUGCACAUUAACCAUCAAAGCCGGUUUCCCAUGAAUGUCCAUUUUUUUUAACUUCUUUUUCCUACCGUUAAAUUUCUCAUGAAUGUCAGUGAGUGGGAUCCAGCUACGGUACCACCGUGGUACCGUACAACUGAUUUUAUCUUUUGUGUCAGUAGUGUUGUAAAAUUUCAUUGAACCCCUUUCAUUCAUUUUUAUUUAACCUUUACCUCAUAAAUAUUAAAUUAAUUUCUAUUCCAUCCAUAUAACAUUAUAAUAGCACCUUAUACUAUUUGUUAUUUAUACAUUUUUCUUCUAUAUUGCACAUUUAUCACAAUACCCCUCUCUUUACCACAAAUACCGGUGAACCCGACCUGAAUUUCGUUUCUGUUUUCGUCCAUGCCACCGCCCAAGGUUGGUACCGAUCAGAAGAUCGUGUGAUGCCGGUCAUCUCCACGCCAUCCUUGUCGAAAAAAUAACUAGGUCAACCUGACCCGCAAACCCGACCCGGAUUUUGUUUUCGUUUCCAGCUACUCCACCGGCCAAGGUUGGUACCGAUCAGAAGCUCGUGCUACGCCAGUCAUCUCCAUGCCAUCCUUGUCGCCGUAAAGCAUUCGGAAAGCUGCCGAUCGAAGCCGUGAAAGUUACAGAAUCCCUGCUUCAAUUCGCGGCGGUUUCUCCGGUUUCCAGUGACGCCACCACUUGGGGUUUGUUCUCCACAGUUUCCUCUGUCUUUUCUGACCAACCACAGCCACCAGAGGAGCCGAUUUGCCGUUGAUCGGCCAUUGAAGGAUUCACGGGUUUGGGAGAAAUGAACUUAAUAUUUGUGAAGCAAAGUUCAAAUAAGAAUAAGUGAAAGGACUUUAUGAAAUUUUACCAAGAAAAGACAAAAGCGGUGGCAUGGUGCUACUGUUGCACGGUAGGCGAGUCCUUAUUUGUAUAUCUAUUUCUUAAAAAAAUAAAAAAUCAUAAAGUCCGGCAACGGCAGCAUAGCACUUACUGGUAACAGGAGAAUUCAAUGAAAUGCCAAAAUGCCACCUUGCGCUGUCCAAUUAACCAACAACUUUGACAUUAUUUACAUGCAAUUAUAACCAUCUAUCUCAGUUAUUAAGAAUCUAGUUGACUUGGAAGCAUGAGUCUUCUCCAGUAUGAAUUUAGUUUGGCAUUUUUGCAGUAUUCAGAUUACCCUUGAGACUUGAGAUCACAACUGCCUGCCUCUGCAUUUUCCUAAUCAUCCCUCUUGUCUAAUCUCUAGAGUUCUCUGAAAUCUCUUCUUCAUUUUCUGUCUCCCGUUUCUGUAUCGUUCUUGUCCUCGAUCCUACACCUUCUUUGCAAAUCUUUCAUUGCACUCGCUUUUCAAUUUGUCUUAGCAGAAAAUGGACCCCCUUUGUUUCAUCUCCAGAUUUUUCACUCCUUUCCCCUCCUCCUCCCUUAAAUCUAUUCAACCUUUUAUUUUAACAAUUUAUCCAAACUUCUUAUUUCCCUCUUCACAACUGAUUGAUUAGUUCUGCUCAGUUUGAUUAGUUUUGCUUUCCCCUGUUUUCUAAGAGCAAAAAAUAAAAAAGAAAGGGAUAAUGGAUAUUGUUAUUUCCGUUGCUGCAAAAGUUACAGAGUACUUGGUUGCUCCCAUAAUUCAUCCAUUUACUUAUUGCUGCACUUAUAAGACCAACUUCGAGAAGGUGAAUAAUGAAGUCGAUAAGCUCAAGAAUGCUAGAGACAGUGUGCAAUAUAAGGUUGAUGAUUCCAGAAUUAAAGGGGACGGAAUUCAACACCACGUUGAGAAGUGGAUGAUUACUGUGGACAAGGCCAUCAAUGAAGUCGAAACCCUUAUUGAAGACAAAGAGAAGUCAAACAACCGGUGUCUGAAAGGGUUGUGUCCUAAUUUGAAGACUCGGUACCAGCUUAGCAAGAAAGCAGAAAGAGAAGCGAAUGCUAUAGUUGGACUCCAUGAAAGAGGGAGAUUCGACAGUGUUUCCUUCCGUACCAUUCCAGAGGAGACAUGGCUUAAGUCUACCCGGGAUUUCAUGCACUUUGAAUCGAGAAAGUCCACCUUGAAGGAGAUACUAGACGCACUCAGCAACCGUAACUUCAACACGAUUGGAGUGUACGGGAUGGGUGGCAUUGGAAAGACCACGCUGGUGGAAGAAGUUGGCAGACAGGCCAAGGAAAAUAAUCUCUUUGAGAAGUUCAUUUCUUCACGUGUUUCCCAAACACGGCAAAUAAAGAACAUACAAGGAGAAAUCGCUGAGAAGAUAGGCUUAGAAUUGGCUGAACAGAGUCAUGAAACUGUAAGAGCAGGGAGGCUGCUUGAACGAUUGAAGAAAGAGACGAAGAUCCUUAUAAUCUUGGAUGAUAUUUGGGGGAGUCUUGAUUUGGAGGCGAUUGGAAUUCCAUUGGCAGAUGACAACGGCGGAUGUAAAGUUCUGCUGACAGCAAGAAGUCAGGAUGUGUUAUCUUGUAAGAUGGAUUGUCAACAAAAAUUUUUUGUUGAUGUUCUGAACGAAAAAGAAGCUUGGAGUCUUUUCAAAAAGAUGACAGGUGAUUGCAUACAAAAUGGUGAACUGAAAUCUGUAGCAACAGAGAUAGUCAAGGAAUGUGGUGGUUUGCCGAUUGCCAUUGUACCCGUAGCAAGGGCAUUGAGAAAUAAGAGAUUGUCUGAAUGGAAGGAUGCUUUGCUGGAAUUUAGAAGGCCUUCCUUGAGAAACUUCACUGGAACAACGCAGGUGGCGUACAAAAGUAUAGAGCUAAGUUACAAUCAUUUAAACGGAGAGGAACUGAAGAAAACAUUUUUGCUAUUAGGGUACACGUUCUUCUCUUGUGUUGAAGACCUACUCUAUUAUGGCAUGGGUUUGGGUCUGUUUCAAAACAUCAACACGUUGGAAGAGGCACGGGAUAGAGCACAUACAUUGGUUGAUAAACUCAAGAACUCUUGUUUGUUGCUUGAUGGCCGUUCAAGUGAAUGGUUUUCAAUGCAUGAUGUUGUUCGUGAUGUAGCCAGAUCAAUUGCAUCAAGAGACCAACAUGUGUUUGCGGUGGAAAAUGAGGUUGUUCCGCUGACCAGCUGGCCAGAUAAGGAUACACUGAAGGUUUGCACCGCAAUCUCCUUAAAGAAUAGUAAUAUUAGUGAGCCUCCUCAAGGGUUCGAAUGCCCGCAACUUAAAUUCCUUUGUAUUGGCUGUCAUGCUUCUUUGAGGAUCCCAGAUAAAUUUUUUACUGGGAUGACAGAGCUUAGAGUUUUAGAUUUCACUAAGAUGCAUUUGUUGGCAUUGCCUUCAUCGCUUGGUCGCUUGCAAAACCUUCAAACAUUGUCUCUAGAUGAUUGUGAACUAGGAGACAUGGCCAUUAUCGGAGACCUAAAGAAAUUAGUCAUCCUUGCGCUUCGAGGUUCUGAUAUGGAGGAACUGGCUGGAGAGAUAGGCCAGCUGACUCAAUUGAGGUUGUUGAAUUUGCGCCUAUGUUACCGACUGAGAGUUAUUCCCCAAAAUGUGAUAUCAAGCUUAUCACGAUUAGAAGAACUAUAUAUUGGUGAGAGUCCCAUUGAGUGGGGGAAAGUUGAAGGAGUAGACGGUGAAAGAAGAAAUGCCAGCCUUGAUGAGUUGAAUAAUUUAUCUAAAUUGACCUCUUUAGAAAUACUCAUCGGCGAUGAAAAGACUCUAUCAAGAGACUUGUCGUUCUUCAAAAUGCUGCAAAGGUACAGGAUAUCUAUAGGACAGUUGUCGCAGUUUAUUGUGGUUCCCCCAUCGGAUGGGAUUUCUAGAAUAUUCAAACUGGGGCUCACAAAUGGUGCCAACAUUUGCUUGAACGAGGGGCAUAUCAUGCAAUUGAAGGGUAUUGAAGGCCUGUCUCUAGAUGGAUUGAUCGACAUGAAGAAUGUUCUUUUUGGAUCAGACAGAGAAGGCUUUCCAAAACUGAAGGGUCUCCAAAUCGAACAUAAUGGCAACCUUUCUUGUGUUGUUGACACAAUGGAUUGUAUGCCAGCUCGGACGACUGCAUUCCCCCUUUUGGAGUCAUUAUUUCUAAGAGAUUUAAGGAACCUUGAGGAAAUAUGUCGUGGUCCACUCACAGCAGAGUCUUUUUGCAAAUUAAAGACCAUAAGGGUGGAAGGGUGUGAUAAAUUGAAAAAUGUAUUGCCGAUGGUCAUAGGCAGAGGCCUUCAACAACUUCAGUCCAUUAAAGUGAGUAGUUGCCAAAAAAUGGAAGUGAUUUUUGCUGCUGAGAGAGGAGAUGAAUCCAGCAAUAAUAACAGUACUGAAGUGAUUGAACUCACUCAAUUGAGGACACUUGAGCUUCAUUCUCUUCCGCAGCUUACAAGCUUCUGCACAGGUGAUCUGCAUUUUGAAAAGGUACACGUGCAAGAUUUGUUUAAUUAUUUUUCAAUUCUUACGUACUGAAAUGUAUUUCUACUUUGAGAGUUCAGAGUUUUAUUGUCGUCAUCGCCCUCAUCACUUCAUCUUUUAGUAACAAAAUGUUAGUUCUAUAAAUCAGUUUGUUUAAUUAUACUUUAUAAUAUCCUUACAAACAUAAUUAUUUUUUUAUUUUUGGAUGUCAGUUAGACCGAAUGAAAAAAAAAAAAGAUAUAUGGUAAACAAUUAUUUUUUUCCUUCUUGUUCAAUUUUUUUUCUCUUAAUUAUCAGAGUUUUUCUUCUCCCUCUACUUUUUAUUUUAUGUCUACAUGUUUAGUUAAAUACACGGAAAGAGACAGUGCAUUUGAUUAGCCAAACAAAGAAAAUACUCAUAAGAUCUAGAGGCUUUCAAGCCACAGUUAAUUCCCUGAAAAUCUUUCAAGAGCUAUUUCCAAAUUAGUACUCCUUAGUACAGUAUUGUUACAUACAAAAUGAUUAUCAAUUUUGAUGUUGAAGAAGAAAUUGGUCAUCUCGUGUUAACAUAAAUAAUAUUUUUAAAAUAUAUAUAGAGAGAUGGACAAAACUCAAAUUAAGAAAUCUUAUUCUAUUAAACUUUAUGUACAAUAAAAUCCAUUCUUGCACAAUAGUAAAUAUAUCCAAUUCCAUUGAGUUGGAUGAAUAUUAAUGAAAUACCAGCUUCUUACUAUAUUAUUAAACUUUUAAAAUUCAUAUUAUUUAUUCAUUUUUGCUUUAAGAAAAAGUUAAAAACUCCAAUAUUUUUUAAAAAAAGAAAUUUGUAAGAUUUUCAAUUCAAACCAAAUAAAGGGAUCAAUUAAAAGAAUCUCAAAGUUUAAAUGCAAUUUGAGAAUAAUUGAAGUCUUUUUCAUAGAGAUUAUGCACAAAUCUAAUAAAAUUUGAAAAUCUAUCUACUGGACAAGAGUUAAGAAGAGAGAAUGGAAGAAAAUACACAUUACUUAAAUGGAAUGCUUUGUUUUUACUUUGUAUUUACAGCUGAAAAUCAAACUCUCUCCGCAUAUCUAUAAAUUUGUCCGGCCAUCAAUACGCAUCAUUGGAAUGCUUUGUAUUUACUUGAAUUUGUGAAAUCGUUAGAAAGAAGUGCUAACUCCAUCUUGCCACUUUUGCGAUUGAUGAUCACCCAGGUGUUCCCCAAGUUGGAGAAAUUGAGGGUUGAUGAAAAGCACAUAUGCCUAUUUCCAGAAGACUGGCUUUGCAAACUUAAAUGUCUUGAUGUCCGGCUUGAUGAGUCAAGUACAAUUUUAUCACUUGACGAUUUCCUCCAGAGAUUUCACACCAUCAAAAUUCUCUUUAUAGAAGGAGACGAUUUUGUUUGGGGAGAAUCACUUGAAAACCUUGAAAAUGGGUUGAAUGCAAUGAUGAGGGGAAUAAACCAGCGCCGUGAACUGAAGCAGAUUUUCAAACAAGAGUCAACCAAUACCAACAAUUUGGAACAGCUGGAGAUAUUCGAGUGUGACAAUUUGACUAAUCUAGUGCCAUCCUCGACAUCUUUUCAGAACCUAACAACUUUGAAGUUAAGUCUUUGCCAUGGAAUGAUACACCUUCUAACAUCCUCAACCGCAAGGAAUCUGGUGCGACUGAGACAAAUGGAGAUAGGUUGCUGCAAGAUGAUAACAGAAAUAGUGGCAGAUGAGGAUGAUGAGGGAGAUAAUUAUGCAGCACAAUAUGAAAUUGUUUUCAGCGAAUUAAAGGAAUUGCGGCUUUGGGACUUACAAAGUCUGACUAGUUUCAGCUGCUCUGGGAAUAAUUGCGCCUUCAAAUUCCCAUCUCUAGAAAGAUUAGUGGUGGAUCGUUGCCCCAAUAUGAAGAUUUUCUCAGAAGGGGAAUUAAGCACACCCAAGUUACAGAAAGUGCAGCUGAGCUGGCUUGAUAAUAAACUUUGGGCUUGGGAUCGGGA
RNAcentral lists this long non-coding RNA (102887 nucleotides) under Citrus maxima (pomelo). RNAcentral's name for it is "long non-coding RNA (CMAX_LNC004232)". Lineage: Eukaryota; Viridiplantae; Streptophyta; Magnoliopsida; Sapindales; Rutaceae. The record is from RNAcentral.